This 119373-nucleotide long non-coding RNA is filed under the name Gossypium barbadense (sea-island cotton). Its description in RNAcentral is "long non-coding RNA (GBAR_LNC009915)". Lineage: Eukaryota; Viridiplantae; Streptophyta; Magnoliopsida; Malvales; Malvaceae. The record is from RNAcentral.
UAGAUAUGAAGGAAAAAAAGUGUUAUAUUCCUUUAAGGUCAAUUCCAUAUAUCGAGAAUCCACCAUCUCCCACUUUCAUUUCGAAUAAGAACUUGCCUUAAAAGCAGCAUUGUUGGCUGAUCAAUAAAGCAGUUGAGGGAAUAUUGGUAUAACCAUGACCUAACCCUAAAUAGUGGAAAGAUUCCCCCAAAAACCUUCCAGUCUUCUUUCAGAAUUUCUCUACAUAAAGUACUUUUUCUCAACUUGAAACUUAAUAAAAUAAUAAAUAAAUUAAAAGGAUAACAUAUAUAUAUAAGGUGAAAAGAAAUAAACACACAUUUGCUAGUGGCAUUGUGAUGUUAAAAAACUAAAGAAGUAUAGGCAUAGGAAGCUAAAUAAUUGUGAUUAUUAUAACAUUGGCUUUUUUUCGUGUGUGUGUAGAAUCCUCCCACGAAGAUGAUGUCGGGAAAACAGUAGCAAUAAUCGUGGGUGUAUUGGCAGGUGUAGUGGUUCUGAUUGUUCUUCUCUCAGUUUGCCGAAAAACCAAACGUAAAGCUCUUCUUAAUUUUCUCUCCAUUUCCUCAUAUUUUUUAGAGAUAAUAACUUUGACCUUUAUUCUUUUCCCAGAUUGAAUGAGCCUGCCCAGCUUCCGAAAGAGUAUUCGUGAUUAGUGUAUUGGGUUGUUUUCUUUAAUAUUAAGGUGGCAACUUUAUCAGUUACUUUAUUUUUUUAGUCAUAAAAAAGAAGGGAGGCAGUGAAUGUAAUCUCCAUCAACUUCACAACAUAUGCUGAUUCCAUCACAAACCUGACAUGAAAAUCCAUCACCUUUCUUCAGCAAAACUUUAUCCUUUCACAAAAGUAAGCCAAGUUGAUCAUAAUUAUAAAUUGGUAAGUAAACUAAACCGACAAUCAAAAUCCGGCUUCUUUAUCUGCCUUCUCUUCGUUUCUCUAGAUGGGAAAAACUUCAAUAAAAUUUGCAUUUCUUUUUCCAACAGAUUCAACCAUUCCAUAUCUCAAUUUCAGUUUCAAAAUCGUUUCUAUGUGAAUCUUAUGUAAAUAAUAACAUGAAAUGAGAAGAUUAGUCCCAAAACAAAAGGAGCUUAAUGCAAUAUUAUUAAUUGGGCUUAAGGCCUACUAUCUAUGUUUGACCCAUCUAAUGCAAUAUUAUCAAUCCGCUUGAUGCGAUAUCAUCAAUUGGUCAAACAUUAAACAGUUUUAGACAAUGAAAAGGCUCCACUUUGCAUUUUUAUAAAAAAAACUAUAUAAAAUUCCUUUCAUCAUAUAUAUAAACUUAAAAAUAUAUAAUAUUUUGUUGAGUAAUUUUCCGUUGUGUCCCAUUAGAGGGGGCAAUCGAAUCUUUAUAAAUAUAGCUAUUGUUCAUAGAAUUGACGCUCUUAACUGACUUUAUGCAUGCUAGACAUGUGUAUUGCUCUGGGCUGCCUGUUGAAUACUCCUUUGACUCCUGUGAGCCGAGACCUACGAGCUCCCUUUGUAAACUCCUCUUGUCUUGUGCGAGCUGAGUUUGCGAACUUCCCUUGCGAACACCCUUUGCUAGCUUCAUACCGUAAGGCUUGCAUGUAUCCGAUUGGUGGGCCCUAUUUGAGUCACGGGUAGCAACCUUGACCUUAUAUGAUUUUUGGGUUGAUCAUAAAUGCCUAACAAACAUGUAUAUAUAUAUACACACAUACGGGGAUAAUGUUUGAUGCAUUAGUUUAAUACACCAUCAAUGAACCACAUUAAAUAAUAAUUAAGAUAAUAAAGUCUUUGAGUACUUAUAAAUAAAUAUUAAUAAAUUUAUUUAAUUAUAAUUAAAAGUAAUUAAAUUUUUUUAUUUCUUUCAUCUCUUUCUUUACAAAAACAACUAAUAUUUGGACUAGAUGAUCGGAGUUGGACCUUGUUGGAUACCAAUGUUUGUUAUUUCAAAAACUAGAAGAUCUAACUGAUGGUAUUGCAGUCUAUUUAUGAUAUUGAUAUAGGUACUAAACCGAUAGAAAUAUAAAAGCUAGAUACUAAUCAAACAAGUCAAAACUAUAUAAUAAAAAAUUAGUUAUAUAGUUCUUUACUUGUGGAUCUUCAUUAGCUUUACUAAUAAGUUUGGAUUUUCAUAAGAAUAAAUUAUUAUUGAUGAUUGAAAAUCAAUAAAAUAAUUCUAAAUUUGAAAAGAAAAAAUAAUUCAAAACCCAGUUUAUGUAAGGGGGAGAGGGAGAUGAGAAAAAAAUCCCAAAAUUAAUUCUAAUUGUUUUGUGAUUGAAUAUUAAUGAAAUAAUUUAAAAUUGAGGGAAAAAAAACAAAUUUAGAGACGUUUUGCUAUGUAGAUAUAUAAGGAAAGAGAUGAAAAAUAAUAAAAAAUUUAAUUUAUUUGAAUUAUAUUAUUUAUAAGUCCUUAAUGAUUUUACUACUUUACUUAUUGUUGAGAUGAUCUAAGUGGUUUAUUGAUGGUGCAUGAUAUUUAUGCAUUAGUGGUGCAUUAAAGAAGUUUUAAAAUAAAAAAAAAAACUUGUAUACAAAUCCCCUCAAUAAAUGAAAUAAUUAAACAAAUUAAAAAAAAAAAUUCUGAAAUUUAUUUUUUUUGGAUUUCAUGAUUCAUCAUGUUUUCCUUUAGAUUUGAAGAUUCAAAUUUCUUUUUAUUUUUAUUAUUUUGGGUUCAAUAUUCUCACUUCCCAGAUUAUCAUGGUAUCUUCCCUCAAAUAUUAAAAUGAUUUUAAACAAACCUAUACAAAUUUGUGAAUGAUCGGGAAAUUUCCACCCACUAACCUACAUACUGGUAUUCCAUUUUCUUUAAAAUUCCUUUUAAUUAAGUUAAUACUUAAAUAAUCUUUUUUUUUUUCUAAAUUUUAACCAAAGAUUUCACGUGGAUGGCCCCCGCUGAUUACCACUCACCCUCGUUGGCCGCCACUUUGGUUGUUUGAGUCUAGAUUUCACCAUUAUUUUGUUUUCAACCCUCUUUUUUUUUUUUCAAAGAUCAAUGUCGAAACUUCAACAUUAAAAUGAAGUAUGUUUUGGUUGGAUUGUUUUCAAUUUUCAAAAUUUUCUUUUAAGUUUUUCUAUCACCGUUUAAGUCAAUCAAACAAUAUCUAGAAUGCUGGAAUUUCGCUUGCGGUUUUUUGUGUAAUGUGAUUAUUGGUAUGAUAUGAAUAUGCGGUUAUGUGUUGGAUAAGAAGAUGAAGAAGAAAGAGGAGGAGGAGAGAGAGAAUACUAAUUAAAUUUAAUUUAAAUAAACAUAUUUUUAAAUCAAAAGAAAACAAAAACUACAACACGUGACACUCUUUAAUUAGUUGAAGUUUUUAUUAAAGAAGAAAAAAGAAAUAAAAAAGUCUGGGUUGGUUAAUGUCAAAGCAAUGUGAAGGAAUAUAUUUGAGUUUUCUAGAAAACAUACAAGUCGUAGAUUGAAAACGAACUAUUGUCAUUUUCAAAUUAACAUAAAUGACUUUGUGUACCUGAGAAAUGAAUGGACCAACCAAACAAUAACGAAAGCCUAAUCUGGUUACAUGGUUUUUAUUAGAUAUGUCUUACAGACAAAUCCAACUCAUCUUUUGAAGAAAUAUUUGUUUUGGUUCGUGAUUUAAUGAUGUUGAUAUCUUAACUAACCCACACCAUUGAACAUCCCAACCACGAGACUCUCUCUCUCUCUAUAUAUAUAACCGUACAGUACGAACACAAUGGAUGAAAUUCAACUUUAUUAUUCAUUAACAAAGAUUUUAGAACGUUACACAAAGAAUUGAUGGCAACUCUGUAUGAAAGUAGCAUUUUUAGUACAAUAUUGAGGGUUUAUACAGCCUUAACCCUAUUAAACCCUGUUAUUUAUUUUACAAGCAAUUAAAUUAACUAUAAAAUUGCAACAAAUUAAAGUCCUGAAGUGAAAGGCACACCGGUGCUCGGCAACCAAGAAUUCCCAGCCAGAAAGUUACCGACGGUGAACUUUGACACCUCACUUGCGCUCUUAAGAACAUGGUAGCCUCCCCAUUUGACUCUAUUAGACGUGGAUGAACCGGGGCCAGUGUUCAUAUACUCCGCAUAAUACAGCGUCUUAAGUGCAAAAUCACCAUCCCAUUCCAUCCAGCCGGCCGGGUUAAUUAAGCUAUCCAGAUACGUUUUCAUGAAAACCGUCCUCGAAUAUUGUUUCCAUGGCCUCCCUAGAUAUGUCUUCACCGAGCUUUGCACUGGCUUCAAAUCGGAAGCUGCUGUAACUCUGGAGUUGUGGAUUAUAAUUCCAGUAUUCUGGUUUGGGUCGGUCCGGCCUUGAGCCGUCACCGUGUUGGUCUUAUUAGGGGGAUUGCGUGCGUAUAUGUUGCAGUUUUGAAACACAACGGCUGCGUUGCCGAAUAUCCAAUCAACGGUCCCGUAGAUGUCACAUUCUCUGUAAAAUUGCCUUUCGGAAUGGACGUAAAGAGUGUCUUGGUACCCUUCGAAGCUGCAUUUGUAGAACACCGAGAGAUCGGAGCCUGAACGUAGAGCCACUGCCUGAUGGUUAGUAGGACCAGCGGUGUUUCUGAACGUAAUGCCACGAGCAAUGAACCCAUCUCCAACAACGGCUGAUAUUCGACAUUAUUAUAAAAAAAACAAAUUAAAAUAAUAAAAACCAACGUAAGUUAGCCUUUUAUUUUCAAUCUAGAAAUUGAAAAAAUCUAUUUAUUGCAGAUCCUAUCACAUCAAUCAAAUUGAUGAUUCCUUGACUAUAAAGGCUAUGACAUUGAAAGGUAAUACAUGUCACUUUCAUGCAUAGCCUAGCUCCUGCCAGCACUUCAAAAAUUUUCAUUUAGAUUUUGUAAAUGUAAAAUUAUAUUUAUUAAUAUAUUUUUUAUGAAGUGUUUAUAUUCACAAUGAAAUAAACAACAAUUAAGUUUCACAACAUUCAAAUGUUUAUUACUAAAAAUUAUAUGCAAAGUUUCUUCUUCAAAAGAAAAAUAAUUCAGUUGGUAGUAAUUUUACUAUGUUUUUGCUACUUAUCCUAAUCUAACUUGAUAUAUAAAAUUAAGUAUACAUAUCUUCUGGCAUACCCUAAAUAUAUAUAUAUGAAGAAAAUAAUAAAAAAUAUAUCAUUUAUUGUUAAUUCAUUAUCAAUGUAGCUAAUACGAAAUCAUAUAUGUGAUAUGUUAUUUGGUAAUUAUGGUGUAUAAUUUUUUGAUGUAAUAUUUAAAAUUAUUUAUAAUCUUACACUUAUAAUAAAUUUGAUGCCAAUCAAAUUAAAACUUAAUUAAUAUUUAUAAUUAUAUAUUAGAUACCUACAUUUUUUUUCAACAAAAUUAGGUGCCUCAUUAAUUUUAGACUUUUAGGCUUGUUACAUUUUCCAUGUUAACACUACUACUAUUACUUUUAUGUAUGUACUAAGCUAUAUAUAAGUUAUGUUUCAUUGAAUUGAAUUAGGAUUUAGUCAAUUUCUUAUUAAUACAUCUAUUAUUAUCAUUGAUUUGUAUAAGCCUGGCAUGUUUAUUUGCUGUAAAAAUUAUGUAUUAAAUUAAUGUCUUAAUUUAGUAUUGUUUUUAUUAAAAAAUAUUUUAAUAUUUUUAAAGAAAAGCUAAAACCUUUUAUUUCUGGUUUUUAUUUAAAAAAUUUAAAAAAUUUAAAAAAAAUUUAUUUAAUAAUACUUUUAUCUCAAAAAUAUUUUUUAUAACGUACAGCUAAACUGGUCAGUUUUAUUUAUUAUACUAGUUGUCUAGUUGGUACCCAGUCUAAACCUAGUAACUAGCAAGAUGUUUCCCUGCUAAUAUUGGCUGCCUUUUCUUGCAAGCUACACUCCCAUCCCACGGCACUCGUAAGAAAAUCAUGCGAAAAUCCCAAAAGUUUACUCACCAACGGUGGCUGAAUUGAACGUUGUGGAUCCUCCUCCGACGCUUUUGCUCCCUGUGAUUAUAGUUUUCCCUAUACCAUCGCCCACCAUCAUGAUGUUUUUCAGCUUGCUUCCUAUCUCAACAUUUUCCUUGUAUGUGCCUGCCUUAACGUAUAUCACAUACCUUCCACUUCCGGACCUCUUCGAAGCAGCGGAUAUAGCGUCUUUUAUCGUCUUAUAAUUCCCUGAACCAUCUUGGGCCACGACGAUAUUCGCCGUAGAAGCUGGCGACGACGAUUGCAACAGCUUCCUGUCACCGGGUUUCACCCAUGUCGGGAACCCAUCUUUGUAGGUUGGUUCCUUGUAAGGUGCCUUGUUGAGAGCCAGGGUGUUACUAAUUAACUGGGAAACGUUGUUAGACAUCAUGGGAAGAAGAUAAUCCGGGACCCCGAGUUCCAUAAACCCGGUCCGGCAUGUUUCGAGAUUGGUUAAAGCCGUGCUGAGCCAUGUUUGAGCAUCAUCCUUAUUGAGAUUGGUGCCGGAAUCAACAGUUUUGUUGAGACGAAGGAUGGUUAACUCAUACAAGUUUACGCAAUCGGACCAUGCAGCCUUUUCACGUUCAUUCCGGCACUUAGUGCCCAAUGAAUGCGUGUUACUUUCUGCUCGUGCGGCACGCUCUAGAGCGAGGUGCGUGGAGAUUUUGAAAAAUUGGAACUCAUCUUUGAUUGGGGUUUUUUUGGGAUCAUGGCUCAAAAAAUACUCGCACGGCUGUGGGUUAGGAGUUUUCCUGCACCAUGAUCUCACAUCAUUAGCCCUAUAUCCUAAAGCAACCGGAAAAAGAAAAACAGGCACCAAGGAAAGUGCUACGAGGAUUUGAAGACGUGCCAAUGCCAUGGAUGGCUCACCAAUGUGUGAAUUGUAAUAGGUUUCGAAAGGUUUAAGUGGGGUUUAUUGUGGGAUAUUAAUGCUCUAUCUCUGGGUCUCUUUAUAUAGAUGUUUGGGGUACUGAAAAGUCUAAAAUGUUUUUUGCUUCAGCUAGCAGUAGUUAGUACAAAACUGUAUGAUGGCUGUUUUGUAAGCGAAAUAAAAUUUGAUGGCUGCCUUUUUCUAUCAAGUACAUAUUAUUUGAAGAAAGUAAAGAAAAAAAAAAGGAAAAAAAAGAAGAGAAAAACAAUGUGCAUUGACCUUCUGAAUUACAUGCAAAUGCAGUAUAUAUUGGACAGACAACUAGGUAACAAUCCUUCCCUUCCUUACCUAGAGCGACCUGUCAUCAAUUAUGACGCUGAAAAGUCAGAUUGUUUGUAUUUCUGAUUACGUAAUUGGCUUGGCUGCAUGUAGCCUCUCAAUACCAUGGAACGGGUCCUUAAUUUCAAUGGAUUCUAUUAUAUAUUUUGUGUACAAAUUGUUUUAAGUUUGAGAUGUUAAUAGGAUGGAUCCGGCGAGUUCCAGUUUUAAAAUUUUCAUAUAAAGUAGUAAGUAAAUCUUAAGUUGAGAGCAGUUAGCUAAUACCUUCAUUUUAUUAUUCAAAAAAGAUAAAAAAAAUAUUAUUAUUUAUUUAUAUUUAAUUAUAACUUAUAAGAUUACUAAAUAUAAGGUUGAAAAACACAAAGGGGGCUAGGUUGAUUGAGCCAAGCAGACUGAACCAACCCUUUUAAUUUUAAAAAACAUGUUAAUAUAUAUGCUUAAACAUGUUUAAAAAUUUAUUUUAAAAUUAGGGUUUUUUUUUUUAAUAAAAGAGAUGCGAAAACAAUUUAAAGGUAAUAUAGUUUAAAAGCAAAUAAAAUAGUGAGGAAAGAUUCAAAGUCGUCAUUGACUUACCUGGCUUACUGAAUUAUUUUACCGAUCUUCCCUUAAGACUCAUCUCUGGUCUAAAAUUUCAAUUUGUUUGACUUUUUUUUUUUUUUUAUCUCUCAAUUUAUUUAAAUGGCUGGGGCGUGACAAAUUGGCCUAUAAAAUUAUUUAGCAUGCAACUCAUGUUCCCGUAAUAAUUAAAGAAAAGUCUCAAAUGUUACCAUGAAUUCUUGUUAUGAUAAUUGUUCUGUUAGGUGCGGAAAAAUAAUAAGAUACGAGUACAAAUACAUUAUUUUUGGUUGAAUUAUAUCAAACAGCAUGCUAGGUUUUAUUGCAUAUAUAUAUAUCAAAUCUGGACACGUUGAAAUAGCUAAUACAAACCACAAACACAUCGUUACAAGUGAUAAUUAAUAAAAAAAAAAUCAACAUUUAAAUUGAAUUACAAAGUGACUUCUCAAGUAUAUGAAUGUUGUUCUUAUCCAAACCAUGUUUGUAUAAUUCAUGGAUCGAAAAAAGAUUGAAUUUUAAAAUAAAUAAUUAAGUCUAUUUUUACUAAAACUAUAUAAAAAUUAAAGGUUGUGCCCCACGCCUCCACUCCACGCAAAAGCCCUACGUUUAUAUAAAAACUUUAUAUCGUAAUCAAGGUCAAGGAAGCCAAUUUCCAUGCCAAAUUGGACUAACUAGUUAACUGCAAUCAAAUAAUUGCGAAUAUAUCCAAAUAAACUUUGCAUUAAGUUGAGUUAUGUUUUUGUUAAUCCAUACGCAUCGCUUGUGCUAUAAUCCUAACUCAAAACGUCUCUGUUAAUUAGUUUGUAACACGAAAGUUGUAUAAACAUAUUACAGUCAUAAUCAAACAGUUUCUAAUACUUACGAGGAAAAACCCUUGUCUUUAAUUUCAUUUUGUAAUGAUAAUACGGUAUUAGGUCUUUUUCAUCCUUCAUACUCAGUAACAUUUUCUUUUAUUUUUCAGGUGAAAGCUGCCAAUAACUGAAAAAAGGAUGCCAUUUGAUAACAAAAAAUAGUUGGCAUUACUUCAUUUAAUUGCUGUGAUAACAAACUUAUAACUAACUAUCUUCUUGGCUAUAAAUGUAACACAAAAUAACACUUCUACAUUACAAUUACACUUCAUCUAAAAUUUUAGAUUCCUAUAGGCCUAAAAUUUUGUUCAAGACUAACUCCGAUAUUAUUUUUUUGUAUAAAAUAUAUUUUAAAAAUAUAAUACAUUAAAAUAAAUAUUUUCCAACAAAUUAAAAAUAUAUUAAAAAAGUCUUUAUACUUAACAAGCAAAUGCCUUUAAAAUAGUAAAAAAAUUAAUAAUAAAAUAAGAGUUAUACAAUAUACAAACAAUAAUAAUAAAAUAAUAGCAAAAUGACAACAAACAAUAGUAAAAAAAAUUAGACAAAUUUAAGCUGAGCCGGGUCAAAAAAAUCUUACCCGAGGCUUGGCCCGUUUUGGAAAACAAAUAUUUUUUUGUCUAAACCCAUUUUUUGAACUUAUAUUUUUACCUAAAUAUUCCUCCCAUUUUUUGAACGGAACUCCAAAUUUAAACUAAUAACCCGACUUACGAUCAAAUCUAGCUACACUCAUAUAUCAUAUCAUGAAUAAAUAAAUCAUUUGACCUAAGCUAUGAAAAAUUCCCUCUAAACUACAUAACUUUUCAUCCAAAUACAUUUUCCAAAAAGUUCAAUUACUGAAUUUGUAAGGUUUGGGAAACAAGUUGAGGUGUUAAGAAAAUAAAUGUUGGAAGUUUAAAAACUAAUCCAAGUAUCCAAUCAUGGACGAUUGAUUUUGACUUUUUUUUUUUUUUAUUCUUUUGCGCUGUAUUAAAGGGCCUUUGGUUUUGGUUUCAUCAGAUUCUUAACACAAAUUAGCCAUAUGCUUAAGCAUCAUUAUCCACUUUAAUUGAGAAAUGAUUUUGACUAUCAAGUUGCGUGUGCACACUUGCACCUUAAUCAUAAAAUAAAAAUUCAAAUGCCGUUCAAAAGAAAUAAAAUCCAUCCACGGUUUGAUCCCCAACGUUUUUGAAUAUAUAUAUGGGUUUCAACAAAAAAGGCUGUGGGUGAACAACUCUGUAGGAGAUUUUUCUAUGUAUUUUCAUCUAUUUUACUGUUUAGGCUGACAAUUUUUUUAACAAGACAAUGUAUUGACAUCACCUAACCCGAUCAGUUCGACAAGUAAAAUAACAAUAGCGGAACAAUGCCAAAAACAUAAAAGAGCACAACAGAAUUCCCCAACAAUGAAACCAAAAAGCUCCACACAAGAUAAACAACGGAAACCUACUAAAAACGAAACAACCAUCACACCAUACAAACCUCGACAUGUGAUUUCAAUUCGUACCACAACCACAACCAAAAUUACCUUGUAUUUAUAUAGCACCUUGACCUUUUGAAAGAAAGCAAACUAUCAAUUGAUUUCGUAUAUUAAUUUUCGAUGCCACUUCUACAAAAGUGAUAGUCUCAAAUAAAACCUUUCAAUAGCCAUCUUUUCUCAUAAAAUCUCAAAAUUUUUUGAAUAAGUUUCAAUUAAGAAAAAUAAAUAUUUAAUGUAGAACUUGAUUAAUCAUAUAAUAAUUUUUAUCUCUUACUUUUCAUUCCAAUUUUUUCCUUCAAAAAAAAAUUGAAAGUAAAGAUUAUCUAAAUUUUUUCACCCUAAGACUUCAAUUACAUAGUGAAAAGAGAAAAAAAGAAGAGAAAAGUUGGGUGUUGUUGAUUUUAUUUUAAUAAAAUAAGAUAAAUACAAAAUCUAAAACUUAGAACCAUUUAUUUUGAUCUAAUGACUAAGAUCAUUUGACUCUCAUCAUUCUCAUUUUAAAAGUUAUUAUUAUAGUUACCAUAAUCUUUUAUGAGAUAUAUGUUUAAAAAUGACUUGGUAAUGUUUAAUAUUAUAAGUUAAUUCAACAUUAAUUUGAAAUUAUAAAAAUUAAAGUAAAAAUAAAAUUAUUUCCUUGUGAUAAUAUUUAUAUCUUUAAUAUAUAUUAUUUUUGGGAAAAGGGUCAAAUGAAAAAGCUUUUAGUGAUCCAACUGUGUCCUCAAUUGGCCCCCAAAAGUUAAUUGGCCCUUAUGUUAAUAGUCAAUGACUUCCUAAAAUGAAAAAUUUCUCUUCUAGCUUUUUUAAAUUUAUAAAAUUUUAAAUUAGUAAUGAUAAAAUUACAUUUUGUCCCCUCAAAAGAUAAAUAAUUUAUUUAAUUUCUUAAAAAUUAUAAAGAAUAUAUACUAUUAAAAUGGAGAAAUUACAUUUUUACUAUUAUAAAAAUAUACAACUUAAUUCCACCACUCAUUUUUUUUUAGCUUUACCCCUGAUAAGAAAGGGGACUUUUCUGUCCCUAUUCCCACUAACCUUGCUUUUACUAGUACCCUUACUAGCAACCUUACCUAAGAAAAACACACAACAUGGUAAAAAAGGCAAAAAAAGAGAGAGAGAAAUGAAUGAAGACACUCACCUAACAAAAACAUCCCAAGCAACUCAAAAUACUUUGGACAACUUCAAGCAUUAAAUGAAUAAGAAAGAACAAAAGUACUUGCAAAAAAAGUUAUAGAGGAAGAAUUAGAGUUUGAUAAUUAAAAAAAAAAAUUUAGAGAGAUUGCAGAAGUGAGGAGAACAACAUGAGAGCUCUUUAUAUAUAUGACACUCGUUUCAUGCACCAUCAACACAUGUUUAUUGAUUUUGGCAACACUCUUAAUCAAAUACAAGAAGACUCAUGGCCUACACAUCAUUAUAACGUUUACAAAUCAUGUUAUCUAAAUAACGGCUAAUGCGCGUAUCCUUAAGUCAUGCUUUCAUUAAAUCAACAGUUACAAAAUUGAAAAUUUGAACAUUCUAUACAAGGGCGAAGGGAGGGGCCCUUGCCCCCUAAAACUGGAAAGUUUUGGUUUAGACCCCCUAAAAGCUAUCAAGUUACAAGGAUACGGCAAAAUUAUAGUUUGACCCUUCAAAAUUAUAAAAUUUUAAUUUAAUCCUAAAAAUUGCAAAAAUUCUACAAUAAUAUAGUGAAAUUGUAUUUUAACUCUCAUAAAGUUGUAUAACAUUAUCCCGCCCCCUCCCAAUUUUUGUUUUGGCUUUGCUCCUAAUUCAUACCAUGCCACAUAAGAAAAUGAGAUCCCUCAGCAAAACCUUUGGUCUAGGAGGAAGUCUCCCUUCACUGGGUGGCAAUUGUUGUACAUACAUUGUUAGAGGACUACUUCGUAAGACAAAUGUCUCUGUAACACCCCCAACCUAUAUCCCUCGUCGAAACCGGGUUAUGGAGCAUAACCGGAGUUUACAGAUCAAACAGAUAGAAAUUUCAACAUUUCAUAUAACAUAACAUUCAUGUUAAAAACCAAUCAAACUCAUACAUAUUGUCCCUUAUUCGAGCCCUCGAGCCCCAAAACACGCGUUAGAAACAAGUCGAGACUAAUUCGGAAGCUUAGGAAAUUUUUCGAAAUACAUUAAAAAUUUUCAAAGCUGUAACGGUCAGAUGGCCAUGUCACCUGGCCGUGUGUCACACACGGUUGAGACACACGCCCGUGUCUCUACUCGUGUGGACGAAAAUAGAUCAUUUUACAAGCCAUAUUUGUAAUACCUCUUAACCCUAAACCGUCGCCAGAACAGGGUUACAAGGCAUUACCAGACAAAUCAGACAAUUUACGGAUAAUUCUUAAUAAAUAAAUAAAUAACAAGCAUAUUAUAGUAUAAUUAGAAAGUCAUUUUUUUAAAAUAAAAAUUCAAUAUAACCCCUUUAGAAUUAUCUAUCCUUCCCUGCAAUUUUCAAACAACAACCAAUCCAAACAAAUCAAUUCAUGAAUUUAUACAUCUCUAAUUAUAAUAAAAUUAAUAAUAUAAAGUUCUAACAUUUUUAUGUUUUUAACAAUCUAACAUAAGAUGUCUAAUUGAUUCAUUUAAAUUAUCAUUUAACAAAAUUGCAUAAAGUUAUGACAUAGACUGUGUUUAAGACAUAUAUAAUUGUAUGGAACAACUAUUAACAUCAUUUAUCAGUAAUACUUCUAUAACAAAAUAACAACUUAUUACGACCUAGGUACAUGUCAUUUACAAAAGAGAAAAAUACGCCACCAUGCAUUUGAGUUCGGGAUCGGCUUGAAUGCUAAGUCGUUAAUCACUUUUGUACCUAACCUGCGCACGGAAACAAACCGUACGCUGAGUAUGCACUCAGUGGUAUUUCUAUAAGCCAUCACUUAAAUAAUUAUAAAAUACAUAUAUAACACUACAUAAAUUCAAUACCUAUUCAAAUAUUCACAUUUUAAUCCAGUGCUCUAUUUUAUUAUAAGCUCAGUAUUAAUCAUUAUUUUUCAAUAACAAUUAUUUGUUUAUUGUUAUUCAAUAACAAUCAAUUAUUUAGUAUCAAACAAUCAAUAAAAAUCAGUUAUUCAGUCUAGUAAUACAAUCAUUUUGAUAUUCAGUGCAAUAGUUUACACCUAUUAACAUAGCUCGGACUUAGACGGAUACACGGAUCCAACCAACACACCAGUACGGCACUCAGUGCCUCAUCGGCUUUGCUGAAGUAAACAGUAGUAGUACGGUACUUAGUACCUCAUCGGAUUAAACCGAAGUAGCAGUAACAGUACGACACACAAGGUGCUUCAUCGACUCGAAGUCGAAGUAACAAUACGACACUUAUAAUGCCUGAUCGACUCAAAGUCGAAGUAUCCCUAAGCACUUCUAAUCCUAUCGCAUGCCAAUUAUAUCCGACUCAGUCCGAUACAGUUAAUAGGGUAUUCAAUUCAUUUCCCAAUUCACAAUAAUUAAUUAUUUCAAUAUCAAUUUCACAAUGAUAACAAGAUCACAUACAUUCAAUUCUUUAUCAAAACACUAAUACUUACCUUAAUAUCUUUCCAUACACAUCAAAUAAUAAAAACAACAAUUUAAAUGUUAAGUUUGGUUUAUAGAAAUACAAACCGUAAUUCUCGGAUUACUCUUCGUCAACCUUCUCUUUUCCUUUCCUUGCGGAUGUCUCGAUUUUUUAUUAGCUACGAAAAUAAAAAUAAUUUAUAUUAUUAAUACAACACUAAUUAAUAUUGAAUAAUUAAAUUUCUAUUAAAUUUCUAUAUUAAUUUCAAUUUAAUCCUAACUAAAUUCAUUUAUUUUUCCAUCUCAAUUCAUAUCUCAUUUCUACUCAAAUUUCAACUAAACUUAAACUUAACUAUCUAAACUUCAUCAUAAAUACCUAAUUUAGAAAUUCUUGCAAUUUAGUCCCUAUCAUACAAAAUUUAUAACUUAUUCUAUAAUUUAAUCUAUCUCCCACUUUUAGUUAAAAAUUCUAUUAAUUCAAUCCUCAAUUCACACUUUUACUCAAUAAAAAUUAAUGUCUAAAAAUCUAAUAUCUUUGAAAAUUUCAACACAUACUUAAUAAUAAUUUGCUCCAAGUUUAUAAAAACUAAAAAAUUACAAGAAAAAGGACUUAAUUUGACUUACCAAUUUAAAAUUGAACCUUGAAAACCCUAAAUUUCUUCUUUUCUUUUCUCUUUUUCUUUUCUUUCUAUUUCGUCCCCUGUUAUGUUUCUAUUUUCUUUCUUUCAUUAAUUUAUAUACAUAUAUAAUAAUAAUAAUAAUAAUAAAAUAUAAAUAUCUUUGUUAUAUAAUAAUAUAAUAAUAUAUAUUAACUUAAAAAUCUCAGAUUUUUUUAAAACAUAAACCGCCUCAAUUUUAUCAUUUUGGUUUAAUUUCCUUUUUAGUCCUUUUUACUUUUUUAAUCUACAAUUAAGCUUUUACUUUUUAUUCACUUUAGUCCUUUUUACUAAUUACUCUAAAUUAAGCUAAAUUCACUUAAUUAAAACCUUAUUAAACACAUCCCUAAACUCAUAAAUAUUUCUAAUAAUUAUUUACGAACCCAUUUUGCCAAGACGGAGGCCCAAUAAUGUUCUUUUUCGAUGCCCGUGAAUUUUGGGUCAUUACAUUUCUUCCCCCUUAAUAAAUUUUGUCCUCGAAAUUUACCUGAAAAGAGGUGGGAUACUGUGAUCUCAUAAUCUCUUCUGAUUCCCAACUUGCUUCUUCAAUAUUUUGACUUUUCCACAAUACUUUCAGUAAAAGAACUCGUUUAUUAUGCAAUUCCUUUACCUCUCAAGCCAAUAUCUUAACCAGUUCUUUUUCAUAUGACAGAUCAGGUCGAAUUUCAGUAUCCACUGUAGAAAUAAUAAGAAAUGGAUCUGAUCGAUAUCUUCUGAGCAUAGAAACAUGAAAAACAUCAUGAAUCUUUUGCAAUUCUGGAAGCAAAGCCAGACAAUAUGUAACUGGUCCAACUCUCUCAAUAAUCUCAUAUGGCCCAAUAAAAUGAGAACUUAGUUUUCCUUUUCGAUCGAAUCUCAUAAUUUUCUUCCGAGGUGAAACUUUUAAAAAUACCUUAUCACCAACCGCGUACUCAAUGUCUCUACGUUUCAGAUCUGCAUAUGACUUCUGCCUGUCAAAAGCUGCUUUCAAUCUUUCUCGAAUCUUCUUAACAGUGUCUUCUGUUUCUUGAAUUAAUUCUGGCCCACUAUUAUUGCAUACAAAUUCAGCUAACGGUAGAUAACGUUCCCAACCGAUUCAAGAUCAGGUCGAAUUUCAAUUCCUCUGUAGAAAUAAUAAGAAAAGGAUCUGAUCGAUAUCUUCUGAGCAUAGAAACAUGAAAAACAUCAUGAAUCUUUUGCAAUUCUGGAAGCAAAGCCAGACGAUAUGCAAUUGGUCCAACUCUAUCAAUAAUCUCAUAUGGCCCAAUAAAACGAGAAUUUAGUUUUCCUUUUCGACCGAAUCUCAUAAUUUUCUUCCAAGGUGAAACUUUUAGAAAUACCUUAUCACCAACCGCGUACUCAAUGUCUCUACGUUUCAGAUCUGCAUAUGACUUCUGCCUGUCAAAAGCUGCUUUCAAUCUUUCUCGAAUCUUCUUAAUAAUGUAUUCUAUUUCUUGAAUUAAUUCUGGCCCACUAUUAUUGCAUACAAAUUCAGCUAACGGUAGAUAACGUUCCCAACCGAUUCAAGAUCAGGUCUAAUUUCAAUUCCUCUGUAGAAAUAAUAAGAAAAGGAUCUGAUCGAUAUUUUCUGAGCAUAGAAACAUGAAAAACAUCAUGAAUUUUUUGCAAUUCUGGAAGUAAAGCCAGACGAUAUGCAACUGGUCCAACUCUCUCAAUAAUCUCAUAUGGCCCAAUAAAACGAGGACUUAGUUUUCCUUUUCGUCCGAAUCUCAUAAUUUUCUUCCAAGGUGAAACUUUUAGAAAUACCUUAUCACCAAUUGCAUACUCAAUGUCUCUACGUUUCAGAUCUGCAUAUGACUUCUACCUGUCAAAAGCUGCUUUCAAUCUUUCUCGAAUCUUCUUAACAGUAUCUUCUAUUUCUUGAAUUAAUUCUGGCCCAAUCAUUUUCUUCUCAUUCAAUUCUAUCCAACACACUCGUGACCGAUAUCUCUGACCAUAUAAAGCUUCAUAUGGUGCCGUUUGAUUACUUGAUUGAAAAUUAUUAUUGCAUACAAAUUCAACUAACAGUAGAUAACGUUCCCAACCUAAUUCAAAAUCAAUACUACAAGCUCGAAGCAUAUCUUCUAGAAUCUGAAUAACUCGUUCUAAUUGUCCAUCGGUCUGUGGAUGGAAUGCUUUGCUAAAAUUAAGUUGAGUACUAAGAGAUUCAUGCAGUUGCCUUCAAAAUCUGGAUGUAAACCGGAGAUCUCGAUCAGAAAUUAUUGACACUGGAAUACCAUGUAAUUGUACUAUCUCCCAAAUAUAAACUUCAGCAAGUUUCUGAAGUGAUCAAUCCGUUCUGACUACUAUAAAAUGAGCUGACUUUGUAAGCCGAUCAACAAUCACCCAAAUAGUAUUUUUCUUACUUGCUGACAGUGGUAACCCUGUUACAAAAUCCAUUGUGAUGCAGUCUCAUUUCCAUUUAGGAAUGUUAGUACGCUGAAGUAAACUAGUUGAAACCUGAUGCUUUGCUUUGACUCGCUGACAUGUCAAACAUUUAGCCCCAAAUUCCAUUAUAUCCCUCUUCAUACCUGGCCACCGAUAUAAUUCUCGAAAAUCACGGUACAUUUUUAUUCAUCUGGGAUGUAAUACAAAAGGACUAUCAUGUGCUUCUCAAAGUAUUAACUCUUUCAAUUCUGAAACAUUUAGAACAUAGAUUGAAUUAUAAAAUCUCAGACAAUCAUGCUUAUCAAUACUAAAAUUCCCUACUAUGUCACUUUGAACCAUUUCUUUUCUCUUCAUUAGCUUAUCAUUUUCUAAUUGGGCUGGCUUGAUUCGUUCAAACAUCACUGGUUUAAUUCUUAAUUCAGCCAAUUAACCUGUAUCAUCACUAAUACUGAGCUGUGCAAACAUCGCUUGCAAUUUAAUUGCUGUCUUCCUACUCAAUGCAUCAGCUACCACGUUAGCUUUACCUGGAUUAUAAUUAAUAACACAAUCAUAAUCUUUUAAAAGUUCUAUCCAUCGACGCUGCCUCAAAUUCAACUAUUUCUAUGACAGAAGAUACUUGUGACUUUUAUGAUCUGUAUAAAUGUAACAUUUUUCACCGUAUAAAUAGUGUCUCUAUAUUUUCAAAGCAAAAAUCAUAGCUGCUAAUUCCAGAUCAUGUGUCGGAUAAUUACGUUUAUGUGGUUUCAAUUAUCGAGAAGCAUAAGUUAUCACUUUUUCACUUUGCAUCAGUGCACACCCGAGCCCAUUUAAAGAAGCAUCGUUAUACACAAUAAAAUCUUUUCCUGAUUCUGGUAAAGUCAAAAAUGGUGCCUCUGUCAACAUCUGCUUCAAUUUCAUAAAGUUUUUUUGACAUUGAUCAUUCCAGACAAACGGAACAUUCUUUUGCAAUAAUUUUGUCAUCGGUAAAGCUAUUUUUGAAAAUCCAUUCACAAACCUUCGAUAAUACCCAACUAAUCCAAGAAAACUACGUACCUCUGACACAUUUUUUGGAGUUUUCCACUGGACGAUUGCUUUAAUCUUCUUUGGAUCCACUCUAAUUCCAUCUGCUGAUACCACGUGACCAAGAAAUACCACCCCUGAUAACCAAAAUUAGCAUUUACUCAAUUUCCCAUACAACUGUUUCUCUCGUAAUGUUUGCAAAACAAUUCAAAGAUGCUGCUCAUGUUCAGAUUCGGACUUUGAAUAUACCAAAAUGUCAUCAAUAAAAACUACCACGAACUGAUCCAAGUACGGCUGAAAAAUUCGAUUCAUAAGAUCCAUAAAAGUAGCUGAAGCAUUUGUUAAUCCAAAUGGCAUUACUAAGAACUUGUAAUGGUCAUAUCUUGUACGAAAUGUUAUCUUCGGUACAUUACUUUCUUUCAUCUUUAACUAAUAGUAGCCCGAUCUUAAAUUAAUCUUUGAAAAUAUCGAAGCUCCUCUCAAUUGAUUAAAUAAAUCAGCAAUAGGUGGUAACGGAUAUUUAUUCUUGAUUGUUACUUUGUUCAAUUGUCGAUAACCAAUACACAACCACAUCGAAUCAUCUUUCUUUUUAACAAAUAACACUGGAGCUCCCCACGGUGAGGUACUAGGUCGUAUAAAACCUCGUUCUAGUAAAUCUUGCAGUUGUACCUUCAACUCCUUCAAUUCAGUAGGUGACAUCUAAUAUAGAGAUAUCGACACUGGAUCUGUACCCGGGUAUACUUCGAUCACGAAUUCAACUUCCUGAUCAGGAGGUAAUCCAGGUAAUUCUUCAGGAAAUACAUCAGGAAAUUCACAUGCAGUCCGAAUUUUACUACAUUUGUUCUCCACCGAAUCUGAAUUAAUAACAAAUGCUAAGAAAGCAGCACAACCUUGAUAAACAAGCUUACUAGCUUUAAUUGCUGAGAUAAUACGAACUAAUUCACUGGUCCGAAUACCAUUUACUUCAAUCUGAUCACCAAUUUCAUUCUGUACAGUGAACUUCUUUUUAUAGCAGUCCAAAAUUACCCCAUGUUUUGAUAGUCAGUCCAUACCUAGUAUAAUGUCAAAGUCGCCAAAUGGCAUAAUUAACAGAUCAAUAGAAAAGAUUCUAUCCUGCAUCAUUAACGAGUAUCUUCGACAUAUUUGAUUUACUAACAUAGUUUGCCCUAGAGGACUAGAUACUUCUACUGUUACUCUAGACAGUGCAGGUUUUAAUUUUCCCAUUUCAACUAAUUUUGUAUUAACAUAAUAAUGUGACGAUCCUAGAUCUAUUAAAGCAUAAACGAGUUCUGAGUACAAUAAAAAUAUACCAGUCACCAUAUUGUGAUGUGAUGAUCUUGGAUCUAUUAAAGCAUAAACGGGUUCUGAGUACAAUAAAAAUAUACCCGUCACCAUAUUGUGUACAUCUCCUUCUUCACGAGUUCUUUUAACGCAUGCUCUGGCGGGGAUCCAGCUUCCGAUUGUUGAGUGACAACUUCACUUGUUCUUCUAGCACCUCCUCUACUAACUGAGCCACCUUUGCGUGACCCUCGACCUCUGGAAACAGAUUAAGAUCACUGUGAUACUUCUUGUGCUAUACUUUUAAUCUUUGGGCAAUCUUUAACAAAAUGAUCAGUGGAUCCACAACGGAAACAACUUCCAAUUAAUUUCCAACACUCUUUUCGAUGUUUAUUUCCACAGUAUUGACAAUUUGGAAUUUCAGUAUUCCGAGUUGGUCCUCUAAUGCUACUAGUGGAAACUGUCGUCUGCCUACCACAAUUUUUGUCACUUCUAUCUGAUCUAAAACCAAAUCUACAACUGCCUCGAAAUUCUUUUGAUCUCUUAAGUUGUGGAUUAGAACUUGUAGUUCCAGGACGCUUUCCAAGUGAACGAGAAAUUUCAGGAUUUUUAUCUAAUCCCAACACUUGUUCAACCAUUUUAGCUCUCUCAAUUAAAUCUGUAAAUUCAGUAAUUCGGAGAGACACCAAUUGUAAUCGUAGUUCAUCAUAAUAACCCUUGUAGAAAUCGUUUGCAUCUGUCAGCUUCAGUCGGUACAAAUUCGGUUGCACAUCUACUCAGUCUCAAAAAUUCCCGUUCAUAAUCUGCUACGGACAUGUCACCUUGUUUCAGCAUUAAGAACUCCUGUUUCCUAUCUUCCAUAUAUAAUUCUCCCAAAUAUUUCUUUUGAAAUUCUCCUAAAAAGAAUUCUCAACUUAUCUGUUCCUCUGAUACAUGUUGAGUUACCGAUUCCCACCAUACGUACGUUUCUCCUUGUAACAAAUAAACGAUACACAAUAAGCUUUCCUGUGGGGUACAUUCAAGUUUCUUCAGAAUUCUCUUUGUAGUUUCUAUCCAAUUUUCAGCUACUGACGGGUCAACUCCCUUCGAACCCAGAAAUUCGAUAGCACCAUACUUCCGCAACUCUUUAAUCGGAGCUCGUCGAGUAGUAGGAUUAGGGGUCAUAACAGGUAUAGUUCCUACUGCUCUUUGAAGGGCAUCGACGAUCACUCUGAGUAUUUUUGAAUUAUCUCUUUCUCUAGUAUUACCCCUUUCAACAUUUGAUGGUUGAUUACUUAUUGGGUUUACACUUGGCGUUGCACACUCUGAUUUAUUCAUAUCAUAUAAUUCAUCAUUUUCAUUAUACAUUUCUCAAUCAGUAUCUUCAAUAUUUUCACCAGACAUCUUUAACUAUAAAACAAAAACAAUAAAUCAGUAUACAUAUAUAUCAACAUCCAAUCCCGACUCAAAUUUAACUCAAUUAUGGCAUGUACCUCUAGACUAAAUCUCAAGUUCAAUUUAAUCCUUGACUCGACUAAACUUAAAUAGCUCUGAUACCACUAAUUAUAAUACCCUUUACCCCUAAACCGUCGCCAAAACAGGGUUACUAGGCAUUACCAGACAAAUCGAACAAUUUACGGAUAAUUCUUAAUAAAUAAAUAAAUAACAAGCAUAUUAUAGUAUAAUUAUAAAGUCAUUCAUUCAUUUAAAUAACAAUCAGUUAUUCAGUAUCAAACAAUUAAUAACAUUCAGUUAUUCAGUCCAGUAAUACAGUGAUUUUGAUAUUCAGUGCAAUAGUUUACACCUAUUAACAUAGCUCGGACUUAAACGGAUACACGGAUCCAACCAACACACCAGUACGGCACUCAGUGCCGCAUCGGCUUUACCGAAGUAAGUAGUAGUAGUACGGUACUUAGUACCUCAUCGGAUUAAACCGAAGUAAUAGUAACAGUAUGACACACAAGGUGUCUCAUCGACUCGAAGUCGAAGUAACAAUACGACACUUAUAGUGCUUCAUCGACUCAAGGUCGAAGUAUCCCUGAACACUUCCAAUCUUAUGGCAUGCCAGUUAUAUCUGACUCAGUCCGAUACAGUUAAUAGGGUAUUCAAUUCAUUUCCCAAUUCACAGUAAUUAAUUAUUUCAAUAUCCAUUUCACAAUGAUCACAAAAUCACAUACAUUAAAUUCAUUAUCAAAACACUAAUACUUACCUUAAUAUCUUUCCAUACACAUCAAAUAGUAAAAACAACAAUUUAAAUGUUAAGUUUGGUUUAUAGAAAUACAAACUGUAAUUCUCGGAUUACUCUUCGUCAACCUUCUCUUUUCCUUUCUUUGCGGAUAUCUCGAGUUCUUUAUUAGCUACGAAAAUAAAAAUAUUUUAUAUUAUUAAUACAACACUAAUUUAUAUUGAAUAAUUAAAUUUCUAUUAAAUUUCUAUCUUAAUUUCAAUUUAGUCCUAACUAAAUUCAUUUAUUUUUCCAUCUCAAUUCAUAUCUCAUUUCUACUCAAAUUUCAACUAAACUUAAAAUUAACUAUCUAAUUUUCAUCAUAAAUACCUAAUUUAGAAAUUCUUGGAAUUUAGUCCCUAUCAUACAAAUUUUAUAACUUAUUCUACAAUUUAAUCUAUCUCCCACUUCUAGUUAGAAAUUCUAUUAAUUCAAUCCUCAAUUCACACUUUUACUCAAUAAAAUUUAAUGUCUAAAAAUCUAAUAUCUUUGAAAAUUUCAACACAUACUUAAUAAUAUUUUGCUCCAAGUUCAUAAAAACUCAAAAAUUACAAGAAAAAGGAUUUAAUUUGACUUACCAAUUUAAAAUUGAACCUUGAAAACCCUAAAUUUCUUAUUUUCUUUUCUCUUUUUCUUUUCUUUCUGUUUUGUCCCCUGUUCUGUUUCUAUUUUCUUUCUUUUUUUCUUUCUUUCGUUACUUUAUAAUAAUAAUAAUAAUAAUAAUAAAACAUAAAUAUCUUUGUUAUAUAAUAAUAUAAUAAUAUAUAUUAACUUAAAAAUAUCAGAUUUUUUUAAACAUAAACUGCCUCAAUUUCAUGAUUUUAGUUUAAUUACCUUUUUAGUCCUUUUUACUUUCUUUUAAUCUACAAUUAAACUUUUACCUUUUAUUCACUUUAGUCCCUUUUACUAAUUACUCUAAACUAAGCUAAAUUCACUUAAUUAAAACCUUAUUAAACACAUCCCUAAACUUAUAAAUAUUCUAUUAAUUAUUUAUGAGCCCAUUUCGCUAAGACAGAGGCCCGAUUAUGUUUUUUUCUGAUGGCCGCGAAUUUUUGGUCAUUACAAUAUUUCUCAUCCAAUUCGGUGUCAACCUACAAUCCACAUUAUGCAUAUAAACAAGUCGUAUUAUGGCAUCCAAAACAAGCAAAAUCAACUCUUAAACAUAUAGUAUACUUACAUACAACCAAUAUGCCUUUAGGCACCUCAAAUGACAAUUAUAAACAUGUUAAUCAUGUAAUCCAUGUAACCAAAAAAUCAACCAACUUUUAUGUAUAAUUACAUUAACACACAACAUGUAAACCAUUUACCAACACUUGACAUUUGGUACCAAUUGUAUCAGUUAGUCAAUAGCAUCAAAUACAUAUACACUUACUAUAGCAUAGUAUCAAAUCACACCAAGUUAUAAAACAUACCUCAUAUGCAUAUUCAACUACUAUUUUACCUUUCAUCAUUCAACCACAAAUCAUUCUACACAUCAACAUUAUAAGGCUAAUUAUGCACACACCAAAAUAUCAAAACACCAAAACAUAAGUCAAAUAAGUGGCUUAUCUCAACAAAACACAUAUAGGCCAACAUUUAUCCAAAAUAAUCUAUACAUGCCAUUAUAACCAAAAUCAAAACAUCCGAACGUGCUGAUAGAAUUGAUGGAUAGUGUGAUAUAACUCCAACAAGCUUCCAACCUAAUUGAGCUUCCGAUAAUAUGUGAAAUAAAUGAUAAACAACUACGUAAGUAAUGAAUGCUUAGGAAGCUCGUACAAACUUUAAUCAUAAUAUUCCAAUUCAAUAAUAAACUUUAUAUAUUAAAUAUAAAGCUAUAUCAAUGCCUCAAGAUUUAUCAACUACAUAACCACUAACUCAUAAAUGAGUAAGUCUAUCAACAUCAUAUAUGUAUUCAUUUCUAAUUUAAUAGGAUUUUAUAAAUAUUAUACAUCAUCAUUAACCCUUUUAUAAAACUACGAAUAACUUCCUUUACUUAUUUUUCAUUCUAUUUACUAAACAUAAACUUAAAUAACAAAUCAAUUAACUAAUUAAUAUAUUUAUUCAUAACAUGGGUAAGUUCAACCAUAACAUACGUAAUUUCUCAUAUAUAAGUACAUUUUUCAACUCAUCAAUCCCUUUUUCAUCAUAUCACAUUUCAAUUAUGAACUUAUCGUUUCAUUUGUAUAAUACCAGACAUAAGCAUAUACAUCAAUUAUAAUCUCAAGCUUGACAUAAGCCUAAUCACCAUCAUACACAAGUUAGUGCAUUUAUGUAUGCAUUUAUAUAUAUAACUCAUUUUCAUGUUUCAAAUCACUAUCCCAUUUUCAAUACUCAUACAAUAUCAUCCAAUAUCAAUCAUAGUACCGUUUUAUUCAAUUAUCCUAUUAACACGACUCGGACUUGGACGGAUACACAGAUCCAACCAACACACCAGUUUGGCACCCAGUUCCUUAUUGGAUAAAUUUGAAGUAAUAUGUACCUAGCGCUAUAUACAUUUGACACCUAGUGCCUCAUCGAUUAAACUAAAGUAAAUUGGCACCCGGUGGCUCAUUGACUCGAAGUCGAAGAAAUCCCUGAACUCUUUUUAUCCUAUGGCAUGCCAUCUAUAUCUGACUCAGCCCGAUACAGUUAAUAGAGUUUAAUUUCACUUCCAAAUACAACCAAUAUCUAAUUAUCAUAUUUGCACCUAUAUAUAUUCCUUUCAAUUCAAAUAAUCAACACAUUCAUAAUUUAUACACCAAUUCAAUCCAUUUCAAUUAACUAUCAAAUGUCAACCUUUUUAAUUCAUACAUAUUAGCACAUCAUUUCAACAUCAUUUUGUACUAUACUCAAAUUGCACAUGCUAACAUCUUUUAUUUGAUUAAUAAUGUCCUAAUUCACACAAUUGCUGUAUAAAUAGCUAUUCACAUAUCAAACCAUAAUUAUUUAUAAUUGGCAUUAGCCAUUCAAUAAUUAACAAAUCUUUCAAAUUCAUUAAAAAUUUUAUUGUAUUGAGAUUUUCCAUAUGAAAAAAGACCUACGGAUAAGAGUACAUCAUCAACAGAAGCUCAUAGAGCUGGUCCACCAGAACACGCUAACAGAAGAAGAGCUGAUCCACCCAAUCACUCCAAACAGAAAGUAAAACAUGAGAGUUUGCAACAAAUGCUGAACUCCGGUUUAUAUGCCGAUAUCUCCCUCCAAUACCAUCGUACACCAAUUUACGAAUGUACUCAAAUCCCGCGUUCCAUUCAAACCGAAACCCAAUUCAAUAUUAUAAUUCCAACAAUAAUUUAUUUCCAACAAUAGAAUAAAUAAUAUCAUUCAUCAAUUUAUACAAAAUGUUAAAUUUUAACCGUACGAACUUACCUGGCUAAAUUACAGAAAUACGAAGGUUCAUGGGCAUUUUGGUAAUUUUUUAUUUUCUUCAAAUUUGCACCCGAUCUUGAUCUAAAUUAAUAAUUCCAUUCAAUUUAUUAAUUUAUACAAUAAAACAAUUCAUUUCAUGUAAUUUGGUCAUAUUUUACAUUUUACAAAAUUACCCCUAAAGUUUUACUUUUAUUCAAUUUAGUCCCUAAGCCCAAAUCAUGCAAAUUAACUAUUUUUAAUGCAAACCCAUGCUAGCUGACUAUUCAUGGCAUCCAAUACAACCAUUUUUGUAAUAAUUUCACAACAAACCCUUAUAUUUUUACUAUUUCAACAAUUUAGUCCCUAAUCAGGAAAUUCAUCAAAAAUCACUUAAUAAAGUACUUAUCUAAAAUUCAUAAUUUAAUAACUAAAAUCAUAUAGAUUCAUCAAUUGCAACUUCCAAGAUUUUUAAUAAGAUAAAAAACUAAGGUAAGGUUUAGUUGGACCUAAUUGUAACAAUUUCAAAAAUAUAAAAAUUACAAGAAACGGGUAAUAAUUGAACUCACAUGAAGCAAAAUAUGAAGAACCAACUUAAAAAUUUCUCUCCUAUGGCAGUUUAGACCGAAACAAUAAGAAAUGUCUAGAAAGUUUUCAAUUUUCAAUUUGUUUCAUUUUAAUUUCAAUUAAAUUACAAUUUUGCCAUUGAAUGACUUUAUUUUAUUAUUUUCCUUCCUUAUGCCGCAUCACCCUUUUAAUUUUGGUCUAUUUGCUUCUUAAGUCCUUCCUCUUUUUAUUAAUCAAGAUAUUUAAUCUCUUAAAUAUUACAAUUAGUAAGUUUUACACUUUUUUCAAUUUAGUCAUUUUUAAUUAAUUAACUAUCGAAACAUUAAAAAUUUUCAAUGAAACUUUAAUACUACAUUAAUGAUACUCCAUAAAUAUUUAUAAAAAUAUUUACGACUCGGUUUAUAGAAAUAAGGUCCCGAUAUCUCACUUUCUAAAAUCACUUUUUACGAACUUAUUUGCCGAAUUUGGUGGCCUUGAACUGAACAUUAUAAUCUCACUUAGAGACGAGGUGAGGCUACGCCAAACUAGAGCACUUAACUAGUGAGCCUCUAUUGACGAGAUGGCUAUCAUCUAUCACUCACAUACUUUGUAGUCCAUCACAUCAAGUCACAUAGCUAACCUAACAAAGAGACAUCACCUACCUAAUGAGAAGGCCUAUCUUGCCCUUGAGGGGUAAACCAAUAAAAGCUCCAUUAGACACAUAUUUAAGCUUAGGAAAAUCAAAGGCCGGCCUUACUUAUAACUACAAAAGCCCUUCACCAAAACAAUGGGAACUUUCCAAGAAAGUGACAUAUAGCCCAACCUUCUACCACUAACUCGACUUGCAAUAGAUACACUUUCCACUAUGUGAACCAUAAUUCUCUUCUUCCAUACUUCCUUUUCCUCAACAAAUUUAAUUUUAGGUGUGCAAGUUAGUUGAAAAGUUUAAUUGAGAAACAAAAUUUUCCAUUCCUAUACCUAGACUCUUUCUAUAUAACUAAUAUCUUAUUUAGACAUCAAAAUUCUAUAAAAUAUGUAUAUAUAUGAAAAGUUUAUACAUUCACGUUAUAACUAUCUAUAUUUUACAUGUAUUAAACACAUGGAGAUGUGAGAAUAAAUCAUAAUUUCAAUGGUGAAUAACUAAAUAAAUUAUUAUGUAGGUUUAUUCUUCUUAUAAAACGUUUAAAUGUACGUGAGUUUUGGAAAAAAAACUCCUUGAGUUACAACUAUAGUAGUCAAUAUUGUAUCCUUAUCGGUUAUAUCAGUUGGUAUGCAUCAUUCUUAUCCUUGAUUAGUAUCAAAUAAUCCAAGUUAUUGUUUAGUCAAAAUUUGAUGCAUUUCGAUUGUUCUAGUGUGUUUUGGCCAAUAUUAAUCUUAUUUUAAAUAUUUUAAAAUUUUUAUUUAAACUUUAUUUUAUAUAAUAUUAAAAGUAGGAAAUGGGGUGACAGGAUUUAAACCAAUGUCUAAAGGAUGUCUAACGAAAGAUUUAAUCAUCACUCUAUACAGGUAAAGAUAAAAUCACAUUUAAACUUAAAAUACAAUUAUUAAAUUAAAUUAUUGAACCUAAUUAAUAAUUUUAAAAAUUAUAUUUGCAUAUAAAUAUAUUGUAAUUGAGAUAUAAAUGCAUAUAUAUAUAUAAUAUAAUUUAUUAUAUAAAAAAUAUAUGUGAAAAUAAAAAUAUUAAUAAACUUGAAAUUGUAUACUAAAAUAAACUGAUACCAUUAAUAUCAUGUUGAUUGAUAUAGAAGUGGUUUAAUUGAAAAGUACAACCAUUUAUAGGCGUAGUGGUCGUUGAAGUUAAUAACUACAACUUUUUGUAGUUUACAAAUUAUAAUUAGUGAAAUAAUCACCGUUCAAAUAAAAAGGGAAAAAAACAAAUAGGCCCAACAAGAAAAUACAAAAAACCCAUUUUAUAAAAAUCCAUUUUCAGCCAGAGUUGAAAAUUGUCCAUGUUUAUCAAGCCUAGAAGAGAAGAAAAUUCAAGGCCCUAAAACAAAACGUCUUCUUUUUUUCUUCUUCGGCCCGUAACGAAAUUAUUAGGCAAAGAUUGGAACAUUAGACCCGACACGCCUAUUUGGAUGUUAAUAUGAUGGUUUAUUUUGAGUAUAAUUACAAGGAACAUAUGUUAAACCUAAAUUUUUAUGUCUCAUAUUGGGUAAUGCCUUUAAAUUCAUGUUAUUCACACUUUAAUCCAAUAGAACAAUCAUGUAUUCACAUCACAUUUAGCCUUAUGGUUUCUUGUUGGUAGCAGAUCGAUACCUAGCAGCAUAUCGGUGAAAUAAGGCCAGUGCAUUGCUUGUUAGCUGUGCAACGUUCAUUACUUUACCUUUAAUGGUGGCCUUCAUUUUACUCAUCCUAUGCCCCGGGAACUCAUCCACGCAAUUGCUAGCAUCGGUUAGGGCAGCGCUAAUCCAAGUAUCAACAUUAUCUAUGUGCCAAAAUAGGUCAUCGAUCAUCCCCGCUUUCAGAUCAAACCGGCGGAGUUCUCUGUUUGAGUGGCUAAGCUGGUUUAUGCUAUCAUCUAUUUGUUGCAAGCAAUCUCUCAGGGCUGGACACUCCUUCGAUUUUAUUGACUCCAGCUCUUUUGCCACCUUCAACAUGUACAACCUUGUUGAACGAGCCUUGUAUAGGCUCACUGUUAAGGCAACUUGAGCCAGUUGCUGCUCGUUCCGAACGUUGGAGUUGGCGUAGCGGGACAGACAUUUAAUGCAUAGGGCCGGAUAUAGAGUGGUUUGACACGAGACCUCAAUGAAGGCCUUGGUAUCCGGAUGUUUAAAAUGUCUGGCUCGAGCCAUGGAUGAUUCAACCGUGCUGAGGUUAAUGUAAUAGAAGAUGAAGAGAAAGAAGAACACCAUGGAGAGGCGGAGUUCGGCCAUUGGUAAAAAAUGGGGAAGCUGAUAUUUGAAGGGUUUGAACUAAGACUUGAGACAAAGAAUGAAUGCAUAUGGAAAGUAUAUAAAGAAGAUUUGUGGCAUGCGAAGCCAUUGCUAAGCUUGCAAUUUACGUGAAGUUAAAAGAGCAAAUAAACUUGGUGUCAAUUUAGCGAAGCAAGUAGAAUAAAUAAGAAAAUGUCUCCCAGAUCAUGUUAAAUCGCCGUUAAGAGCGCAUUAUUUGAACCUUCCUUUUGCAGUAUAUUAUGAGCAGGGAUUUAAAUUACGGUCGCGGUCGCGUUUUCGGUCGCGUCGCGUUUGUCGCGGUCGCGGACAUAACGGACGCUAUUGCGGUUAUUGCGGAUAUCGUGGUCGUGAAUUUUUUUAAAAUUUGCACAACUUAUUAUAAAACAUAAGAAUUAUAAUUAUAAUUAUAAAAAAUCAUUUUUUAUGAUUUUUAGAGUUUUAAAUAUUUGGACUUUGAUUGCUUUUUGCUGUUUAUUUGGACUUCAUUUUUCUUUUUUUUAAUAACAUUAUAUUGGGCUUUUAUUAAUAGAACAAAAUUACAAAAAUUCUAAAAAAGGGCCAAAGCAGAUGGCCCAAAGUAAAAAAAUCUAAAUAUUUUUAAAGUAAAAAAAUCUAGAUAUAAUCCUAAAAAAAGGCACCGAUUCCUUGCCCAAUCAGUUGAAAUCUGCCCUCUCUUCUUCCCAUAAUCCCGUCAUUUCAUUUUCAAAUUGACCAUUUCCUUUUUCAAAACUUUUCCUUCCGAACCGUUCCAUUUUCUUAUUGUUUUGAAGCUUUCUUCCUUCCGUUCUUCCUCUCCUGGUUCUUUCUAGUCUGGUUCACAUAGCUAAUCGUAUCUUCUUUGUUCUUCAGCGUACUCAGGCCCUCAGGGAGCUCCAUUUCCAGGCAUACCUCCUCUUUUUUGUUUUUUGUUCUUUUUCCCGUUAUCUUCUUUGUUCUUUGUUCUUUUUCAUUUUUUUGAUUGAACUGUGUUUCAGUGUUUCUGUUGAUUUUUGUUUAGAGGAGAUGAUUUUUUUUUAAUUUGCUGUUAACGGGAAAUAACGGGAAUAGCGGCCCGUUAUUGCCGCAAUUGGCCGUUACCCGUUAAAUUGCGGCCGUGAUCCACCAUUAUCGGUGUGACUCCGCUUCUUACCGCUAUUUUCAGCAAUUGCAGUUUCGGACGACGCCGCUACCGCUAUAUAACGGCCGCUAUUUCGGUAACGGACCGUUAUUUAAAUCUCUGAUUAUGAGACAAUGCAAAAUGUUGGUUUUUUUUUUGGUUGAAAUUUUGGGUUAUAUAAUUAUGAGUUAGGUUUUUUUUAGUAAAAACAAUGUUAAAUAGAUAAAAAUAUUUUGACUUUAUAGUUUGACAAAUCAAACAACAAAAGUAAGGGCUGCUCUGGAGAGAGGCGCUUACCUCCAGUGCACUACAUUUAACUUUUUUUUAAUCCCAUCUUAUAAUAUCUAAUUUUAUUAUUACUUUUUUUACAUUAACGAUAAGUAAACACACUAUCUAUUUAAAGGAACUCUAAGAAAAUAUUAUUAUUUUUUGACUUUUUUAAGUUUUAAUUAUUUUAAACAUGUAAGUUUUGAGAUUUUAAUUUCUUACCCCACAUUUUAUCUACAUAUGCCCAAAACACUAAAAUAAAAUUUUUCAUCACACUGUUUAAAUGCAUUUUUUUCUAAACCUAAAAUUUUCUUUAACAUCAAAUACUAAACUAAAAGUAUGAUUUGCACUAGACUUCUGACAAAAAUGACUGGUUUAUCGGCGAUGCCUAUGGCCGACCGCAACUAGUUAAAGCUUCUGUGGCCAACAUGAUCCUUCGUUCAAGGGACCCAGCUAAGAACAUGCAUCUAAACUUCAAAAAUUAUGGUUAGUUUAAGUUACUUGAUUUUAUGGCACUCAUGGAUCAUGUGAUUGAGUGGUUUCUGCUCAAAAUCAAACCCACAAAAUCAAUCAAAUGGUAUAGCUUUUCCAAGCUGAAUCUUUAAGGCUCGAAUCUCUUCACAUAGAAAUACUAGCACAAUCAAAUUAAUCAUAUGAGGUUUAGAAGGGAAAAAAAACUUUGAUUGGACUGUGAUUGAUCUCAAGCAAUUCAUAAACAUAUUCAAAACUCUUUAAUAUUUUUAAGUAAUAAUAAAAGAAUUUUAAUUCAAAUUCAAGCUCCAACAUAAAUAACUGGGUUUGAAAUUAAAUUAAAAAAAUAAGAACAAAACUAACCAUGUAAGCUAAAGCUGAGUCCUGGGUCAGUUUUGAAUAACAGUAGUAUACAUGUUAAAUACAUGCAAUAGAAUAGAUCAACAUCUGUUAUCUAGGAUAGCAGCUUGUACAUAUCUAUGCAGUCACAUGAAAAGAACAAGUAAUACCAUUUAACAUGAAAACGGAAACAUUGAUGAUCAAACACCGUUUUUGAGAUGAACAACAGCGUUUUCAUCACCAUAACCUCUUUCUUACAUCUGCUCUUCAGUAAUCUAAGGUCCCAAUGCGGCGUAGAGACAGAUGAUGCUCAAAUCAUGGACUGUCUGCUGCAUUCUUGCAGGCAAUCAAACCCAGAAGAACAGUUGAAGCACACAAAGACAAAGGAACUUUGUCAACAAACAGUGAGCUCCUAUGUCGUAAUACAAUUACUACAGUUGCAUGACUACAGCAAUAACAACAAAUCACAAAGACAAACAGCACACUAUAUUAGUCCAUACGUGUAUUACUCAUCAAACUCUUAGAUUUGCAUAGUGGUGGUAAUUUACUCGUUAACCUUCAUUCCGGAAAGAUAAACUCGGCUCUGGAUGACACUGCCACCAAUCCAAAAGCCAGGCAUGACCAUGAGCCCAACCUUAGGCUUCUCCUCGCUUUCAUCCAUUAUCAAAUUCUUCACUACACUUUCCAUAUAAACCUCUGAAUAUUCACUUCCCCUUUUAACUUGAAAGACUUUCACGUUAGGGUUGAAUGAGUAAGCCAGCCGAUGCAAAAGCCAAAUAGAUUUAGCCAAUUUUAGAAAGGCUUGGUAAAAUGGAGUCCUAGGAUGCCCACCUCCUGUUACAUAAUUACGCUGGUCUAAAUUUCCAAAGAACGAAGCUUCCAUCUUUGGAUGAACAACCAUCAGGUACUUGCUCUGGGAAAAUUUCCCGAAUAAGGAAUCAGGAUUCUGGCCCAACAUGUCCAAUGGAUCCAUCUCCCUCAGAGCCAGAUAUUGCUGGAAGAAGCUCUCUUUAUUGACUGUAACAUUAUCCAAUUUAAUGGAGAAGCUCUCCUGUUGAAACCCACUGAACAUCCUCUGGCAAAUGUGGGACUCAAAUGCAUAUUUCUUGUGAGCUCUCUUGGCAUAAACCACAUUGGGCUCAAUUGAGUCAGCGGCAGCAUCAAGGUCCCAACCAGCAGCUUUCAUCAUGUUGAUUAAUGGUUUAGAAAAAUCAUGAAUAGCUUUGUAAGCAGAUUCAACAACUGAUGUGAAGAGCUCAGGGGUCAAAUCCGCAGGAAAGAAUCCAUUUUCUUCUCCUGAGCCUUCAGAUUCCUUCAUAGACAAGCCCCUAAGCUUUAUAUUCUUUUCCAGUUUCACUCUCUUCUGGUUUGCAUCUUCAAUUUGCUGCAGCAACUGUCGAAUCUCAGAAUCCUUGUUCUGAAUUUCAGACUGAAAUUUCUUAACCAUGACCUCAUAGGUUUUCAGCAGGCUCUGUUGUUCUUGGAUCUCAGCAGCUAAACGAGAAUCUUGAGGAGAAACGCACACUGGCUUGGGAUUCUUUUCUCUAUAGAAGUGCUUCAGUUCAGAUAUAUUCUUCAGCUCAGAUAUUACAAGUUUAUCAGCAGCUUGAAUUUUUUCAGGGUCAUAGGGAGUAUGAGCAGUUUGUAGCUGAAUAUAAGCUGACUUGAGGGAGGAGAUGUUCGUAAAUAAUUUGGAUAUUAGAGCUUCCACAGCUUCUGGGUUCUGGUUCAUGCUCUCUUCCAUAGGUUGAGGGUGGACUUUUUGAUUGCUGCUAUCACGGAUAUGAGUAUCUUUUGCCCCAGUCGGUAGCAUAGUUGUUACCAACCAAGGGGAUAAUUGAAAUGGAAUCUUUCAGAAAGGCUACUGCUACCAGAACACCUGCAAAUUUGGACAACAUUACUAAUGUAAGUAAACCUUAUGCAAGUUUCCACGAAUAUCAUAUAUGAUGCAAAGCAUCAAAAUACAAAAGACAGAUGGCUCUCAGCAUGAUCUGCUAUUCUAGACAUGGUUAAGAUUUGAACGAGUUCUCAAACUGAACAUAAUAUACCAACACGGAGCAAUCUCUAUAUUUAUUAAACUCACCAAGUUCUCAGUUAAAAUCUAACUUCUGGUUUAACACACAGCAUCACUUGACUGAUAUUUCUGUGCUGUAUGGUAACUUGGAAAUUAUAAACAACAAAGGGUGAUCCCUACAUUUAACAUAUAUUUCAUACACAAUAGGAACACAAAAAUACAGUUGAAAUUUCAUAGUGAUCCAAGUCAUCAGGCACACAUCUUGGUAAUUGAAUACUCUACGGGGACACAAGUAGAUAUAUAACAAAAGAGUAAGGACCUGUACAUACCUGAAAAGAUCACAGCCCCUCUCCAAGAUAUAUCCAGUAAACAUAAUCACCUUCAACCUGAAAGCAAUAGUAAUGAAUAAUUAAAUUGUUUCCAAGAGCAUGAUAGAUUAAAACAUAUGCAACAAAUAAUUAAUCAUUAAUCAUUUUGGAAGUUCAUCUCAUAAGGUACACUACAACCCUAAAAGCAAAGUUUUAAGAAGAAAAUGAUAAAAUUCUGGAACCACUCAGAAUUCUUCAUUUGGGUGAGAAAACGAGGUAAAUAACACAUUCUUAAUAAGCAAACCGUUCAGCUAAACAAGAUUCCAGUAAUGACAACAAUAUUUAGGUUAAAGAGAAAAUAUCCUUUGUUUAAAGGGAAAAAGCAAGCAACUUAAACUCCAAAUCUAUGGUUGUACAGUAAUAUAAGACCUACACUGACCAUGGUUAACAAGGUAAUUUUUUGGUUUGGUAGUGAUUAGCUUUGUCGGGUGGAAGAAGAAAUUUACCUGAUCGGAGACGGAGCCAGACGAGAUGGGGAAUAUUUUCGGACAAAAUUAUUAAACAAGUCAGCGACAGAGAAGCAAAGCGUCGAAUAGGUAACCUUUUGCUGAAGUUUUUCUUUUUUGGGGGUAGUAGGCCCACGGUCCACCACUAUAGAACAAAGCACACCCUAUGGCUAUGAUGACUGACGUGUUAUCUUGGAAUUCAAAAUUGGUCUUUCUAGUUUCCUUUUAUCUUCAAAUUAUAAAUUACAAAAAAAUUAUAAGAAGCUUGUUAGUUCAUAAUUUUUAAUUUCUUUUUACAAGGAAGUGAAUCAAGUAGGUCAAAAUAAGGAGAUUAAAUUAGCUGUAUUUUGAGUGUAUGAAAAUACUAUAAUCAUGGUUCAUGUCACGCCUAAUGAUCAUCCAUCCCACUAAUUAUUUCGAGUUAGGGAAUAUGUAUGUGUUAAGUAUUAAGGGACUAGCUCAAAACGAGAGAGGCCCUAAAUAUGGGGACUGCCUAAGAGAAAUUUCGGCCUUCUCACUGUAGGUCUGGUUUCGCUGGUUAAUGCAUUGGGGGCCCAUUUUAAAGCUAGAUAUGGAUAUGCCUAUGCCUAUGCCUCUUGUUUAAACUUCUCAGUUUCCUUGCUAUUGUUAGAUGUGUGCUUGCCUAAUUGGGGUCGAUCUACCUGCUAGAACUCGAACACCCGUCUAAAAAGCUAGUAGAGAUUGAGCAGAAAUAUAAGUUUAGAAAAUGGGAUUCGAAAAUAGGCCCAUUUUUUAAAUAAAUCAGUCUCAGGUAGAAUUUUUUUAUUCAAGUCCGAUCUGAAUUAGUUAUUUUCUUGUUGUUUUGCUAUCAUAUUGUUAUUAUAUUACUGUUGUUUUGCUACCAUAUUGUUAAUGUUGUUUUGUUGUUAUAGUCUUAUUUAAGUAUAAAAAUUAUUUAAUGUAUUUUUAAUUUGUUGGUAAACAUUUAUUUUAUUAUAUUUGAUGUAUUAUAUAUAUUUUUAAAAAAUUUAAUACGUGUGGACUGAAUCGAAUUUAAGUUUAAUAUUUUUAAUAUGGAUUGAGCAUAAAUAAAAUUUUAUAUUUAUUUUUUGGGCUAAACCCGAACAUAAAAAAUAAUCUUAAAAUUUUGCAUCGUCCCGUGUUUAUUGUGCCAUAGUAACAGUGUUUAACGUGCAUGGUGUAACCAUGAGGAGUAGGUUCUAGACAUUCAUGGCCAGUUAUUGCAGGUCGCUCGCUUGAAAAAUUGUAUUUGCCGUGUAGCUUAUUUUAUGCAUUUUUAUUCAGCUUGUGUGAUGAUGUAAAACUGUAGCAACCAUCUGCUUUUUGGGCAUAAUAAAACCAACUACUUAUCCAAAAAUAAUAAUAAAGUCAAAUUGUUUUAAUGAAGGACGAAAUAGCAUAGACUGAGAAAUCCUCGCAUUCUUUUGAACCACCAAUACAGCUAGGGCUUGGAAGAUUGAACCUCUAAAUGGAUGAAAUUGAUGUAGGAUAUAGAUGGAACUGAAGAAGAGGUACACAAGCCAAAAGGGGAAUUAUUCUGGGAAGCACUUACAUAUGUUUGAUUUAAGUAAAAAAAAAAUGAGAAUCCAACCUAAAACGUUCAAUAUCUGUUAGCACCGCAAAAUGAUAUUAGCAGUUGCAUUUAAAUACUUAAAUGCCACAUUAAAAAUAAAGUUAAAUGUGAAACAUGAAGAUACUAUUUUUCGGACUUUUUUUCUUAUUUUGAAAUAUGACUUUUACAAGAAUAUUGAAUUCCAAGCAAGUUAGAUGUUCUUGACCAACUCCACCCAACUAACUUGAAUUUUACUUCCCACCANNNNNNNNNNNNNNNNNNNNNNNNNNNNNNNNNNNNNNNNNNNNNNNNNNNNNNNNNNNNNNNNNNNNNNNNNNNNNNNNNNNNNNNNNNNNNNNNNNNNNNNNNNNNNNNNNNNNNNNNNNNNNNNNNNNNNNNNNNNNNNNNNNNNNNNNNNNNNNNNNNNNNNNNNNNNNNNNNNNNNNNNNNNNNNNNNNNNNNNNNNNNNNNNNNNNNNNNNNNNNNNNNNNNNNNNNNNNNNNNNNNNNNNNNNNNNNNNNNNNNNNNNNNNNNNNNNNNNNNNNNNNNNNNNNNNNNNNNNNNNNNNNNNNNNNNNNNNNNNNNNNNNNNNNNNNNNNNNNNNNNNNNNNNNNNNNNNNNNNNNNNNNNNNNNNNNNNNNNNNNNNNNNNNNNNNNNNNNNNNNNNNNNNNNNNNNNNNNNNNNNNNNNNNNNNNNNNNNNNNNNNNNNNNNNNNNNNNNNNNNNNNNNNNNNNNNNNNNNNNNNNNNNNNNNNNNNNNNNNNUCUCUCUCAACAAAAUUAACGCCCUUGUAAAAGUACUCCCCAGGUCUUCUUGGUGGAAGUGCAGAUCUUGCUUCUUCCAACAUGACCUUGCUCAAAAUGUUUGGGGAUUUCCAGAAGGACACCCCUGAGGAACGCAAUGUUCGGUUUGGUGUUAGGGAACACGGAAUGGGAGCUAUCUGCAAUGGCAUUGCCCUUCACAGCCCUGGCCUGAUUCCAUACUGUGCUACUUUCUUUGUCUUCACUGACUACAUGAGGGCCGCCAUUAGGCUGCCUUGCCUUGAGUCAGGCUAGAGUUAUCUACGUUAUGACCCAUGAUUCCAUUGGUCUUGGGGAAGAUGACCAACUCACCAGCCAAUUGAGCACUUGGCAAGCUUCCGUGCAAUGCCUAAUGUUUUGAUGCUCCCGUCCAGCUGAUGGAAAUGAAAGGCUGGAGCAUACAAGGUUGCUGUCCUCAAGAGGAAGGCACCCUCAAUUCUUGCCCUUUCCAGACAAAAAGCUGCCCCAGUUAGCUGGAACUUCCAUUGAGGGGGUUGAAAAAGGUGGCUACAUCAUUCAGACAAUUCUUCAGGCAACAAUCCUGAUGUAAUUCUGAUUGGAACUGGUUCUGAGUUAGAGAUCGCUGUUAAAGCUGCUGAUGAACUACGGAAGGAAUGGAAGGCUGUAAGGGUUGUCUCCCUUGUUUCAUGGGAGCUCUUUGAUGAGCAAUCAGAUGCCUACAAGGAAAGUGUUUUCCCAUCUGCUGUAACAGCUAGAGUGAGUAUUGAGGCUGGAUCAACAUUUGGGUGGGGGAAGAUAGUUGGAUCCAAAGGGAAGGCAAUCGGAAUUGAUCGGUUUGGGGCAAGUGCACCAGCAGGAGAAUAUACAAGGAAUUUGGCUUAACUCCAGAGGCUGUUAUUGCUGCAGCCAAAGAACUUGCUAAGCUUGGUUCAAAAGUCUCUGAGGAAACUUAAGGUUUUCGAUUGAAGAUGUCGCUGAAGAGCUGUUCCAAUUGUGACAGUCUCUUUUGUUUUGUUUCUUUAAUAAGAAACAGAUUCAAAUUGUCUUUUGUUGCUUAUGAUUCAUCAAUAGCAGCAGUGAGCAAAGGGAGGUUAGAGUUUCUUUAUGUUUAUGGAUUUGUAACUCCUCCUGGGGACUUCUCCGGAUUUCUGCUUUGGCCUAAGAUAUAAAUGAGUUUGUAUAAUUUUGCUUUUCAGAAUAAACAGUUUGAUUCCCCCACACUAAAUUGCUUAUUUUCUACCCUUUACUUGUUUGACGUAUUUUAUUGAAGUAUCAAGUAAAUAAUAAUACGACCCUACCCGGAAAACGAAAGGUGGUGGGUGGUUGGAAUUUGUUGGUAGGUUCCAGUCAUUAGAAGCGAAACUUAAUGAUUCGGAAAUGGUUUCAAGCCAUUCAAAAGGCUUGGGGAUGUUUGUGGUCGUUGGAGAUCCUGUCUAUCUUCUUGUCUUUAUGACUAAAAGUUAUUUGACAAACAAUGGCUUGCGAAAGUAGGAAAUUUCAGUCUCUUAUUUUCCAGCCGUAUCUCAGUUUAUUUCCAUGAAAUUGACUGUCAAGUCUGGUAUUGGCAUGGGACCUAUUUUAAGAACAUGGUUUUUGGUUUUAUGCAUGAUUUGGACAUGAAAAAGCUACUUCAGCAUAUUCAGCAUAUAUCCUGAUUCCAUAUUAUUUUUCUUCAGCCGCCUUAUUAUUUUGAUGGUGAACCGUGGAAGGUGAAGGUCCACCUACAACACAACUAUUGGAUUUCUUUUGGCUGUUAUGCUCUCUUGCUAUAAAACAGAUCCAAGGAGAGGACUGAAAGAAUUCUAAUAUUGAAAUUUUUUACAUAUACUUGGAUUCAAUUGUUUUCGUUAAUCAUCUUUCAGAGAUCUUUAGUUGUUAGGAAGGCUAAUAAAUUCUUUCAUUCUUUGCACUGCUUCUGGCAAGCCCUUUGCUCCCUAAGGAAUGAAACAACACUUACAAGAAUGAAACAAAUUUGAUUUUAAAAUGAUGCUUACUUUUAUUAUUAUCAGUAGUUCUGAGCAAUAAGUGAUUUCUGGGCAUGAACAUUAUAUUUGGAUAUUGAAAUAUGCAUAUUUCUUCUUCUUCUUCCUCCCAACUAAAGACUAUUUCCUUGGUUCUUUUCAGCAGCAAAAGGAGACUGAAAGAAUGAUUGCUGUAUGCACAGACACAACUCAGAAGGUAGAUUCUAGCUACCUUUAUUCUUAUACAAAUCCUUUAGAUUAUGCUCGGAGCAAGAGUUGAAGAAGGGCCAGAUUAUUGUGUAAUCACUCCUCCAUCCGAGAAAUUAAACUAGACAGCAAUCGUGAUGAUCGCUGAAUGGCCUUGGCAUUCUCUCUUGCAGCCUUCCCUGACUUGAUUUGAAGUUGUCGACAAAGAAUAACUGAGAGAGGUUCAUCCCACUGUCAUUAAAACAAGAGAAUAAAGCAAAUUCAGCCUUGCAUUUGAUGUCAGCUUUUAAUCUUUGAUAGUCUCCUAUCAUGGGCAAGUUGAGUUUGCCAUGAUAGCUUCCUAAAGUGUAACUCCUUUUUCUGCUUAGAGCGAUGGAUGACAUGGUGUUUAAUUCUUGCCAUGAAGACUGUAAUAUUAAACAGAAUGAAACUCAACUGAGGAUUGAUUCAUUGAAUAUUUCAAGGGCUCUCACCAUUUUUUUCUUUGAGGCCUGCAACACAGAUUUGCCUUCCAUGUCUAUGAAAACAGGGAAUUUUCUUUUAUAUUUUGCACACAUACAAUUUCAGUUGAAACAUUAUUGUGAGAACUUGGAAAAGAAGUUAGUAUAAUCUAUGGAGCGGCAGUUUAGAUUGCCGUAACAAUAAGAGGAAGAAGCCGACAAUGGCAGCGGAUUCAGUAACCAGAAGGGAACUUGUUUGAAAGGGAUAGCUACGGUUGAUCAUGGGAUAAGCGUAUUUUCCAUAAAUGAUAGAAAAACAUGCACUUUUUACUAGUUCCUGGUUACAUUAACUAGCCAGGCAUGGAACUUGUUGCCUAUUUGCCAGCUCUAAAGUAAGGACAACUUAAAGACAGCUUCCUUUCCACCAGAUCCUCACAUGGGGUUGGUGGAAGCCGUGAGGAAAUUCAAUGCUAGAAAUUGUCACAUGUUUUUCAAGAACAAGGAUGAAGAUGAAGAUGAUGGGUGAAGGGGCAAUGCGUAAGGAGGUUUUUGGUCAGAGUUUGGUGUAAAUCUUGAAGCUCACUCCUCUUUAAUUUUGAUGGGCUUGUAAAUGAAGUAAAGCUUUGUUUGAACAAGCUUAGUGUAAUUCUUUCUUCAGAUUUUAACAAUGUGAAUUGCUAUCUACAAUCCACAUGAUGCUAGCUUAGCUUACAUAAAUUACAAUCCAAGAUUUCUAUAGAAAAUUCCAGAGGAAAGUUGGUUGCUUUUGCCUUACACUGCAAUAAUAAUAAUAAUAAUAACUACAGUAUUUGUAGUGGCAUUAUAAUGUAUUUAUAUUUGGAGACACUUUGACAUCGAUUAACAUUAGGAAACAAAUGAAUCAGAAUAAUGCUGCAAAAAAAAAAACCAUUUUUAAGUUAUUAAUUGCAUAUUUAGGAAAAAUCAUGCUGAUCAUGAAUAAGAUCAUCUUAAAUUGUUGAGAAAGUUUUAAGUUUUAAUUGUCUCUGUUUUUGCUUUGUUUUUUUAAUUGUCAAAAGAAAUACAAGAAGAAAAUGUUUAGACUCCCUAAUUUUAACCAAGUCCAUUGAUUUCUUUAAAUUAAAUACCAUUUGUUUUUAUUUAAAAAAACCCUCUUUUGUUCUCUCUUCUUUAAUUUUAGAGCCAUUAGAAGAGAGACUAAAUAAACCCAAACCAACAACAAACAAACAAAACAAACAAACCCUUCCUUCCAAAGAUUCCCCAUUUCAUCACAAAAUAAAAAGAGAGCUUGCACGAGAGAAGUCCACCACCACCCCCACCCCCAGCCCAAAAUCCACCCCCAAAAUAAUAGCAAGAAGUCCCCUUUCAGCCUGUACCUUAGCCGUCGCCGCAGCCGCAGCCGCCACCGCCGCCGAAGCAGAGUUAUCCUCAAACGAUAGAUACCCAUUUCUCGAAAUCCUAAUAAAUAAAAAAGAAAAAAAAAAGGAUAUUCCAAAGUCGACGUCUUUUUCCAAAUAACCUCAGAAAUGUCAAAACAAAUGUCUCAUCUUGACGACAUUCCAUCAACGCCGGGGAAAUUCAAGAUGGAAAAAUCGCCGUUCGUUCACAAUCGGCUAAGGUGGCAUUCCUCUCUUGCAAAGCUCACAUUUUGGUCAUUUAUCUUCUUGGGCCUGAUCUUGAUCUUCUUCUUUCGAUCUCCCUCUUCCAAUCCCCUUCCGCAAGAUCCUUCCCGACGCUCUCUCCGUACGUACAACUGGGGCGGACCCGCUUGGGAAAAAAGGGUUCGUUCCUCUGCUCGUGUCCGUUCCCACAAUGGCAUCUCCGUUUUGGUUACUGGAGCUGCCGGCUUCGUUGGAACCCACGUGUCGGCUGCUUUGAAAAGGCGCGGCGAUGGUGUUCUUGGACUUGAUAAUUUCAAUGACUAUUAUGACCCUUCACUGAAAAGGGCUCGGCAAGCACUUCUGGAACGAAGUGGGGUUUUCAUUGUGGAAGGAGAUAUCAAUGAUUCGGCUCUUUUGAGGAAGCUUUUCGAGGUUGUUGCAUUUACGCACGUUAUGCAUUUGGCUGCUCAAGCUGGGGUCAGGUAUGCAAUGGAAAACCCUGGCUCUUAUGUUCAUAGCAACAUUGCUGGUCUUGUUAGUUUACUUGAAGUUUGUAAGUCAGCCAAUCCACAGCCUGCAAUUGUGUGGGCUUCUUCUAGUUCUGUUUACGGUCUUAAUACCAAAGUUCCGUUUUCUGAGAAAGAUAGGACUGAUCAGCCUGCUAGUUUAUAUGCUGCUACUAAGAAAGCUGGUGAAGAAAUUGCACAUACUUAUAAUCAUAUAUAUGGACUUUCUUUAACUGGUUUGAGGUUUUUCACGGUUUAUGGUCCAUGGGGAAGGCCGGAUAUGGCAUAUUUCUUUUUCACUAGGGAUAUUUUGAAGGGGAAGUCCAUACCAAUAUUUGAGGCAGCUAAUCAUGGUACGGUGGCUAGGGAUUUUACCUACAUUGAUGAUAUUGUUAAAGGGUGUUUAGCAGCACUGGAUACUGCCGAGAAGAGUACCGGAAGUGGAGGGAAGAAGAAGGGUCCGGCUCAACUGAGGGUAUAUAAUUUGGGGAAUACUUCGCCUGUGCCAGUUUCAGAUCUUGUGAGUAUCUUGGAGAGGCUGUUGAAAGUUAAUGCAAAGAGGGAUAUUACGAAGUUGCCACGAAACGGGGAUGUUCAGUUUACUCAUGCCAAUAUUAGCUUGGCUCAGAGAGAGCUUGGAUAUAAGCCCUCAACUGAUUUGCAGACUGGUUUGAAGAAAUUUGUCAGGUGGUAUCUUAGUUACUAUAAUGGUGGGAAGAAGGCUGCUGGGUAAUUCAUUCUUUGAAUUGCGGUACGAUCCUCCAAAUUCUUGUUCAUUAUCAUUCGAAUCCUUGUUUUUAACAAUACUCUGUUCGUUAGGAAAUUAUCGUUGUUUCAUACAUCUUUAAUGAUGCCAUCGUAUAAGGAAGGAUAUUAUGUCCUACUUGGGAGAAGUUUUGUGAUAACUGGACAUUGUUUGCUGGCCAGGCACACGUUGUAUCAAAAGAACACCAGAUUUUAUUUUUUUUCAUUUUUCUGUCCCUUGAAAUGUAACUGUUGUAGUUUUUCCGUUUAGAGCUUAUGAACUGAUAGAGCAUAUGUCAUUGAUAAUAAAAUAGAACUCAAUAAUACGACCGUUGGGUUGCAUCUGGAUAUUUACUUUGUGACUUUUCUUCUAAUGUUUACCAAUCCCCACCCCCCAAAGCAAAAGAAAAAAAAAGAUGCCCUCUAACUUCAUUGUACUUUUGUAAAAUUAAUAUGCUGAUGUUGAUUCCUUGCUGUUCUCUUUUGCCUUUAAGAUAAGUAAUUUUUUCUUGACUUUGACACCUAAAAAAGCCAAUGGUCCAAGUUUUGUUUAUUUCUUCUUUUUUAGUUAAUGCUAGAUCAUUGCUAAUUGCACAUUUUCAUUCAAUAGCAUAGAGGUAUUGCUCCUUUCAUAUUUUUUCUUAGAGCUUGAUAUAAAUGAAUAAAUAUGAUAGGGUUCCUAAGAUAUGUUUGAUUAAUGUUUAAGAGCUGGCAAUCGGCUGUUUAACUUUAGGACUAUGAUUUUUCUGUUGCUGCUUGAUUUAUGGAUUUUUUGAGCUUUGUACACAAAGUAGUGUUAUCCAACUUGGUCCAUGAUCCAAGAAUCAUUUAGGUUUACAAAUAGUGGAACACUAGGCAAUCCAAGACGAUUUUAUUCAUGGCGUGGUCCAUAAAGAACUAAAAGAUCCUUAUCAAUAGAAGCAUCUGCUUAAAGCUAUCUUUUGAUAAUUUAUUUUAGCUUUGGCAUUUUCAUGGAAAGUGGUGUCUUCGUAAGUGUUGCAGCGGUUGAAAACCUCAUUUUACACGAUGUGAGCAUAUAUGUAGCUAAAAUGAAGUCGCAUGGAUUGUUCAUCAAAGCAAGAUAUGGAAUACUGGGUCAGACACAUCUGAAUCAGUAGUUUUUUUCUCUUAUUAUCUAAGAUCGGUUAUUGUGUCUUGUGGGGUUGAUGCCAUUUGUCUACUUUCAGAAUCAUAAAUGUUUUUAGUGUUCCACUGGCAGUGAAAGAUAAUUAUGGGUUCUUUCAUUGAAGAAUGUACUUUAUUAAGGAGGUUGACGAAAUUCUUACCGAGACAACUCUUUAAUAAACAUCAAGCCUAUAGUGCUAGUUUAAAGAAUUUGAUGGAGUGUUAGAUUAAAUCAAAUAUGUUGUCUGCUAAACUAAAACUUUCCGAGGCAUCUAUCGAGUUAGCUUGGCCAAAAUGACGAGGCUCCAUAAUACUUCUUUUGUACUUAUCUUACCAGCUUGAUUUGUGUUGAAUUUUGCUGUUUUCUGUGUCAUGGUCAGUAGUGGAUAAGGAAAGUUUUUUCAUGUACGAAGAAGUCCAUUGAAUACAUGAGAAGUCAGAAUGGCGUUGAGGCAUGUGCAGUUGUCUGUGUGUAAGCUGUUGUUGGAAUGGGUGUUGCGGAAUACGAGAUGGGAUGAAAAGGUGGUGGUGGUCUCCCAAAGUGGAUAACCUUGGCCUUUUUUUCUGUUGUCCCAUUGUUCCGAAGCCUCAAAGCUCCAGGAUUGGGCGUUUCCUUUAUCCAUCUUGAACAAUGGAAAUACUCAAAUUUCAGGCUCGGUUUGCAUAUCAUAAAUGAGACAAAAUACCUCCAUAAGGGUAAGAAAGUAAUUUGAAGGAUUGAAAUCCUAAUUUAAAAUCGACAAAGAAAAAAUUGCUGGGGUCAUUUUGCCUUUGAAGCUUUCUUGGGCUAAUCUACAUAAAUAAUAGGCUUAAUUAAAAACUAAACCAUCAAUGGAAAAAAAAAGCCCAAUAAUGAAUCACUAACAGAAGGACUAGAAGAAUAAAAACCCUAGCCCAAACUUCCGCUUUGAUUCUAGGCUAGGGUUUCUUUGCUCUUAGCAAUUAGCAGGCAAUACAGAAUCAGAGUGAAGCAGCUAAGCUUGGAAUUCUUCCAUCAUGGGUCGUAUGCACAGCCGAGGGUUUGUAUCCUCUUUAGAAUCUCUUUUUUUGUUUAUUUUUUCUUUUCUUUCUAAAUCUUUUAUCAUAAACAACCAUGUGAUUGUCUGGUCGAAUUGUACUGUAAUUGCUUCUGUUUUUUGGCAUGACUGUCUGUGCAGUAAGGGGAUUUCUGCAUCUGCCCUGCCUUACAAGAGGACUCCACCUAGUUGGUUGAAGAUCUCCUCUCAAGAUGUGAGUCACUGUUUUAACCAUGCCCUAAGCUUUUGCUUCUGCUUUAGUUAGGCAAAUGAAUGAUAGUAUCCUUUUACCUUCUUUAAAAGAGAUUUCGACUUUUCGUUUCGAAAUUGGUUAUAUGAGAAGUGGAGUUACUCCUUUAAUGCCUUAUGUCAGUUGAGUCCUCGAAGAACCAGAUGCUUUAACAAAUGUAACAUGGAAUAGUUGUUAUCCUCAUUGGCUGUGAUACAAUUCAAUGCAAUGUUAUGCUCUGCUUGAAGUCUAAAGUUUUUCUAUAGUAAUGCAUACAUUUUAAACUGGUUGCUUUGCUUCAUGAAGUUAAACUUGUCUGGAUUUAUGAAGUAAAACUAAAGAUAGGUUCAAUAGAAAAUUGAAGUUUGAUAUUGCAUGUACUUAUGUUUCAGUAUUUUGUUUUGACUUUUUUCAACUUUGUGAAAUGUGCAAUCUUAAUAGUCAUUUAUUCUUUCUGUUGGUUACUUGACAUAAGCCUCAAGUUGUUUUGAGCUCAGGUUACUAUAUUUUUGUGGAAGAUAUUGGUUUAUAUAUCCCACAAAUGUAGGUGGAAGUUGUAGUCUUGAACGAAUGAAAUAAUAGUAGUUGUUAAUCAAGUCUUCCUCAAACCCCUAUCUUGAUUUCAUCUUUUAGGUUGAGGAUAACAUUUGCAAGUUUGCAAAGAAGGGUUUGACCCCAUCUCAAAUUGGUGUCAUUCUCCGAGAUUCUCAUGGGAUUGCUCAGGUGAAGAGUGUUACUGGCAGCAAGAUUCUGCGCAUACUGAAAGCCCAUGGUGCAUCUUUAUUCAACAUUUUCUGCUAUUCCAUUUUCCUUCAGAUUGGAAGAUUAACAUUCAACGCAUCCCUUUGUCUUUGUCAGGUCUUGCUCCUGAAAUACCCGAGGAUCUGUACCACCUGAUUAAGAAAGCCGUUGCCAUCAGAAAGCAUCUUGAGAGGAACCGAAAAGACAAGGAUUCCUAGUUUAGGUUGAUCUUGGUUGAGAGCAGGACCCACCGACUCGCCCGCUAUUAUAAGAAGACAAAGAAGCUGCCACCAGUGUGGAAAUAGUGAGUGUUUCUGUGGUUAUUGCCUUUUACUCUCUACUCUCUUGCCAUGAAAUUGGUUUUAACUCGUAAAUUUUAAUGAACUUUAUUUUUUUUCCAAUCCAGUGAGUCUACUACUGCCAGCACUCUUGUGGCCUAGAUAAAUCAAAUUUUGAACUGUCCUCCUGUGCUUCGAUUGAUAUUCUUCUGGAUCGGCUAGUAGGAGUUGGACUUUUUGUAUUACGUUCUAUUAAUGCCGUAAAAGAACUAGUCCACUUAAUUUGAAGUUGAGAUACUUAAUGUGUUAAAUCUUAUGUUUAGUAUAUUGGAAUAAUUCAUCUUUCAUUUCAUUUUUUCAUAUUUGAAAAGUUUUUUCAUAGAGGUUUUUUCUUGGAUUUGUUUCACUAGGUAGAAUUGCUCCACACGUGAAUCAGUGGAAGAUGACGACCACAGAAGGGAGGAAAAAACAAAAACCCAUUGGAAAUUUACUUAAAUUAAUCAGACGGCAUACAGAUGAGAUCUUUUAAUACGCUAUCAAAUUAAGACAGCCUGGGAUGUUGAUAAAAACUAGAUACCUCCUGGCUUGCAUGCUUACAUGAAAUAAGCUCCUAGUUAAAUCUAUAAUUGACUUGCAGGCUUCGAGGUUGUAAGGUUCCAAACUAGCCAUGAUGUACGUAAGGUGUGACUUCUGAAUUGGAUGUUAAUAAACUAUCCAACAAUGAAUAUAUCUCCAUAACUUGGGGAUGCGACUUAUCUUGCACAAAGAAUUCAUGAACAGUUCCCUCAAGUUCAAUCCGGCUGCAACCAGGAAUUUUCUUCAAAUUUCUUUCUUUCAUCAUCAACCUGACACUACUAACCGCGUUCCACAUACCCAGACCAGCAUACAUGUUGGAUAGAAGUACAUAAGAGCUUGAAUUACAAGAGUCCAGUGUGAUUAAAUGCUUACCCGCUGGUUCUCCAACAUCAAUGUUCUCAUGGUUUUUGCAAGCACUGAGCAAACUUCUCCAUAUCACAUCAUUGGCUUCAAUAGGCAUUUCCUCUAUAAAUUUUCUUGCUACAUCUAUCUGCCCUGCCCGGCCUAGGAUGUCUACUACGCAUCCAUAGUGUUGCAGUUUCGGUACCAUCUUGUGAACUCUUCUCAUGAUAUCAAAGCAAAUUAGGCCUUCCUUCACCAAGCCAGCAUGGCCGCAAGCAUUCAGCACCCCAAUGUAUGUGAUAUCAUCGGGUUCCACACAAAGCUUUUCCAUAUCCAUGAGCAAUUUGAAAGCCAAUUCCCCCAUGCCAUGAAUAGCUAAUCCACCAAUCAUAGCAUUCCAAUGAUCAACAGUCUUAUAUUUUAUACCCUCAAAAACCAACACAGCAUUCUUUAUGCUCCCACAUUUUGAAUACAUGUCAAUAAGAGCAACGCCAAGCCUUCCGCCCAAAGAGAACUUUUUUUGCUUUAGAUAAUGAUGUAGUGCUAACCCUCUGUCGACAUGCCCUAAUUGUGCAAUUGCUGAAAGAGCAAUCAACAAUGUGGCACUAUCAGGUUGCAAACUACAAUUCCUUGGUAGAUGAUAAAAUAUUUCCAAAGCUUCUCCACAAUAUCCAUUUUGGACACAACCAGCCAUCAUGGCAUUACAGACAACAAUAUCUCUUUCUGACAUUUCAUUAAACAAAGACCUAGCUAGAUCAAUCUUACCUACUUUAGCAUAUCCAUUGAUCAUAUUAGCCCAACUGACGACAUCCCUUCUCGGCAUCUUAUCGAACAAUAUCUGGGCAUCUUCCAUGUUCCCACACUUUACAAACCCAUUAAUCAUUGAAUUCCAAGAAAUCAAAUCUCUAUCAGGCAUUUUCUCAAAGAGUCCCAAAGCCAAACCCAUCCCAUCUUUCAAUUGCGUGUAACCACUAAUCAUGGAAUUCCAAGUUAUCAAAUUCUUAUUCUCUAGUGGCAUAACGUCAAACAACUCCUUUGCUAAAUCAAUCAUCCCCCUUUUAAUAUACCCAUCAAUCAUCGAAUUAUAUGAAACAGAAUCCCGCAUAGACAUUCUAUCAAAUAAUUGACGUGCAUAUCCAAUAAACCCACAGCGUAAAUAAUAAGAAAUUAAACAAUUUUGUAAAAAUAAAUCAGACCCAAAAUUCAGCUUUCUAAGCAAACCGUGUACCUGCAUUCCUUCCCUCAAUAAACCCAAUUGAGAGCAGGCUUUAAGCACCAAAGACAACGAGAAUUUAUCAAAAGGAACCCCAUUCUCAAGCAUCAAACAGAGAAUGAUAAAAGCUUCUUGCGCCUCACGUCCAUGAGAAUAUGACUUUAUUACGGCAUUCCAAAGAAAAGGGUCCUCGUCUUGUUUAGGUGAACGAAAAGCAAGGUACGUAAAGAAGACAUAGCGAGCGAAAUCUACUAAAGGAGUGAAGGGUGAAGGAGAGAAAGUGAGGACGAUUUUGGUGGUGAGAACUUGGCUUCUGAUGAAACCAGUGGUUAUUAAAUGGCCGUGGAUUUGGUUUACGUCGGUCAGAGUCCUGCAUUUCUGGAGAAGAGCUAAAGUUGGCAGUGUUGAGUUCCAAGGCUGGUUUAGAUUCGCACAGAUAAGCAUCAACUCUAUUCUCUGUGUUUUAGAUUCUACAAUCCCUUGUUAGAAAUUAGUGUGUCCAUACUCUAGAUAUUAUCAUCUUUAGAUAUUAUUUGAACAAAAAGACAAACGCUUCAGAUAUUAUCAUCUAUCAACGGUUUUCAACGGCCAAAAUUCAUGCACUAUCCAGCUACGAUGGAGUGGAUUGAGUGCAAAACGACGUCGUUUGUUUCUUUCAAAAGAAAAAUGAGCCUGGUUAAAGCCCACAAGUACAAUAGCAAUUAUGAACAAUCAAAGUAACUUUUACACAACCAAGAAAGAGCCAAGGAUAGACCAUAAUGAAAUUCUGCCCUUUCUUUUCUUUCCAUUUCACUUGUAUCGCUAGUUUUAAUGCAAAACAACUUUAAAAUGAAGAGUUUCUAGUGUUCAUUUACUCAACUAUUACCAGAAUCCCAAACAAAUACAUAUGUAGCAGGACAAAAUAUGCUUUCAACUAAAUUGAGAAAAGAUCCAUGCUUCGGAAUUAUUGCUAGAACCCUAUGAGCACUAGAGUGCAGUGACCAAAGCGGCAUAACCAGUAUAUGCUCAUACCUGGUUCAUUCUAUAUUAAUCCUAACAACCUUCUUUGUUCUACCCCCAGAAGUGGUUCUUGCUUCAGUGUUUGCUCCUUGAUUUCCCAUGUUUCGGGCCUGCUCUCUAUAUGGAAGUCUCCAACUGUCCUUCACUGCCACUCCCAUUUGCUCAUUAGUUCCAGAUCCUACGUUCGCAUUGGAUAUUGAAAAAAGAAAAUGAAAGAAGUGAUGCCAAACUCAUAAUCCAUGAAAAUGAUACCUUCUUGUUAACGAUAAAUUUUCUAGUAAAACUAGAAUAAAUGAGUUUAUAUGCUCAAAAGAAAAAAGAAUAAACAAUAAGAUCUCUACCAAUAAUCGCUCAUAAAGGUUAAAAGAAACAUUUACCAGCUUUCGCAGGUGCACUAAAUCCAUCGCUCCAACCAGUCAAAUGACCCUGACUAUUACCUUCCCAGGCCUUUUCAAACUCCGCAAGCUCGUCUAAUAAGUUGCAAUAUGAAAAAUAUCAGUUCCAUUCAAGCACAAUGUUCUUGAAUAAUCACGGUAAGCAAACCAGGGAACAAACCUUCAUUCAAGUUGUGUAAUGUUUGCGUUGUGUCCACCUUACCAUCUGAACUCAGCUUCCUUGUAACAGAAUGGCCCUGCAUGAAGAAAGGAACAUUCUCAAUCCUAGCAAGAAUUAAAUGCACAAAUUAUUGCAAGUGAAGGUUAAAUCUUUGUUCUUCCUUUAUCAUUUCUAAAGAUCUCUCAUAACAGUGAAAGGUAGCAAACGAAAGUGAACAAAUACAUGAAAUGCAGUAGAAGCAAAACUAACUCCGAGGACAAGUGGUAAGGAAAUAAACUGAUUCCAAAUUACGGCAUGAAAAUAUAUCUGAUGACAAAAAUCAGUUCUAAAGUAGAGCUUAAAAAUAAGUCUCAUUGUGACAAUGAAAUAGAUAACUGCAAAUCAACUAGGUAUUUUGAUAUUGUACAACAAGCUGUACAUUCAAUGAAUUCUGAAGUUCCUUGGAGGAUAUGCCCUUUCAGAACACACCCAAAGUUGCAGUUAUUCAAUACGAUAAUUGACAUAUAUAACUGCCCUCUUUAGCGUCCCAUUUUUUAAUUGUUCCCAAGAAAGGCUAGUGCGACCACCAAUGGAAUAAUUACCUUAUCGUGAAUUACUCUAGAAAUCCUAUGUGUUGCUUGACCAGUUGUUGUAUCUGCUUCUUUUCUCUCCUCAAUCACCACCUGAAAGACCAACACAUAUGUUAGAAACAAGAAGAGUUUUAAUUAUAAUUGAGCACUCACUACAAAGAGCUACUUACUCCAUCACUGCCUGUCUUCCUGCUUCUUGUAUUAGUGUAAUAAGUUCCAUCUACACCUCCAUAUGUAGCUCUGGAGGUCUGAAAACUAAAAUUAGGAGCUUGUGCCUUUGAGCCUUUCACCUUGUCAUACUCAUUCCUAAUAUUCAAAUUCAGAAUCUUCCCAUCUGUUAAAUAUACCACCUCAAUCAUUAUGACAUACAAAAAUACAGGUCUUAUGCACUCAUCCAAAAUAAAAUUCCAUUUACCAUUAUCACUAUCAUCUAGGUGCUCAACGAAUGGCUCCUUGCCUGAACCAUCAUGCUCAGUAUUGCCUUUAUCUUUUUCUUUCUCUUCCUCACCAUCAGAGUUCAGUUCUUCUAUAACUAUUCCCUUUCCUCCAUUGCCCUUUGGUGCUUCACGAGAAGUUGUACUUUGAUCAAAGAUGCUAGGUUCAAAUAUGCUACUGAACGGACGACUGAAGAAGGGGUCAUCAAAAGGAUCUUUACCUCCAAAGAGGCUAGACAUCAUACCAUUAUGGGAUCCAAAGCUACCAAACCUUCGGAAAGCAUCAAAUGGCUCACCCCUAUCAAAGAGGUCAUUUGUGCUUUCUCUUCUCCUCUGCAUUUGUCUGCUGUCUGAAAAGAACAUAACAAGUUUAAAAAAGGAAACAUGCUGAUAAGAAUUGGCAAAGAUGGCCUUGAGAAAAACAUUGUAAUAUAUUUCAAAAGAGAAAAUUUCAACACCAACAAUUAAAAGUUCGAAAAUGAAACAUUUUUGAGAUAUACCAAAAGAAAACUUUUACCAUCUAUCUAUUAGAGAGGAUACACUUGAAUAAUAAAAUGAAACCAAUCUAUCAACUCCAUCAACCAUCAUCUAACUAACAAGUCAAAGAGAUAGAGCUCUACCAUAUUUGAUCUCUUAAAUGCAACUUAACAGCAAAAUAAUUCAAAAAUAAUUUAUAGGGCAGCUGUUAAUAAAUUAAUCACAUUUGUUUAAAAGGAGAUGCUAGUUCCUUCAGAUUGAUAUUAAACUAGCUAACUAAACAUGCAGCUAUAAGGCUUAUUUACGUUCCGUUCUAUUGCCUAAAAAUACAGGGAAAAAACUAUUCAAACGAGAAACUUUCACACAUGUAAUCCUUAAAUUACUGAAGUGCUCAUUUCCUAUAACAAAACCAUUUCGUUAUUAAAAAAAAUUCAUCAUGAUCUCGGAAUUCACAUGAUCAUAGAUGAAAAAGAAUCGAAAUUCAGCUUCAGGUAAUCCGCAUCCAGAAUUUGCAUGAAAGCUAUCAUAAUUCAUAAAGAUAGACAAUUUUAAAUGAAGAAAAUAUCGAAUAGAGCAUGAACCUGAUUCCCUAACUUCUAAAUGCGAAUUCAAGAAAAAGAGAGAUGAUAUUACCAGGUGAAAUGAUUGGAUUUCAAAUACCGGAAGAAAUAUUUCAAAUGAAGCACAAGGACGCUUCAAGGUUUUUUCUUUUUUCCUUUUCUAUUCUCUUUGUGUCGUGGUCAAAAUUGCUCUCACUACCUCUGAAUUCGGGACUAAAUAAGAACGUAUGAGAAGGUGACACGUGUCUCACUUUCUUCUCCUAGUUAAAGCUAGAAUGUUCCAGGUUUUAUUAGGAUAAUGAUCUUAAUUUAUUGGAUUUUGUUUAAAUUUAAGAGUUAUCAAAAUGGAGUUUGUAUCCAAUUUUUUAAUUUAUAUUAUUGCGAAAAUAUGAAAUAUACAUAUUCGUGCGUAAUCUAAUACCGUAUUAAAAUAUUAGUCAAUAAAAAUAUAAAUAACGUAAUAUUCUUAAUUAAAAAGGAAAUUUGUUGGAUUAGCGUACCACCAUAGGCUAGGCUAGCUACGUUUCAAUGAAAAUUUAUGAACUUACAUUACGGUAAACAGAUACAAAACCCUUGCAAAAUUAAUAAUAAAUUUAUCAAAUCCGUAGGCUGAUGAAGAGAACUUAGAAAUUAUGGAAACAAGAACAUAGUAUGCCACAGUUGAAUAGAAAAUGGACAUUAUCAUCCACCAAAAGCAAUCUCUUUAUUUCCAAUCAGUACAUACAACAAAUCUACAAUACAACAACGUCAAAUGUUAACAUUUCAUAAGCAAAGCCUACUGCUCUCCCUACACCAUUUUAAUCAUAUGCUGCUUGCUUUCCCUGCUUCAUAUUCUCUCUCUUCCUCCCUCUACUCUUUAUUUCUAGGUGAAGAAGAUGCCUGUGGGAAUCAAUGGUUAGAAGCCGAAACCCAACACUGAGAGCGACGCCUGAAGCUUCUGUACCGACAGAGAGUUAGAAGAAAAAUUUCCUGCCUGUGGUGGUUUGGUUUUUACUUUUUAGAAUUCCUGGGAAUCGAAAUCAGGCUUUGAUGGAUAUUCAAGACCCUGGAGUGCUGGCAUCCGUCGUAAAUCCUCAUCUGAAUAACCGGGAAUGAACCAGUAUAGCUUGUCUGUUCCAAACACCUAUAUAUAUACCAAAACCAGAACUUGAGUAAACUGAUGACAGCAUGCCAGAAAAGCCAGCUACAAGACCACAUACUCCAGUUACCCAGUUACAGUGUAAAACUACUAACUUAUAACCAAUAAUUCAGCACAAAUACUAAAAAAGUUGGCCUCCAACAAAAAAGUACCAACUGCCACGAGGACUUGUCGAAGAAACAUUAGAAGCAAAACUUUUAAAAGAAAUUCCAGACAACCCAAAUGAUAAAGGACAGUAACAGGGAUUAACUGAUUUCAACCAGAUCAAUCAUCGAAUGACCAAACAUCAAUGCCUUUUUUGUGCAAGAAUUGCAUGUAAUGGUAAAUAGCGAUGUAUUUGUAAAAAAAAUUAACCUGCUCAAAAUUUUUCUUUCGACCAAGGUCAUAACGCCAUUUUGGAGUGCUUUUCUUCUCAUAUGCCUGUUUCAAAGACAAUAACCAAUUUUUUAACUUUGAGUCCAUUUAUGCUGCAUUCUAAUCAUCAAGAAGCGCAAUACACCACAUGAUCUAGCUGAAAGAUGGAUCUAAAUUCUCAUUGAGGAUAUUCAGUAAAUUAGGGCAAGGGGAGAGGGGGGAAAUUAACACACUAAUGAUUUUCAGCAUGUCUCCCUGUAUUAUGGCACGGUACUAAAAUAAUAAAUAUAAUGAAAAAUACUAAAAAAACCCAACUAUUAUGACAUGAAAUUGAGCUUCAAUAUGAAGAGAAAAUCACAGUACCUCAAUGGUAGUGGUAUUAGCUGAAACCAAAGAUAUGUGCAUGAUCAAAAACCCCAAGACGCUCAAUGCAAAUGCCAAAUUCAAAACUGUGACAAGAGAACAUAGUCAUACAUUUGUACAAAGUCGCAGAAGUUAACUUGGUCAGAAGAUCAGUCAAAGCAACACUUACCAAAGGCAAGGAAAGUGGUAGCAAGGGUGCCGGGGGUUCCGGGAAUUUCUCCAUCACUAAAAAAUGCUAUGAAAUGUGGCAACAAGGCCAUAGUCACAAGACUAGUCUCGAGGAACGCGUAAAACUGCAGUGAUGGGAAUACAUAGUCAAAGCAAUCCAAGAAAACCGAAGUAUUUCUCCUUAACAUCUCAUGAAUUGCAAUCACAAAAUAUAUUACUAUAAUCAGAAUGUUAGAGCAAAAAGAAACACUCCAAGGCACAACUUAUGUUUCUAAAAGAGACUUGAAAAUAGGAACCAAACUUGUAGGAUUUCAAAAAGGACAAAAUGUAUGUACAACUAAUUCAAAAAUAAAGCAGACAUACCAAGAAAAGAAGAAAAUACUUGUAAUUUUGUGCACCAACACAAUUGACAACCCACACACAAUGAUGGUCCAUCUUUAGCACACACCGCCCACCUGAAACAAUGAUAUUAAUACGAAACUGGUCACCAACGAUAACAACAUUAUUAGCAAAUCAAGAACAAUUAACGGAGAGUUUUAGUAAAUGAAGAACUUACAAACAGAACAAUGAUGGCAGCGGGGUGGUUUCAGCUGGUUGCAUUUCCGACAAUAUCGAAUUCUUUGAUUUAAUGGGUCUGGCUGCGAACCAUUGAACUCUGAACCAUUCAAUGGGUCAGCCUCUCCUCUCUCCUCGUCCAAAGCCGGCCUCCAGUUAGGUGGCACACUACCCGGGUCAGUCAAAACAACAGAAAAGUAACUCCAUAACAGCAUUACCAACUGCAGAAUCACAUCCAAAUUUCCACAUUUAGAGAAUUAGUUUCCAGAAAACAAUUAAUCGUCCACAACUGUUACAUUCUUAUAGAAAUGCAAUAACAUUAAUCAUUACCCCAGAACCCCAAAUACUGAAAUUCUUAAUGAUUCAUAACAACUAAGGCAAAAAGGAAGAAAAUAUAAGAUCUAGAAAGACCACUAACUAAUGAAUAAGCAAACACAAAACUCAAGCUUGGAUCUUUUCAGAACCAUGUUAAUGAUUUUAAAAGAAAAAACAAAAAAAGCCGCGUUAUUUAGUUGAAUUUAAUUAAUUUAAUUUCAACGGACCUGAUGUCUAAUCUAAUUACAAAACCAAUAAAAAUAUGUUAAAUGUCAAGAUACGUAAUCCAGAGGAAGAUAUGUAAAACCUAAGAAAACCCCAGUAACAAGUUUGGAGACUUACGAAACAAUGAAAGAAGAACAAGAUAACAGCAGCAGUAAGGGAAUUAAAGCCACCAUCGUAUAAAGCUGGGCCAUAAUUAGUCAAAACGACAGAGUAGUACGUGACACCCACGACCCCUAAAACCAAAAGGAUCAUGAUCGAGCCCAGAGCCCUCAGAGCCGUGCAAAACUUGAAUACAUUCCAAGCCAUCGUUGCUCCGGAUCUGUGCAUAAUACCCAGCUAACCAAUAAGAUAAAUAAAACCCUUCUGAUUCACAGUGCUUUGUAACUCUUUAAAAAACUAGGAGUCCUAAUUAAGGUUGUCUGAAUGACUUAGAAGAUGAAGCAAUCUGAGGUUUUCCAAUUGAGAACAGUGGAGAAGAAAACUGGGAUUACAGUGAAACAAGAAAAAAGAAAAAGGGUUUCUUUCAGAAAAGAAAUGAAAGAAAGAAACUUUUUCCUUUCUGCAAUAUAUUGUGAGAGUGGGAUUGUGAAUCUAGAGUUUAUGGGAUUUGGUAUACACCGGAAUUUGGGUUUCCAGGUAAGCUGUGGAAUCCAUAUCUAUCUUGCUAGACUGAAGACCAGUAACAGAGGAUUGAAGAAAAUAUCUGGUAUUUUCCUUUCUCGGACUAAGAAGGCAAUGGGUAAUUGGGAAAAAAUUAAUGUUGCAAAAAAUAAAAAUACUCAAAAGCUAAUUACAAGUGAAAUGGGAUAAGCGAGAUGUAUUAAUUGUUUGAUUGCGUCAUAAAUCAUAAUCCUUAACUGUGGAUUAAUUGUAUACAUUACUUAAAAUUUAUUUACAUAAUUUUUUAGAGAUUUGUACUUUUUCACAAAUAAUUUUAAAUAAUGGUAUUCUAAAUUACACCAAUUAAAUAUUGUAUAUUGCACAUUUAGUAAUUAAAUGUUUUACAAAUGAAAGUAAUUGCUGACAUAUAUAUUGUAAUGGGCCAAUUUAGCCCGGGCCCGUAUAAACACAAAACCAAAAUAAUAAAAAGUUCAUGAAUGUCCAAUUACAAGCUCAAUAUUCAAGACCCUAAAACCAUCCGCCCAAAUUUGUCAAAUUUCAAUGGCCCAACAACUAAUAUUAAACCUAGUCCAUAAAUACAAGGCCCAAGUGGCCCAAAAUCAAAACACUUUCGGAAACCCUAGGUUCCUUAGGUGCGCGCAGCCAAACAUUCCCAUGUACGGCCUCCGUGCGCUCACAGCCUGGCUCUGUACCCUUCGUCCUCACCGCCAGCGCAACACCGUACGACCACUGAGCUCCAUACCUGCGCACAAAUGCGAAAGGGACAACACAACAGAGAGAAAAAGCAAGAAAUUUGUAUUUUUUUUCUUUUUCUCUUUUUCAUUUUUCUCUGUUUUCGGCUAUAAAGCCAAGAACAUGGCCAUUGUAUAAAGGUUACGAACAAAAAAUUACACACAAAAAAAAGCAAUCAAAUACAAAAAAGAAUCAAGGUGAUUUUCCGAUUCAAAAAAUCUUGGAUUUCUUAUAGUUUCAUUCGUCUGGGUUUCGUUGUUCUGAUAUUCAAAAGCAAAAAAAAAAAGGGAAAAAAGGGGCUUACCUGGGAAAUACGCCGCAGACCUUCUGCUUUGUUGAAGUCGAAGCCAGGAGGAGAUCUUGAGGCUAAAAAAUCAUCCUCUGGGCCUAAAGGGGCAGGUUGUUGCCUGGGGAAUGGGAAUCGGUGGCUUGAGGGGUGAUUUAGGGUUCGUCUGAACGAAGGAGAUAGAAGCUUUAGUUCUUUUUUUACUUUGAUUCGUUAAUUGGGGGGGUUAGAUAUCUGAUGUAGGUUUUUUUUAGGCUUAAUUAUGCAGAAAUUGAAACGGCGCCGUUUGAAUGGGUGAGGAUCCGCGUGUCAACCAGAUGUGCAGGCCGAAUCUGCGCCUUUUUGUUCAGAAUGGGAAAUUUGUGCGAUAAGUCCUCCCCUUUCACGCGUACAUUCAAUCGGACCCUUUUUUUCUUUUUUCUUUCUUUCUUAAAUUAGUUCUUUAAUUUGCACGCAUUUUCAGUUUAGUCCACUGUGUAGCGCCGCGUUUUGGACUCGGGGAUAUUCCCAAUUCUAGUCCUCAUACAAUUGUGCGCAUUACAUAUUGGCCCUAUAAACUAUCUCAUUUGUAAAUUAUCCUUAUUAUUUUUAAUUUGAUUCCAAUUAGUUUUUCUUUUUUUUCCUUUUUUCAUUUUAUACCUUUUUAAUUAGUGUUUAUCAUUAUUUAUCAUUUGCUUACUUUUUUGUGGUAAUUAUAUCUUUAUAUUUUGUACACUAUUUUAUGAAAAUAUUUUUUAUAUACACUAUUAUACACACAUAUAUAUAUAUAUGUGUACUUUGUAUUAAAGUUAAUUUUAUUUCAUAUAUAUAUUAUUAACCUCAUAUUAUUUUUUUUUACACAUAUAAUUCCUUUUAAAUUUAUUCUUAUAUAUUAUUUAUACGCAAUUAUAUAGAUAUAAAGAUGCAUAUCUUAUAACAAAGUUAGUUUUAUUUCAUGUAUACUAAUAUUUUCAUAUUACUUUUACACAUACAAUUCCUUUUAAAUUUAUUCUUAUAUCUUAUUACAUGAUCCUACAUAAUAUAUCUUUUAAAUCAUUAUUAUGCAAGUAUAUAUAUUUAUUGGUACCUAUAUUUGAUCUAUAUAUAUUAUUAAAUCCAUGUAUUUUAUACAUAUAGUCUUCUUUAUAUAUAUAUAUAAACAUGUUCUUAAGUCUAUUAUAUAAUUUAUUAUAAAAUUAAUUUAAGCUUGUAUGCAUUUUUAUGUUUUUACAAAUAAUUAUUUUUAAAGUUAUUUAUGUAUAUAUGUUUUAUAAAUCUAUUGUGUAAUGACUCGAAUUUUACCGAUACUGAAAAAGUGUAAUUUCGGAUAUAUGUUUAUGAAAAAUAGAUUCGUAAAUAUUUAUUAAAUGUAAUACCCCAUACCCAUACCUGAGACCGGGAUAGGAUACGAGGCAUUACCGAGAUUUUCAGAAUAAUUUCAAUUAAUUUAUAUUAUUUAGUAUUCAUUUUCAUGUUUCAUGUAACAUCCUUUUCAUAUAUUCAAUUCAAAAUAUCAUAUAAAAUAUGAUACAAUACUUAAAUUUUCAUAUUUACAUGCUCAUUCAGGAUAUACGAACCUACCUGACUAAAUUACAGAAAUACCAAGAUUUAGGGGCAUAUUGGUAAUUUACCAUUUUUCCAAAUUUCACCCAAUCUUAAUUUGAUAAUUUCAUUCAAUUCAUUAAUUUAGAUAAUAAAACAAUUCAUUCCCUUCAAUUUAGUCAUUUUUUAUAUUUUUACAAAAUUACCCCUAAAGUUUUACUUUUAUUCAAUUUAGUCCAUGAGCUUAAAACAUGCAAAUUAGCCAUGCUAACUGAAUAUUCAUAUAUAUUUUCCUCCUCCUCCUCUCCAUUCCACAUCCUUAAUGUAUAUAACACACUUGUAAGUAACAUUAUCUAUAAUUUUUAUUAUUUACUUUUAUGGAUAUUCAAGCUGUUCAUCUGUGUCAUAGCCACUAAAUUAUUUAUAUCUGGAGCUAUAAAACUCAAAAUUAAGAUCUGCUAAUUUUUCCUGAAACUAGACUCAUAUAUCUUCUUACCAUAAAAUUUUAAGAAUUUUUGGUUUAGCCAAUAAGUACAGUUUAUUCUUUAAAGUUACCCCUGUUCUGCUGUCUGACAGUUUCGACCCUUCUUCACUAAAAAUUAAUUAUCUCAUAGUACAAAACUCAGAUAAUAUUCCCGUUAAUUUCUCCUGAAAAUAGACUCAUUAGGGAUUCUAAAAAUAUAACUUUAAGCCUCUAAUUAUUUUUAUCCAAUUUUUGGUGAUUUUCCAAAGUCAGAACAAGAGAACCCAAAUUCAUUCUAACCUUGUCUCACAAAAUUCAUUAUAUCUUAUAAUUUACAAUUCAAUUGCUUAUACCGUUUCUUCUAUAAGGAACUAUACUCAAUAAGAUUUAAUUCCAUAUUUAAUUCAUCCUCUAAUUCAAUUUCUAUAAAUUUUGGUGAUUUUUCAAACUUAGACUACUGCUGCUUUCCAAAAUAGUCUUAGUGCAAAAUGUUGAUUUUCUACUUUUAAUUUCAAUUUAAUCUAACUAAAUUCACUUGCUUUUCUAUCUUAAUUCAUACUUUACUUCUACUCAAUUUUUAGCCAAAAUUAGACAUUAUUAUCUAUUUUUCAUCAUAAAGCCAUAAUUUCAAAAUUCUUUCAAUUUAGUCCUUAAAGCAUAAAACUUAUGAAUUACUUUACAAUUCAAUCCUUAUAUCAUUUCUAACUUGAAUUUCUAUCAAUUUAGCCCUUAAUUCAUCAUUUUAUUUAACAUGGAUAAUAUCUAAAAAUCUAAUAACUUUCAAAAUAUCAACUUAAUUUCAUCAAAACUUGGUUCUGAAACUUCUAAAACAUCAAAAUUAAAUAAAAAGGGCUUGAUUGACUUACCUAUUAAAGCUUAAAGCUUCAAACCUUAAUUUUCCCUUUUCCCCCUUUUUUUCUUUUCUUUCUUUCUUUUUCUCACCUGCUCUCUGUUUCGUUUCGUUCUGUUUCUUUUCUAUCCUCCUUUUUUUUUAUUCCAUUUGUUUUAUAUAUAUAAUAUAAUAACAAUAAAAAUAUACUAAAUAACCAAUAUUUAUUUAACAUUUGUAUCCAUUUAUAUCCUUACAUUUGCCUUUCUUUAAUCUAUUUAUUAUAUAAAUAUCUUUUACUUAAUACUAAUAUAUAAUUUAAUAAUACACUUAUAUGAUAAGUAAAUAUACAUGUAUUUUACAAUUGUAUGUAUAUUAAUAUUACACAUGUCACCAUAUCCAUAUACACCAUACAUUUGUCUUUUCUUAAUUUAUUUCAAAAUAUAAUAAUAUAAUUAAUUUAAUUUAUAAUAUAAUAAAAUAAUAACAUUAAUAAUAUAUUUAUAAUUUAAACAACAUAAAAAUCAAAGAUUUUUAUGUUUUGCCGCCUCAUUCUUUAGAAUAGGCUUAAUUCCCUAUUUAGUCCCCUUAUCUUCUUUAAUUCUGUAAUUAAACUUUUACACUUCAUUCAACUUAAUCCUUUUUCCUAAUCACUCUUAAUUAAGUCCUAAUCACUCUUAAUUAAGUUAAAUUCACUUAAUUAAACUCUAAUUAACCACUCAUUUUACUUCAUAAAUUCUUUUAAUAAAUAUUUAUGAAUCCAUUUUUCAUAAACAGAUAUCCGAAUUUGCACUUUUUCAGUAUUAGUAAAAUUCAGGUCAUUACAUAUUGUGUACAUUUCCUAGGAUUAUAUUUUAUCAUGCAUUCUUGCUAUUCUUUCAUACUACAUAUAUUAUUUAAGUUUUAUUUUAUUGUGUGUAUUUUAACAAAUAUUUUUAACACUUUGUAUAUUAUGUAUUUAAAAAAAAAAUUCAUUCUAUAACACGUUUUCUAAUAAUUGCAUGUAUAUAUCUAGUUUAUCUUUACAAAUGGUUUCUAAUUGAUCAAUUUACCAAUGCAUAUAUCAUGUUCAUCAUUAUUUUAAAAUUUGUCUUAUACCAUAGUCUUUUUAAUUAUCAUUUUAUGUCUUGUAUUGAUUAUAUCAUAUUAGGCUUUGUAUAUUAUUAUGGCAUACUAUCGUGUGUAUUGUUUUGUCUUGUUUUAUUGUAAUGUAUUGUUAUAUUAUUCAUUCAUUAUUUUGUAUUGUUAUAUUAGUAAUUCUCCGUGCAUUAUUGAAAUUGGGUUAUACUUUGAGAUUAAUCAUAUUUAAUUAUGUAUUUUGUUAGCCGAUUAAAUAAGAUAUAUUAGGGUUUUUUACCUCAAUAUUAUAAAAAAAAAUUAUACACCAAAAUAGGUUGUCAGCCAGAUUAAUAACGAAAAUGGUAUGUUUUUUUUAGGUCGUGCCUAUCUGACAGGCACAACCGAUUUUUUUAAUAUUAAUUUUUUUCGUUUAAAAAAUUAUUAUUAUAUAUAUUUUAUUUUUCGGGUUAGUAAACAACCCGUGUAUAUGAAAGCAUACAUACAUGUUGUGCCUUCUUGGUAGGCACAACUGGUGGGGCCCACAUGCUUAAUUUUUCCUUAUAUAUUCCCCCGAAAAUCAGAUGAAGAACAUACAGAAAAUUUAGCAGCAAAAUAGAAGUAAGAAGAGAGUGAGAAGAAGGAAAGAAAGGAAAGCAAGAAGAAGGAUAAGGUAUUUUAAUUUAUUUAUUUUUAAAUAGAAUGUAGAAUUUUGUUAGAAAUUUUAUUAUUUAAAAGUUUGUUAAAUUAAUAAUUUUGUUAGCUUCUGAAUGAAAAAUUUUGCAUUAAAAAUUUUAUGUAACUUUUUUUCUAUUCGAAACUAUUUUGAGAAUUUUGAAUUUUUUUUAACAGAUCUAGUAUUGAAUAUGGAGAAUCAGUUUUUCGUAUGCGUUUAUUUUGAUGGAGAAAUUUUGACAACAAGCGUAGGAUGUAUAUUUGAAUGUCGCAAACAAGUAGCAAUGAGAUUCAAUAGAAAUAUCUCUUUUGAUGAUAUGAAGGAAAAAAUUAGUGAAAAAAUUUAUAAACAUUGUGGGAGAAGGAUCUCGAAACUUUUCUACAAUUUCUCAGUUUCGACGGAUCCCAUAAAAUUCACCGAAAUGGAACUUGUAGACGAUGAAGACGUGGAGACAAUGGUCGCUCUUUAUUGUGGGACUUGGAGCAACCAAAAUGCACCGAUUCAGUUAUUUGCUGAGUUAGCUGAUGUGGAGGAAACUGAAGAUGCCACUCCAUUAGGUGAAGAAAAUGGAGUUCAAGAACCGUGUAUGGUGGUUCCGGUAUCAUACGUUGGUAGUCAAUCAACUAUUCAUGGGAUCGACAUUGAUCUUAAUGCUGCACCCGAGACUGUUGUGGUUGGUGAUGAUGUAUACCAUAGUAGUAAUCAUUCUGAUCAUGAAGUCGAUAGUGAAAGUGAUCCCGACGUGGAUGAGGUCCCGGAUUAUAUUGAUGAUAAAGGCGUGAAUGAGGAAGUAAAUGUUAAUGCUUCUUCAGUCGGGAACCAGAUUCGUCGUAUUGUGAUACAUAAUAAUCUUGGGGUACACAUGUCUCGAAUAGACCCUGAUGCGGCGCAUGUAGCCGAGUUCCCAGAGUACCCUAAAAUACAAUCUGCUCAUCGGAUGGCCGUAUAUUCUGAUCCUGAGGAGUUGUUCGUGGGCCAGAGAUUCGAAAAUAAAGAAGAGUGCGUAUUUUCCAUUAAACGGUAUAGUAUGAAUAUAUCAGUAGACUAUAAAGUCGUUGUGUCUAAACCGACAUUAUAUAUUAGAAAGUGUUGGAAGUCAGCGGAAGGCUGCAAUUGGCAGAUACGAGCUGCAUUUAUCCAAAAGUAACAGGUGUGAGAGAUACGAAAAUUUGUUGGGCCUCACACAUGCACUUCAUCACGUAUGACAGAAUAUCAUCGAAAACUUGAUUCCAAAACUAUCUGUACGUGCAUCAUGCCAAUGGUUGAAGACAUGCCGACCAUUAAGGUUUCGGUACUGAUUGCCGAAAUACAGGCACGAUUCCAGUAUCGAGUGUCAUACCGGAAGGUAUGGAUAGCUAAACAAAUGGCAAUGGAGCAAUUGUACGGAGAUUUCGAUGCAUCAUAUAAUGAGUUGCAGGGAUGGAUUACCGCUAUGAGGGAGUACGUACCAAGGACUGCUAUUGAGUUGCAGACACGACCUUAUUAUGGCCCGGAUGAGUAACUACAACCGAGAAAAAGAAUUUUCCAACGGAUGUUCUGGAUGUUUGAUCCAUGUGUACGUGCAUUUCCCCACUGCAAGCCAUUUGUGCAAGUAGAUGGGAUAUGGCUAUACGGUAAAUAUACACAGAUUUUACUUCUUACGAUUGCUCAGGACGAGAACAAUAACGUGCUCCCGAUUGCGUUUGCCAUCGUAGAUAAAGAGAAUAUGGAGUCAUGGGAAUUCUUCUUUACAAACCUGCGAAGGUAUGUUGUUAGUAAUGAUAGUAUUUGCAUCAUCUCCGAUAGAGGAAAAUGAUUAAUUGCUGCCAUUAGGCGUUCUGGUGUGCCAUGGAGAUCUGUUUACUGCAUACGGCACAUUGCGUCUAACUUUCAUCGAGAUUAUAAGAAUGCAGACUGGAAGAGACAAGUUGUGAAAAUGGGUAAAGAAUAACCUUAUCCUUUUAAUAUAUAACCUAAUGUUUUGUGAUGAGACUGUAACUUAUAUUUUCUUAAUACAUACACAGCAUACGAGCUUGAGCCACACAUUUUCCGGUAAAGGAUGACUCGACUUGAGAAUGACAUGGAAGGUCAAAUGAACACAUCUUUCCGACAAUGGUUGGGUACCAUGGAGCCGUGGCAAUAGGCUCAAAGUUUUGACGAGGGCUUUCGUUACGGUCAAAUGACCACAAACUUGGUGGAGGGCAUCAACACUGUGUUAUUGAAAACACGACAUCUUCCGAUCUCAUCUGUCUUCUCGGCUACAUUCUACAGGUUGGCUACCUUGAUGCCAAGAAUGGGUCAGCAACAAGUCAACCAGAUAAAGGCAGACACGUGUUUGUCGAAUAUGUCAGGGAUGCAAUGGUUGCAAACCGUCGGAUGGCGAGGUCGAUGAAUGUAGAAGUAUAUUCACGACGUAAUGAAACGUUUCGUAUUACAGAGACCAUCAGUCGUCGACCCGGUAUACCACCUAGGUCCUACGGAGUUGAUCUCUGAAAUAGACGGUGCGAUUGUAGGAGGUUCCAGACACUUCAUUAUCCUUGUGCACAUGUUGUAGCAGCUUGUGCUAAAGUCUCACUCAAUGUAGAUCAAUUUAUCGAUGAAGUGUAUACCCUCGAACGCACGUUGCGUGUAUGGGAGAAUGAGUUUCUCGUACUUCCUGACCUAUCUACUUGGGAGGUUCCUCCGACGACAUUUGAGCUUGUCCCAGACAAAGGGUUGCGUAGGAACCCAAAAGGUUGUCCGCAAUCAUCUAGAAUCCAUAACGAAAUGGACAUUAGAGAGAAAUCCGAUGGGAAGUUGUUUGGAGUUUGCAGAUUACCAGGUCAUAAUCGGAAUAAAUGCCCGUUCCGAAACUACCAUAUUGGACAAUCGUCGUGAUCAGAUAAAAAUUAAGAUUUUGUGUAAUAACCCGAAAUUCACGGGCACCGAAAAAGUGAGUUAUAGGGCCUCCGUCUUAGUGAAAUAAGUUCAAAAAUAAUUAUUAAAAAUAUUUAUAAGCCUAGUGGUGUGUCUAAUUAGGAUCUAAUUAGUUGAAUUUAGCUUAAUUUAAAGUAAGUAAUAAAAAGGAUUAAAUUGAAUAAAGGGUAAAAGUUUAAUUAUAAAGCAAUAGAAAAUAAAAAGGAUUAAAAUGGCAAUUAAGCCAUUGACUACAAAUGAGGCGGCAUAUUGGUGAAAUAAAAUCAAAGAUUUUUUUAGGUUUUAUAUAUUAUUAUGGUUUUAUAUAAAAUUAUUAUAAUUAUUAAUUAACAUUAUGGUUUUAUAUUAGAUUAUUAUUAUUAGCAUUAUUAUUAAAUAAAUUAAAUAGUAGAUAAUUGUAUGGUAAUAAAAAUAUACAUGUGUAAAAAUUAUAUUGGUACAUUUGUAAUUUAAAUACUUAAUUACUUAUAAUUUAAGUAAAAAGAUAUUUGUUAAUUAAAUAAUUAAAUUAUUAAAUUAUGAGAUUUUUGUUUGAGAAACAAAUUAAAUAAUGAUAAAUGUAAUAAAAUUAUUGGUACAAAUGUAGAAUUAAAUAUGUGUACAAUUGUAAAAUAUGUAAAUGAUGUUAAAAUAGAUAUUUAAAAUAAUUAUAUUAUAAUAUAUGCUAAUUAAAUAAGUAAAACAAAUAAAUAUAAAAGAGAAAUAAAGAAACAAAAGGGAAUAGAAACAAAAUUGAAAACGGGAAGCAGGGGAGAAAAAGAGAAAGAAAAAGGGAAAGAAAAAUAAAAGAGAAAACUAAGGAUUUGAAGCUUGGAGUUAAUUUGGUAAGUCAAUUAAGUCUUUUUUAGUUAAUUUUGAUGUUUUAGAAGCUUUGAAACAAGAUUUUGAUGAAAUUAAGUUGAUAGUUCAAGAGUUCAUAUGUUUCCAAAUAUGGUUCAUGUUGGAUAAAUUAUGGAAUUAGGGAUUUAAUUGAAUGAAUUCUAAGUUAGAAUUGAUUAAGGGAUUAAAUUGUAAACUAGGCUAUAAGUUUUAUGUUGAAGGGACUAAAUUGAAGAAAUUUCGAAAUUAGGGAAAUAUGCUGGAAAUUUUAUAGUUAAAUAUAAGUUUAGACAAAAUUUGAAUAGAAAAAGAGAGUGAAUUGGAUUAAGAAAAUAAUUAAGUUUAGUUAGGAUUAAAUUGGGAAUAAGGUAGGAAUUGUUUAGAAAUUUAAUUAUUUAUUAUAAUUAAUGCUGUAAAUAAUAAUAUAAAUUACUAUUAUUUUCGUAGCCAGCAAAGAACCUGAAACGUCAGCAUCGAAAGGAAAGAAGAAAGUCAUCGAGGACUAAAACGGGAGAAUUACGGUGUGUAUUACUAUAAUUCAAAUUUUAAUUAUUAUUGAUUGCUGAAAUUUUAAUUGUUAUGUAUGGUAAGUAAGACUUGAGGUAAGUAUGUGAUUAUUUGAAAAGUGUAUUGAUUGAAAAAUAAAUAAAUGGUGACAAUUGUAUGGUGUUGAUGGUAUACACUUGUGUGAAAAUUAAUUUGUAUAUGAAUUAAGAUAAUAGAUAUUUGAAUUGAAUGAGUAUUGAAAAUUUUUGUGUAAAUGAAAUUGAAAUUAGAAAAAAAUAAAAUAAUACCCAAUUAACUUGUCGGACUAGAUUUGGUACAAAUGGCAUGCCAUUGGAUUUGUGAUGUGAUGAGGAGAUUGUAGUUCGGCCGAGAAGAUGUUUCUGUUAUUAUAUACUUCGAUUUAUCCGAAGAGGCACUUAAUGCCUUACUGGUGUGUUAUGGAGGAUUUAAAAUAUUUUGGGUGUGUUUGGGUUGGACAUUCUGGUGUGUUUGGGUGGAAAUCCGCGUAUCUAUCAUAGUCCGAGCUUUGUUAAUAGGGUAAAUAAUUGAAAUGAAAUUUUGAAAAUGAGAUUAUUUGUUUUAGCACUAUUGAAAAGUACAAGAAAGAAUGUAUGAACUAAAUUAUGAAUUGAGUUAGUAUGGGAAAAAUGAAUUAUGAAUUUAAGAUUUAUGAAGUAAAAUAAUUAUAUAUAAAAGUAGUUUAAAUAAUUAUAAAAUUUAUGGUUGAUGUUUGUAAUUUAUUAAUGUUAAAUAGUCUUGAUUUAUAGUAAUACCACUGAGUAUAUCCAUACUCAACGUACGGUUGUUUCCGUGCACAGGUUAGUAGAAGUCAAGUGUUCCGGCUCAGCAUCCAGAACAAUCCCGACUCCAACACAAAUUUGGUGAUGUAUAUUUUUCUUUUGGGUAAAGGUGGCAUGUACAUAGGUGUUAUUUAGUCACUUGAAUAUGUAUAUUACUUUGGGUAGUGAAGGAUGAAUUAUAAAAUUUAGAUGGUUAAAUGAAAUGGUAAGGAAAGUACAUGAUAUUUUGAUACAUGAACAUUAAGUUGUUAAAUGAAUGAAGUUUAUAAUCAAUUUUGAAUGAUGCUAUGAUAGUUAUUAAGUUAAAAUUUUGUUAAUGAUAUAAAUAUUAGUUAUAUGAAUGUGAAACAUUGGUGUUGGUGAUUUUGGUUUGAAUUUGCAGGAGGUUUAGGUAAAAAUAAGCAGAAAUGCUGCCGAAAUUUUUUUAUAAAAAAAUAAAAAAAUUUGGAAUACUCGAACAAGUCCUGUUCUACUUUUAAUACGUGUUUGAACUUCGAGAGUCCAAGAUAGGGACUUAAUUAUUAUAUUAUACUAUGAAAGUUAUAUUAAUUGUAAAUUAUUCGUAAGUUGUCUGAUAUGUCCGGUAAUGCCUCAUAACCUCAUUUCGGCGACUGUUUGGGGUUAGGGGGUGUUACAUUUUGUUAAUUACAUGUUGGAAGAAAAAGUCCCGCCGAGUAGUAUUAAAUGGAUUUUUUAAGCAUUUUAAAAUUGAUUGUUUUUAAUACUCCUCUUUUUUUGCAAUUAUGUACUUCAACCCAAACAAAUCCAAAAUUCACCUUCGAAGCACACAAUUUACAUACUUACUCCGGGUGAAGCAUGACUAUUUGUGUUCAUACAUACUUAACUCGGAUUUAUUAUGUAUUUCAUUUACUAUUAUAAUAACGUUCUUCAACCGGGGGAAUGAUAACUAUCCUUUGUAAUUAAAUGAUAAAAACUCAUUACAUAAAUAGUCAUUACAUAAUUUACCAAAAAUAAAUUAAAUUUAUAAAUAAAAUGCCAAAAAAUUUAUUACAUAAAAAAUGAAGUUAUUUAUAUUACAAAACCCCUUAAAAUUGAUGGUUUGAUGGUGUGGUUCUAGGGGUAUAUUUUUGUGGAGCCCGACGUUCACGUUGCGGACGACUACGACGAUCAACGUUCUCUUCAUCUGUAUGUGGGGGUGUGUGAAACAUAGACGAAAAAUCAUAUGUCUCAAACGCCAUCGAUGAACUUGAGCCGAGAGGAGUAGAAUAUGGAGGUGAAUAUAGGCCGGGAGGAGUAGAGUACGGCGGUGGAUACGGCUCUGGAGGAGUUGAGUACAUAGGUGGAUACGGGCCGGAAGGAGUAGAGUACUGAGAUAAAUAUGAACCGGGAUGACUGGAGUACUGAGGUGGUAGUGGGCUGAAGAUAUCAAACUCUGAAUGAUAUCCGUGGCCUGAGGAGCCCGAGAAAUAGUCAUCGCCCCCUAAAUCUAGAUGAUAAGAACUACCUCCAGAGUGUAGUUCCGGCUCUGGCUCCUGCUGUGGCUCCGACUCUGGUGCAUGAUUCGGAUCUGGAAGAUGUUGCGCAAUUCAUGUCGUAUGUGGGGGGACUACCAUCGACUGCCCACCAAACAAAAAUGGUUUCCCUAUCUCACAGUACCACUGUAGGUACUGUAACGAAGGCUGAAGAUCCAAGCCAUGAUCCAUCUGAGGUGCCCUCUCAAACAGGUUGUUCCACAUCGUAACAUAUUCUUCAUGUUCAUCUCCCCAAUCAAGCCCAUGCCUCCCCCUCUUGGUCAUCCCAUGGAUAUCCCCCAAUCGUACUGGUGGACUCGGGAUAUAUUGAAUGCAACUGAACUGCCGAAGUACUCGAUCGCCAUGAUACCAUUCCACUAUCUGAAAAUUAAUAAUGGGUGUGCUAAUGCACCAUAAGUUUGAGUGGACACGGGCAGACGAGGGAAUAACUGCCAUAAUUUCUAGAAUAGAAUACGACAUCCAAAUGAACUGCACAAUUAACCACAUUUUUUGUAUUAAUGUAGGUCGAGUGAAAUAAAAUAAUAAAAUAAAAUUGAUAUUGAAAAAACUUACCCCCUCUCCAGAAUGAUUCUCGAUCAUCAGGUGGUAUAUCGGAACCGUGUAUGACCUUCCGAUACCCGGAUUUGUGCUCCAUCUAAGAAAAAAAUUGUUAGAACAACAUAAUCCGAAAAAAAAGUCAACUAAUUGUUACAAUGCAUAAAAAUUCAUCACCUAUUAACGAGUGGAAAUUUAUAUGAUUGGUGACUAAUUGAUGCCAAGAAUGGCAUCCGGUAAAGUGCCCACGACUGCAGCAGUAUGAGGCAUCCGCCUAUNNNNNNNNNNNNNNNNNNNNNNNNNNNNNNNNNNNNNNNNNNNNNNNNNNNNNNNNNNNNNNNNNNNNNNNNNNNNNNNNNNNNNNNNNNNNNNNNNNNNNNNNNNNNNNNNNNNNNNNNNNNNNNNNNNNNNNNNNNNNNNNNNNNNNNNNNNNNNNNNNNNNNNNNNNNNNNNNNNNNNNNNNNNNNNNNNNNNNNNNNNNNNNNNNNNNNNNNNNNNNNNNNNNNNNNNNNNNNNNNNNNNNNNNNNNNNNNNNNNNNNNNNNNNNNNNNNNNNNNNNNNNNNNNNNNNNNNNNNNNNNNNNNNNNNNNNNNNNNNNNNNNNNNNNNNNNNNNNNNNNNNNNNNNNNNNNNNNNNNNNNNNNNNNNNNNNNNNNNNNNNNNNNNNNNNNNNNNNNNNNNNNNNNNNNNNNNNNNNNNNNNNNNNNNNNNNNNNNNNNNNNNNNNNNNNNNNNNNNNNNNNNNNNNNNNNNNNNNNNNNNNNNNNNNNNNNNNNNNNNUCGCCCUUUGUCAGCCCCAGCAACCCCACCGCCAAAUUCCUCGAAGGUAAGGACUGCUCUCUCGGUAUAAUUCGUGUUAGAAUUCAAAACCAAGAACUCAAGUUGUAGUUUGCUGUAAUCUUGAAGAGAGAUAAUAUUGAGAAGCAGCGAAUUAGCUAUUAUUGGGGCCAUCUUCAGUUACAGGUUCUUGUUUUUAUACCCUAUCAGCAUUUCUAAAACCUUUGAAUUUGGGUUCUUAAAAUGGCUAACAAAUUAGUGAAUAGUGAUACAGUGGCAAGCGGCCAGAUUAUCUGGGAGUUCAGAAAAAUACGCCAGCUCUGGCUCUUUGCCCUUCUACCAAGAACGGUAUUUCAACAUCUGAGAACGUCAGCGAUAUCACCCACUACACUCCUCCUUGGUAAAGCUCUCUCCAUUGCCCCCCCUUAUUUUGGUCGAUUAACCGUAAACGCAUGAAAAAUGUGAGUAGAUUUUUUUUUUUGAUAUACAUUGAUUUUUGUUAUCUGAACAGGAACUAUAAUGGUGGGCGUACUAGGAAAAAGCCUGUGAGUCGAGAAUGGCAAUGGAAGAACUUCUCCAAUGGGUAAAUUUUCAACUGAUUAUAAAAAUAUAUACAUAUAUAUACUCUGUAUUUUAGUGACUUAGUCUAUGGCUACCGCAUAUUGUAGAUAAAAUCAACAAAACCAGACAAAUAUACUCCCAAAAUUGUGGAGAAGAAAGACGAUUAUGUGCUGGUGGAAUACGAAAGUCCCAUAAUAGGGGUAAAAUUCAACGUCUUUUUCUUCUUCUUCUUCAAUACCAAACAUAACGCACACGAGACGACUUGCAAAAUGGGUUUUAACUGAAGAUUCAUGUAUUUGUUGUUAACCAGAUUGUGGAUGAUGUGGAGUUCUGGUUUCCACCGGGGAAGAAAUCAAUGGUGGAGUAUCGAUCAGCAUCAGGGAUUGGAAACUUUGAUUUUGAUGUCAACAGAAAAAGAAUCAAGUUAAAGUUGUUAAUCUCUUAAAUCUUUUACCAAGUUUUUAGUCGUCAAACAAACUAAAUGCUACCAUUGUUUUCCUUACAGGCAUUGCGAAUGGAGUUGGAAAAGAAAGGAUGGGCUUCUGAACCAUCAUUUUGAAGGAUAACUAAUCAGAAGAAACCAACAUCGUACUGUUUGAUUUAUGUUUCACAGAUACCGUAUUCCCAGCAUCCUCAAUUCUUAAAAUUAUAUUUUUCACCCAUACUUUUUCGGGGUCAAUUGCACUAGAUAUCCCAUGUAACACUCUCUACCCGUAUUCAUUGUUGGAAUAGGGUACAAGGUAUUAUCGGAGUUUACGAAUUAAUUUUUUUUAACUCAAUAUAAUUCCUUUAUAGAUAUCGAACAUUCGCUGUAAUUUUAAACUUAGACCAAUCUAUAUCAAUCAAUCCAAUUCAACAUAUUUUCAAGAUAGAUUCGUGCAUAUUUAUAAGAUAAUCUCAUCACAUACCAAAACCAAGAUUUGUUAGCCAUACUAAUGGAUGACCUUACAAUUAUUUCACAUUAACAUUUACUUUAUUAACUUAUACAUACCAUUGAUUUCCAAAAUAAAGUUUCUUUAUAUACCGAAAUCUUGAGGUUGAUAGUGUGAUGUGUCUCCGACAGAAUCUGACCUCUAAGCUCUUAACACUAUAAAAACAGGGGAAAAGGAAAAAGGAUAAGCACAUUGUGCUUAGUAAGCUCAUGUAACAAUAAUUAUACUUACCUAAUAUUUCAAUACAAUGCAAUAAACAUUCAAAUACCAUUCAAUGCAUUAUUACCCUAACAUGCACAAACUCAACAUUCAAGUAAGUACAAUAAUUUUCAUGUAUCAAUAAUAUAUACCAUGAUUGAUGAGCUCAUCAAUACCAUGAUUUCCAUUCCUUUGUUAUUUUUCCAUAUUUAUCCCGUUGCAUUUCUCGAAAUUUCGAUGGAUUUUCACAGGUACACUUUUAGUGUAAAAUUUUGGGUCUAUCAAUUCAUAUUAAUGUACGUACAUUUCCAUUUUAAAGAGCACACUCCCGCGAACCUCAUUCUUACAGCGGGAUUACCAGUCGAAGCUAAAUCCCCUAUAAUAUAAACUUAUAAAGUAUUGUUGGGAUUACAAGUCUAGGCUAAAUCCCCUACAACGAUAAUUACUCUAAUGAGCUUGGAUCUGAAUUACCAGUUUAGUCUAAAUUCAGACCCUAAUUUGGAUUACCCGUCCGGGAUAAAUCCAUUUUCCACAUAUUCUUCGGGAGGACUAUAUCAAGAUAGGAUCACCCGUCCGGGCUAGAUCCUUUUUACCGUCAAUUUCUUUUCAAAGAUCCAUCAAAUUUUCCUUUCAUUCAACCGGGAUUUAUUCCCCUUUUAUCAAAUAUAUCAAUGUUUCAUCAAUUUUUAUAUAAUGAACAUUCAAAUCAUAUUCACAUCAAUAACAUAUAUUUCAAGCAUUUAAGAAUAUAAUUCAAGUUACACGAACUUACCUCGAUACUUGUUCGUAUACAAAAAUUUACUAAUCCCAAUCUUUUUCUUUUCCUCAAUCUAGUUUCGUAUUUGAAUUUUCUGAAUUUGGUGCAAAAAUUAUGAAAUACCAGUUUGAAUAAACCUUUAGGACAUUUUUGGCUGAUGAUAAUGAAGAAAAUAUGAAGAGAAUUCUAGAUAUUCCAAAUUGGUCCCAUUUUUAUUUUAGUAAAUUUUGUUAUUUUUCCCAUUUUGCCCUUAUUUCACCAAUUCUCCUGAUUUUUCUCAACUUAUGCAGCCCAAAAUAUCUCCUUUUGGGCUUAUUUGCAAUUUAUGUCCCUCCUCAUUUAACAAUUGAGCUAUUUAAUCCUUUUAGUAACUUUUACAUCAUUUUCAAUUUAGUCCUUUUUACUUAAUUAACUACCCAAACGUAAAAAUUUUCUAACGAAAUUUUAAUACCAUAUUACUAACAUUUUAUAAAUAUUUAUAAAAAUAUUUUUGACUUAUUUUUACGAUAUUGAGGUCUCGAUACCUUGUUUUUACCCAAUUUCUUCAAUAAUUUCUUUUUCUAACUAACCACUAAAUUGGUAAAUUUUUUCUAUCGAUAUUUUCAUACGAUUUUCCUAUCAUAUCAAUAUUUAUGCAAAAAUAUUAAAGUAAAUUUCUCUUUAAAUCGAAUUUUUGGUUACGAAACCACUGUUCUGAUAACCUUGAAUUUAGGCCAUUACAUCCCAAAUUACGGCAAAAAGUUUUAAGUUGACAUGUUUUGAAUUCAUCAGGUCAAAUUUUAAACAUAUAUACCCUAAAUAACUUAGAUCGGACUUGAAAAAGAAAAACAAUACAAUGGGCAACAAUGUGUUUAAAUUUUGAUUAACUUGUUUUAAAUAUGCUUCUUGUUUGAUUCGAGCUAAUAUUCAACAUUCAAGUUGACGGAAAUACUAAUAGAAGUAUUUGAUCGAUUUUAAUACUUUGAAAACUUAAUUAUAACAAUUUAAAGUAAAAGAGUGAAUUUAAAUUUAGAUAAUAAUUUGAGGAUGUUUGAUGUAAUUAAGUAAUUAACAUUAAUUUUUUUAUCUGGACUAUAAUACUAAAGUGGGCUUAGAGGUGCUCAUGGGUCGUGUCGAAACCAUUUUUAAUUUGAAAACAAAAUGGGGAUUGGCUAUAAAAACGAAAAUGUGGAGCCGCCACCAAUCUUUUUUGUUUAGGUGUGAUUGGAUCACCUAAGAGUUCGGUUAUUUUAAUAAAAUAUUUCUUUUUACUAAAACAACGAUUUUGGCCUACGUAAAUAUGAGAAAAUGGGUUCGGGAGUCGGUUGCGUAUGAGGAAGGAUUAGCGCCCUCAUUACGCCCAAAAUUGGUACCAAAUCGAUUAAAUAUUGUCCUUAUAUCUAAAAAAAUGUUUUUUGAAAUGUGGUUCCUUUUAUAAACAUUUGAAUAGCCCAAGUUGGUCGUCAAAAUUCUCUUGUUUCAAAGGAAUACAGCAUCACAUCCAGCACGAUAGGACACGAUCCUUUAUACCCUCGAAAACACUAUAAAUUUCGACUCCCAAAAGUUUAUAUGUUGAAAACCGCAAAAGGAUGCCCAAUUAUUUAGUCCAACGAAAAAAAUCGAAACCUAACACAGUAGGGCACGAUUCCUCGAAUUUCUAGACAUUGGACAUUGCCUUAUUUUAGAAUUUAGAGAACAUGAGUGAAAUUCUAAACGAAUAUUCGAUUAUUUUGAACAAACAGGAAAUCGCAACCUAGCACAAUAGGGCACGAUUGCCCGAAUUGCCAAACAUCGAGUAUUACCUUCGUUUUGAAGAGUCUUUAAAGACAUGAGUGAAAUUCCAAAGGAAUAUUCGAUUGUUUUGAACAAACGGGAAAUCGCAACCCAGCACGAUAGGGCACGAUUCUCGAAUUGCCAAACAUCGAGUAUUGCCUUCGUUUUAAAGAAUUUUUAAAUGAAUAAUUAUAAAAAUAACUUAAAACGCGUUAAUGCAACUUGAAAUAAAACGAAAUUAAUCUUAAAAAUUUGGGCCUUAUAAAACCAAAUUUCAUAAACCAAGUGGACAACAAUGAUAUGGGAUAAGAUGCUCACAUAUGAGAUACAAUCAAUUAACAAACUAAUAAUUAAGUAUAACUAACCUAAAAAAAUAUAACCCAAUUACGAUCAUGCAUGGGAAAUAAUUGAUAUAAUAAUACAAUGACGAAAAUAAUAAUAUAACAAUUCAACACAACCAAAACAACACACACAAUAAUAUGCCACAAUAAUAUACAUAGCAUGAUAUAAAAUAACCAAUGCAAGAUGUAAAAAAAAAAAACAAAGUAGCAAUUAGAAGCCAAUGUGGUACAAAACAACUUUAAAAUAAUAACGAAUGAACGAACACAUAAUACACGUAAUACAUGAAUUGAUGAAUUUAAAAUAACCUAUAAAAACAAACUAGAGAUAUAUACAUAAUUAUUAAAAUACGUGUUAUAAAAUAAAUAUUUUAAAAUCGAAUAAUGUACAAGGUGUCAAAACAUUUUACAAGGUAAAUACAACAAAGGAGAAUUUAAUAAUAUAAAUAUGAAUGGGUAGCCAAGAUGCAUGAUAAAAUAGAAUUUUAGAAAAUAUACUAUAUACACAAUGGAUUAAAAGCAUACACACAUAUAUAUAUAUAUAUACUCUUAAAAAAAAAUUACAUGUAAAAAAAAAAACAUAGACAUGAUAAUAUGCAUAGAAUUAAAUUAAUUUUAUUAUAAAUUAUAAUAGACUUAAGAACAUGCUUAUAUAUAUAAGACUAUAUGUAUAAAAUGCAUAGAUUUAGAAAUGUGUAUAGAUUAAACAUAGGCAUCAAUGUAUAUAUAUAUACUUACAAUAAUAAUGAUUUAAAACAUAUAUUAUAUAGGAUCGUGUAAUAAAGUAUAAGAAUAAAUUUAAAAGGAAUUAUAUGUAUAAAAUAACAUGAUAUUAAUAGUAUGCAUGAAAUAAAAUUAACUUUUUUAUAAAGUAUGUACAUAUAUAUAUAAUAGUGUAUAUAUAAAAAACAUAAAAAAAGCAUAUAAAGUGUGAAAAUACGAUUACCAAAAUUAUAGUAAAUAAGUAAGUGAUACAAAUGAUACGAUUAACACAAAUGAACAAACACGAAUAAAAUAAAAAUAACAUGAAAUGAAUCUAAAAAGAAAACUUAAUUGAAAUCACAUUAAAAUAAAUAGGAUAAUUUACAAAUAAAUAAAACUAUAAAACAGACUUAAGGAUUAAAGCUUGAUACGCACAAAUAUCCGAGGACUAAAGAGGAAAUUGUCCCCAAAUUCUAAAGCGCAGCGUUUAACUGUUGGUUAAAUUAAAACUAUGUUCAAAUCUUAGGAACAAAUUAAAAAAACGAAAAAGAGUAAAGGGAUUCAAUUGAAUAAUAGCGCGAACAGAAAGGACCUAGCGUGCAAUUAUCCCUCCCCGCCAAAGAUACGCAGAUCCUAUGGCAAAGAUUCGGAGCGGGUCGGGUUAAUCAAUACGACGUCGUUUUGAGCCUGAAUAGUCCUUUAUAAAGGCCCAAAAUCAAGCCAUUCGGCCGACCCUAGCCUCAUUCCCUCUUUACCAGCAAACCCUAGCCCUCUUUUAACCCCAUCAUUGAUCCACCACCAAGAACGGCUACCGCUGGUUUUGGGGCUCCGACUAAUCGAUUUUCAGCCUGAAAAUCCCUUCUUGACUUCAAUUUGAACAAAGCAAAAGAGGAUCAGCGGCCUAUUCACAAGGUAAGAUCGCUAUUUUAUUUCGUUAUACUAAAAAAACAAAACGAAAAGAAAAAAAAUGAAACAGAUUCGAAGAACAAAAAUAUAAGGUGCUUGAAAUCAUCUUUCAAUAAUUUUUUAUUGCUCUUCUAUUCUCUAUGCAUAUGUGUGUAAAAAAAAUACAAUCGAUUCCCCCUGGCUUUAUAGCCGAAUGUUCAAAAUAAAAAAAAUACAAUUUUUCUUUAUUUGCUUUCGUAUUGGCUAUUGUUGCUGCUAUUGUUUGUCUGUUUCUUUGCAGGUACGGAGGCCCGUUGGCGCGGUGGUACGUGGCGCUUGACGUGGGGCGUGACUGGUGGAGCGCUGGAGGGUACGGAGCCAGGCUUUGGGCGCAUGGAGGCCGUACAUAGGGCGUUGGCUGCGGCGCACCUAAGAAACCUAGGGUUUCUGAAACUGUUUUAACCUUUGGGCCUCUGUGCCGUGUAAUCUUAGGCUAGGAUAUUAAUUUGGGUAUUGGGUUAGUGAUUGGGUCAAAGUCUGUAAAUGGACAUUUAAUGGACUAUUAAGAUUUAGAUUUUUUUUUACUUAUUUGGGCUUUAAUGUAGACCCGGGCAAAUUGGCCCGUUUACAGGUCUGAUUGAGUUGGACUUAAGUAUAAUGUUAAUAUAUUUUAUGCUUGCCUAAGGCCGGGUCGGUCUAAAAUAUGGGCUUAAAAAUUUGUCCAAACCCGCCCAUAUUUGUAAAAGACUAACCCAAAUCAUUUUAGGUAUGCUCAUAUUAUUUUUAAGAUUUUAAAAAAUAUAUUUAUAUUAUAUUAUUUUAUUGAAUUUUUUUAUAUAGUCAUCUUAAUAUUAUUUUAAUAUUUACAUUAGAGUAGUAAUAUAUAUUUAGUAUAGGCUUAUUUUUUUAAUGUGUUUUAAAUUACAUAAUAUAUAAAAAUAACAUAAUAUAAAGUAUUACAAACUUAAAAUCGGGUCGAGCUCAGGCUUUAAAUGUUCAAGCUCAUAUUUUAAAUAAAUCUAUUUUUUGAGUCUAAUAUUUUUAUUCAAAUAUUUCUAGAUUUUGAACGAGCCUUUAUGCCUGAGUAGGUAACCUGAUCCAUAACCAAGUGUAAGUGGGCCUUAAACAAAAUUUGGGCUUGGAUGAAGGUUUCUAAAAUCAUAAUGGCUUUUAUGUAAUUUGAGAUAGAUAUGAAGAAUAUAUAAGCAGUUAGAAUAAGAAAAGUGGAAGAGAAAAUGUUUUUUAUUAGCUCUUAAUUCUCAACCAAUGCCAACAACCCGGUUUGGCGGCAUGGAAAUUGAUUCGGAAAUUAAAUUUAAAAAAUAUAUAAAAACAAGGUGAAAAGACAGAGGUUGAGAUUUUGAUAGGAGGGAAGAUGGCCAUCGCAAGUCUCUUGGGAUGGCUCGUGACCUUCUUCUUCCUCAUAUCUCUUCUCGCCAUUAUUUGUUAUCAGGUCAUUUUCUUUCUUUUUAAUAUAAUUUUAAUUUUGAUAACAAUCGUUUGAUAAUGGCAAAUUUUGCAGCUUAUGUGCUUUAUUGAUUUGGAAAUUGAUUACAUAAAUCAUUAUGAUUCGGCGGUACGGAUAAACAAGGUUGUGAUGCCGGAGUUCAUAAUCCAAGCCGUUUUCUGUUUGGUCUGUUUAAUUACGGGAUAUUAUUUUUUUUUCCCGUCUCUCCCAUAUUCAUACUAUAAUUUCAUAUUGUAAGUUUCUAAAAUCCUUCAAAAAUUAUCCUCAACUAUUUUUAUUUCUUUUUUUUUUUUUGAAAAAAAAGGGUUUUUGGAAUUGAAUGAACAGGUAUAGAAGGAGAAAACAUUUGGUUGAUGUAACAGAGAUAUUUAAUCAGCUCAAGUGGGAAAAGAAACAACGACUAAUCAAACUUGGCUAUCUUAUUAUCCUUUUAAUUGUUUUUAUAUUUUGGUAAUUAUGAUCUCACCAAAUUACAAAUAUUAUAUAUUUUUUCAUUACUCAUAAAAUUGGUUUAAAUAUGUUUCAGGUUGAUUUGGACAGUAGGAAAAGAUGAUGAUUAUUAAACAGGCUUUGGAUCAAAUAUUCUUCCAACCUUUGUUUUUCCAAUUUACCGUAAUAUUUUUUUAUUCACAAUUUGUACAAUGUAUGAGCAUUGGGUUAUUAUAAUACAAUGAGAUUUUUAUUUUUUUAUUUUUUCAACAACUUUGUGAUUAAUAUAUGAAUGCAACAACCAUACUUUACCUAAAUUAUGUAAAAACUAAUUUAUCAUUGACAUUAAAAUUACUCCGAAAAAGUAUUUUUAAUAAGUUUAAGAAUUUUUGUCGUCACUGUUAAAGAUUUUUUUUAGGUAACUUCAUUGGAAAAAUAACUUUUUUUUUGAACUUUUUUGUUUCACACUUGUGAACUUAUUCAAUAUAAAUUUCAUAAACUUUAUUAUAUAAUACCAUAAUGAUAGGGGGUGAAGAUUGUAAAGCCUCGACUUUUAGCUCUUAUAUAUAUACACACAUCUAACAUAUCAUUUAUCAAUCAACAUAACAUCAUAUAAAUACCAAACAACAUAGGCGCGCUCAUCACAAGAUAAACUUUUAUUUCAUUUUAUACAUCAUCACAUCCAUAUCAUGAACUCUUUUCAUACCUUUCCAAGUUUCAACUCAUCAUAAACACAUUCUUACUCAGACACAUUAGUGUCACUUUCAACACUUUCUGAAAUAACUCGCUUAAAAAGUAUUUCUGUCUAUAAGUAAAAUAAAAAUUUGAUCGGAUUAUACGCAUCACUCUAUCACAGAUUUAUAUGGCAUGUAUCUCUAAAGACUUUACAUUAUUUUCUUUUGAUCAUGAAUUUCAUUAUUUCUAUAAUUCUAUAGUUUCUUUUUGCACAUAUUUACCUAGUUUAUCAUUUAUAUCCAUUUUCUAUCCUUUCAUUUCACAUUUUAUUUUCAAUUCAAUUUUCACAUUUGCCUCUCAGAGCUUUUACCAACGGGAAUAGAAGAUAAUAUCAUAUGAAUCUUAUUAUCAAGUGUUUUAUCACAUAUAUUAGCUUGGAAAACCAAAGAAGGAUAGAGUAGUACCGCUUGUGAAUCAAUCAAACUUGCGAUAAUUUCUGUCUAUUAGCAUAUUUAUCUAACCUUUUAAUAUAUUUAUUAUAGCAUCCAAACAUUAACAAUUGCAUAUGCCUCUGAAAAUAUCAGUACAUAUAAAAUACCCACAUAAUAUCCCAAAAAUUUACUAUAAUAUACCCAAUUAUAACUGCUAUAUUCAAAUAUUUUUGCAAUUUAUUCACCAAUCUAUUGACUAGUAUAGUCAUCAACAAUUUCACAUCAUUCAGUUCACUCAAGAAAUUAAUUUGGAAGGAAUUUUCAGUCAACCAUUCUGUAAAUACCAUAUUUGAACAAAUCGAUUUUCCAAUAAAUAACUUCUUUAUUUAACAGUGGUACUGUAUAUCCCAGCUAGUUUUCAGAAAAAUUUGAUGUCUCUAUUCAGAACCCAUCUUUACCUAUUAACGCAUUCUCAGUUCCGACUGUAUUAUUAAUUGUUCAACCAUUGAACUUUUUUCACUUUCCGCUUCUAAAUUUAAUCAAUAUAAAUCUCAUGAAUUUCAUUGCAUAUAACUGUAUUAGUAAAGGGGUAUAGAUCGUAAAGCCUCAUAAUUUAAUUUUCAUGUAUUUACUCAUAUAACAUUUAUUAUUCUCAAGUAUUAUAAAACAUUUAUCCGUACUUUUACGAGUACUGCUUCUUCAUAACUAACAUUUUUACUCAGGGAUAAUCCUUUAUCUUGUAACGAAAAUUGUUUAAUUUUUUUAUUUAACAGAGGCCCAGUAGACUAGAUAGAACACUUCGGAUAUACAGGACUUAGACAGAGGUGCAUUAUUAUGCACUAAUGAACAGAGAGCACUGAAGUGCUAUAUAGAGAGCACAAAUGUGCUAAUCAGAGAGCACUGAUGUGCUAAAUAUUAGAGAGCACUGGCGUGCUAGUAAUCAGAGAGCACUGGCGUGCUAAAUAUCAGAGAGCACAAAUGUGCUAAUCAGAGAGCACUGGCGUGCUAAAUAUCAGAGAGCACAAAUGUGCUAAUCAAAGAGCACUGACGUGCUAAUAUUCAGAGAGCAUGCUGAAGUCCCUUAACAUCCUAGUAGUUCUAAUCUUGUCUACUUGGGCAAAUUAUUUCAUACAUGCAUAUUAGUUUUACACCUUUCGCAUAAUAUUUUUACAUGCUUUACAAUUUAAUCCUUGUACCAAUAAUUUAUAUGCUUAUAUCUUCUGUAUCUUCAAUACAUGUAAUAUAUUUCAAAAUUCACUAUUCAUUCAUAAUUCUCUAAUAAUCCUUAUCAUGUACUUCAUAUAUCACAUUUAUAUAUUUUGUAAUUUAGUCAUCAGCACAAUAUUUCAUAUAGUAAUAUAAUUUACUUUUAAUAAUACAUAUAACAUAAUAUUCAUCAUCGACAUGUAUUAUAAAACUUUUAUUCUUGCCCCCUUUUUUUUUUAUCGAUUCAUCAUAAUCAACUUUCUACUUGUAUACUUGAGUAUCGUUUUUAGCAUUAUCAUAAUUAACUUGGUUAUAAAACAUCUCUUUCUAUAAGUAAAACAAAUUUCAUUAGAGUCGAGAGAUAUCACACUAUCACAUAUUGUAAUGACAUGUGUUUUUAGACUUCACAUAUACUACGUUUGAUCCGAGAACCGACUAAACCGUAGCUCUGAUAUCAUUAAAUGUAAUACCCCAUACAAGUACCUGAGACCGGGAUAGGAUACGAGGCAUUACCGAGAUUUUCAGAAUAAUUUCAAUUAAUUUAUAUUAUUUAGUAUUCAUUUUCAUGUUUCAUGUAACAUUCUUUUCAUAUAUUCAAAAAAAAUAUCAUAUAAAGUACGAAACAAUACUUAAAUUUUCAUAUUUACAUGCUCAUGCAGGAUAUACGAACCUACCUGACUAAAUUGCAGAAAUACCAAGAUUUAGGGGCAUAUUGGUGAUUUACCAUAUUCCCAAAUUUCACCCAAUCUUAAAUUGAUAAUUUCAUUCAAUUUAUUAAUUUAGAUAAUAAAACAAUUCAUUCCUUUCAAUUUAGUCAUUUUCGACAUUUUUACAAAAUUACCUAUAAAGUUUUACUUUUAUUCAAUUUAGUCAUUGAGCCAAAAACAUACAAAUUAGCCAUGCUAGCUGAAUAUUCAUACAUAUUUUUCCUCCUCCUCCUCUCCAUUCCACAUCCUUAGUAUAAACAACACACUUGUAGGUAACAUUAUCCAUAAUUUUCACUAUCUACUUAUGUGAAUAUUCAAGCUGUCCAUCUGUGUCAUAGUCACUAAAUUAUUUUUAUCUUGAGCUACAGAACUCCAAAUUAAGAUCCUAUAAUUUUCCAUGAAACUAGACUCAUAUACCUUCUUACCAUAAAAAUUUCAUAAUUUUUGGUUGGUCCAAUUAAUACAGUUUAUUCAUUAAAGUCUCUCCUGUUCUGCUGUCUGAUAGUUCCGACCCUUCUUCACUAAAAAUUAAUUAUCUUCUUGUACAGGAUUCGAAUGAUGUCCUCGUUUGUUUCUCUUGAAAAUAGACUUAUUUAGGAUUUUAAAAAUAUAUAUUUAAGCCCCUAAUUAAUUUUAUCCAAUUUUUUAUGAUUUUCCAAAGUCAGAACAGGGGAACUCGAAAUCAUUCUGACCUUGUCUCACAAAAGUUAUUGUAUCUCAUGAUUUAGAAUUCCAUUGCUUACAUAAUUUCUUUUAUAAGAAACUAGACUCAAUAAGCUUAAAUUUCAUAUUUUAUUCAUCCUCUAAUUUGAUUUCUAUAAUUUUUGGUGAUUUUUCAAAGUUAGACUACUGCUGCUGUCUAAAACAGUUUAAGUGCAAAAUGUUGAUUUCCAUUUUGCCCCAAAUUUCACAAUUCAUACAAUUCAGUCCUUGCUCAAUUAACCCCUCAAUUAAGAUAAUUUUCUCAAUUAAUACUUUUUCUACAUAUUAUAAGUUAUUUCAUAACUAUUGAAAUUCAGAAUUUCCAUAUGAAACUCUAACUUCAAACUCUUUUACAAUUAGGUCCCAAACAUUCACUUUCUAUUCAAUUAUUUCAAUAAAAUCAGCAUAUAAAUAAUUUAAAGCUCUAAUUCCAUGCCAAAUCAUCAUAUACUUCCAGCACAUAUUCAUAGCAACUUUCAAUUUCUUUCAUAGAAUCAAAAACUAAUGAAUUCAACAAGUGGACCUAGUUGUAAAAGUCACAAAAACAUAAAAAUUUCAAGGAGAAAGCAAGAAUUAAACUUACAUGAAGCUAGAGUAUGAAAAUCAGCUUGAACCCUCCUCCAUGGCUGUUUUUCAGCUGAUAAAUAUGAAGAGAAAUGAAGAGAAUUCUAGAUAUUCCAAUUUAGUCCCAUUUUUAUUUAGCUAAAUUUGGCAAUUUUCCAAUUUUGCCAUUAUUUCAUCCAUUUCCUGAUUUUUCUCAGCUAUCGCCGCCCAAAAUAUCUCCUUUAGGACUAUUUUCACUUUAGGUCCUUCCUCAUUUGACAAUUGAGCUAUUUAAUCCUUCUAGCAACUUUUACACCCUUUUCAAUUUAGUCCUUUUUAUUUAAUUAACCACCAAAACGUCAAAAUUUUCUGACUAAAUUUUAAUACUACCUCACCAGCACUCCAUAAAUAUUUCUAAAAAUAUUUAUGGCUCGAUUUAUGAAGUCGAGGUCUCGAUACCUCAUUCUCGACCCAAUUUACCUAAUUAAUUCUUUUAAAUCACCAAAUUCACUAAUUCAAAAAUGAUUUUAUAUUCGCAUUUGACUCAUAGGUAUUAAUUUAUUAAAUUUUUAACUCACCCGUCGGAUUUGGUGAUCUCAAAUCUCUAUUCCCGAUACCACUGAAAAUUACCAAUUUUCCAAUUUUGCCCUUAUUUCAUCCAUUUCCUGAUUUUUCUCAGCUAUUGUCGCUCAAAAUAUCUCCUUUAGGACUAUUUUCACUUUAGUUCCUUCCUCAUUUGACAAUUGAGCUAUUUAAUCCUUCUAGCAACUUUUACACCCUUUUCAAUUUAGUCCUUUUUAUUUAAUUAACCACCCAAACGUCAAAAUUUUCUGACUAAAUUUUAAUACUACCUCACCAACACUCCAUAAAUAUUUCUAAAAAUAUUUAUGGCUCGAUUUAUGAAGUCGAGGUCUCGAUACCUCAUUCUCGACCCAAUUUACCUAAUUAAUUCUUUUAAAUCACCAAAUUCACUAAUUCAAAAAUGCUUUUAUAUUCGCAUUUGACUCAUAGGUAUUAAUUUAUUAAAUUUUUAACUCACCCGUCGGAUUUGGUGAUCUCAAAUCUCUAUUCCCGAUACCACUGAAAAUUAGGCUGUUAUAGAAAUAUAUGUGCAUGGCAAGUGAAUUCCAAUAACAAUCUAUGUUAAAACGUGAAGUGAUAAUAUAGUAAAUUAAAGUGUUAGUAAGUUUGUUACAUAAAUAUAUUGAAUAAUCUCUUGAUAUAAAUGAUAUGUUGAUGAAAUUAUAUUAGUAAUAUUGUUACUAUUUUUAAAUUAAAGAAAUGAUAAGAUUUAAAUUCAUGGGUACUUACAAAGCUUUCACAAACUUAACACAUUAUUUUCAUCGCGUAGGUGAAAGAUCAAAUUGAAGUUUUUAUACGAAGUGGUGACCUUGACACAUCUCACCACAUCAUCAUCAAAUUUUCGGAGAAAAGGGGUAUGAAAUAAACUUUACUGUAUAAAGUAUGACAUAUACAUAGGUGAAUUAAUGAAGUAAUAAAGAAAGUGUCUAGUUGUUUAAUAUUUGAGUACUUUAAGGUAUUUGAAAACAUAAUUCACGUUUGAUGAGAAUCAAACAGUCAGUGACGUUGCGACUUAGAAUCCCCAAAGUCGUGGCAUCAACCCGAAAGUUUUAAAACUUUAUAAUUUAAUAUUUAUUCGACUUUAGGUUAGUAAAAAUCUUUCAUAAGCUCAUAUAAUACUCGGAUAAGAUUGUGAAUCAUGUUAUGAGGGUGUAAUAAUCUUAACAGCGUGAACAAAAGGUUAAAUGGAAUGGUAAUUAUUUGUAAGUGCUCCGACAACGAAUGUGACAUCCCAAAACUUGGACCCAACGAUCGGGUCAAGUAUGGGGUGUUGCACACCAACCCAGUCAAACUUUUAAUAAUAAUACUAAGAUUUUUCUCACACGACUAUGUUUGUGGAAACCACAUAUAUAGAAUAUAAAUGUGUAUUUAAAAAUAACAUAUAAUAAAUAAUAAAACAUAUUAUUUGAAACUAAUUAAUAAUAUAUAAAAUAUGUACAAUAUUAAAAUGAAUAAAAUAGAUUAAAUUAUGAGUGUAAUCAAAUUUAAACACAUAAAUACACCAAAUUAAGAAUAUUAAAUGAACACAAUUGUUUAUCACCGUAUUGUCAUCAAUCCUGAGUUAGUGUCGAGUUAAUUUGCGACACUAAUUUAAUCAAAAAAAUUAUUAAUAUAUAUUAGAAAUUCUAUCACACACAUAUUCGUGCAAAAAUCACAAAUUUAGAACUCAAAUGUGUGUUUAAAAAUAACAUAUAAUAAAUAAUGAAAUGUGUGGUUUGAAACUGAUUAAUAAUAAUGCCACAUGAAAUAUGUAUGAUGUUAAAGUUAAAAUAUAUAUAUUGAAUUUAUUUAUCAUGAUGUUGUCAUUAAUCUUGAGUCAUUGUCAAGUUAACUUAUGAUACCAACUCAAUCAAAUACAUUAAUAUAUACACAAUUGAUUGAGGUAAUAAAGUGCACAAAAUAAAAAUUGAAAUAUAUAAAAACAUAAAAUAAAGAUUUAGUUGAGUGGUAAAUUAAAGGUUUUAUUAAUUUAAUUAGUUUGGGUUCAAAUUUUACUAUAUGUAUUUUUAUUGGUUUUUAAAAAAAAUAAAAAUAAUAAAUUACCCUCGAAUAAUAUAAUUUAUUUUAAUUACGAAAAGAUAUUUCUAUAAUUUUGCUAACUAAGUUGGUGACCUAAUUAAGGGUAACACAAACUCAGUAAAAUACUUAAUCAAUAGUAUAUAGAAGUAUAGAUAUAUAACAGAUGAAGGUAAUAAAAUAUGUAUAAUAAAAUUAAAAUGUAUAAAAAUAUUAAAAUAAAAUUUUAAUUGAAUAGCAAAUUAAAAAUUUUACUAACCCAAUUAGCAUGGAUUCAAAUCUUACCAUAUCCAUAUAUUUUUAUUAUUUUUUUUUAAAAUGAAAAGAUUAAAAUAUCAUCUAAUAAUUUUACUUAUUUUAAUUAGUUCCUAAUCGAGUUGGUGAUCUGGUUCUGACUCGAUUAAAAACUUAAAUAAUAAUAUAAAUACAACUUAUGAGGAUAACAAAGUGUGUAUAAUAAAAUUAAAGAUGAGUGGAAACAACUGAUAAUGCCUGGGAGCAGAGCAAAAGCAACAUGAUAGACCAAGAAGGAAGGAAGGUUAAGUUAAUACCAAAGAUCCAAAUGAAGGUGAAGCAGCAAACAAAAAUUUGGGUAUGGAUGAGUGGUGCGAUUAGUUGUGGUUAGAGUAAAAAUAGCGGUGGUGAUGAAAUUAGAUACUAUAUAGCGUAUAUAGCGUACUGAAUUACACAACACCGGUCAUCCAAACUCACUUGAAAUAAAUGAUAAUUUGGGAUAUACAUAUAUGCAUUAUCUGCCAAACUUGGGAUUCAACUCAGCAAACCCGAACUAAAGAAAUAACCAGGUACUUGUUCUUCUUCUUUGUUUUCUUUCACCAACUGCAAUAUAAUAGUAAAAAGAUACGUGCACUCUUAUGAUAACACGUUCACUUUGGUAAUAAAAGAGGAAAUGUGAGCUAUUCUUUUUUUGUUUUAGACAGAAAAGGAUUCAACCACCACCUGUGUUUCCUCUAUAAUACUACAUCAUCAAACAGUGUAUAUAUUACAAAUAUUCUGGAAUUAUUAAAUAAAACUACCUUAUCUACUUAUUAUAACAUUCUCCAUAUCCAAUUCAUCUAACUCAGUCAUGGCUGCAGGAUGGAAUCAAGCAACCUAAUCUAUUCUUUCAAUACCAUAUGUUAUAUAUCUACAGAAUUAACCAAGUCUCUCAUACUCCAUAUUUUUGUAUCCCCACAUAUAUAUACAUAUAUACAGACACGGGGGGCUGUGGGAUGCUACCUAUUCUAUAUACAUAGGUUUUGCUGCAGAUAUAGCAGUGAGAGUGGAGUUGAGAGUAAUUAAGUUGGUGCCAUGCAAAAAAGCCUCUCCGUAAGCAAUUCCUCUCUCCAUUUUCGUGUGACUUUGGCUAUGAAUUCCUCUACUCUCGUUUCCAAAUCAUUAUCUUCCUCAUCUUCUUCACUAUCCUGACCAUCUUCUGUGCCAAGAGUAUCAUCGUUUUCUUCAUCGUAACCAUGAUAAAGUUGUACAUCCUCAACGUCACUGCCCUCAUAAUAAAUUUUUUCUUCUUUUGCGCCUAUGUUGACAAACCCUAAAUCCAGGACAGGAUGGUUGAACUCAUGACCAGCUGCAUCUUGAUGAUCAGGGCUUCCAAUAAUAAUGUUAAUAAUGCCAAGGAUAGCGUAGAACACGGUAAACCGAGCUAAGGGACAAGACUUUGCCACCACGAUGAAGUCAUAGGUGGAGAAAACAAGUUCAUGAUGCAUAGGAGCUGAUAGUAACAAAGCCAAUAAUAUGACCAAAGGAAUACUUGAUAAAAACCAUAAGGCAGGGAACCCACCACCUCCCUCCAUUUUGCUAGUUUUAGCCAUUAAUAAGAGGUUUUUUGUCACUAAAUUAACAACGGCAAGAUUUACUAGCUAUAUAAAGUUAAUCAGAAAAAAAGCUACUCAUCUAUUUCCUGGAAGCAAAGAGGACUGGUUGAUUGCAAUAUUAAAACCAUGGGAAGAAGUUAAUUAUGAAGGUGCAGGAGGAAAUUUCUGAGCAUUUUAGGAACAUUUAUUUAAACCAAAAGAGAAAAUGAAAUAGGUUGGAUGUUGGAAGUAUUUGUGGAAAACCAAUAUAGUGACGAAACAAGAGUGUGCGAAAGAAAAGAAGAAUUUGGUGACUUGAGAAUUAUAAUAACAUUCCAUCUCCAUGUCAACAAUUUUUGCAACAUAUAGUAAAUUGGGUCAUUGUUUAUUAUUUCACUUGAUAUUUAUUUAGCCUAAAACCAGGGUGGUUUGGUCCAUGUCCUUUUCAAUGGGAAACUUCCAAGCAUAUGUCUCCACAUUUAUAAAUCCUAACAACAAACUAUUAGUUUCUCAUAAUUCGCACGCAAUUUUCUUCUUUUUACAUUGCUCGUCUACUCACUACAUUGGCGCCAUGGCGGGGAAAGUAAAACCACAACAAACUUUCAGAGUUGUUUAUGAGUUGGGUAAGUAAAAAAAUUAGGUAUGUUUUUUAGGUUCGGAUUUGGCCCGACCUAAAAAAUAGGCUUAAAAUUUAUCUAAGUCCAACUUAAAUAAAAAUGUUAGAAUUCGAGUCCGGCACAACCCACAUUAAAAUUUUUUAUAUAAAAAAUAAAUUUAAAAAAUAUAACACAUCAAAUACACUAAAAAAUUAAAAUAAAUAUUUCCUAACAAAUGGAAAAGUUUAAAAAAAAAAAUUUAAAUAACAUUAAGAUAGGUACAACUUAGUAGGCAAAUACAUAUAAAAUAGUAGCUAAAUUAAUAAUAAAACAAGAAUGAUACAAUAUCAAAAUAAUAACAAUAAAAUAGUAGCAAUAUAAUAACGAAAUGAUAGCAAAACAAUGAAAAACAGGUAAAAAAUAAAAAAAAUAGCAACAAUAUUUUUUUUAUGAAAAUUUGGGCUGGGCCAAGCAAAAAAGUUUACCUGAGGCUUCACCCGUUUAGAAAAUAAACUCUUUUUUUUUUGUUUAAGCCUGUUUUUAGGACCUUUGUUUUUGUCCAAACUCUCCUACUUUUCGAGCAAGUAUUUAGCUCGGUUUAUAGACAAGUCUAAGUUAAAUGUCUCAUUUAUUUGAUGUAGCAAUUUACUUAAUGAGUUGAAAGUAAUAAAUGUUGUUUUAAGUGAAAAAGUCAUAAAAAAUUUAAAGAGAAAAGAGAGUAAUGACUAUUGCGUGAGACAUUCAUAGGUUAUGCGUCUUAUAAUGAGAUUUUAAAAAAAAUUUAAGGGAGAUACUCAUAAAUUACGUGUCGCCUCUUAAUUGGUAAAUUAUUAUUAAAUCUUUUGUUAGAUCGAUUAUAUGACUUGAUGUGAUGAAAUUACAUGAUAUAUUAAUUACUAGUAACAAUAAUUUUAUUAAAAUGGUUAAAUUUAGUGUCAUUUUGGUAAAAAAAAAAAAGAAGAAGUGUUGGGCGAAGUAAUCGAUUAAUGAGUCGGGCAAGAUAACUAGUAGAGUAGAGGAUGUAUAACAUAAUUAUAAACUGGUACACAGACAUAUUGACGUUUCAUGUUUUUCCGACAGCAAAAGACACAGAUUGAGAAGCAUGUGUUGUUGAACGAGAAUACAUAAGCUCCUUAUUUGUUUUGUUUGCAAUGUCAAACUCCCUACAUCCUAUUCUAUUAUUUUAUUUAUUUAUACACACAGUCAUCCUCUUUACUUUAGUUUUGGAAAUUAAUCAUUUUAAAUAUUUAAAAAACAUAUUUUAAAGGACGCUUUUUUGGUACAAACUGAGUGAGAGGAAAUUAUAUGAAUCUUGAUAAGUUGUCAAUAAAGAGUUUUAAUCAGUGCUCCUUUCAUUUUAAACUAUGAUUAAAAUGAAAAAAUAUAUUGUCAUAUUCAAAAUGGAUCAAGUUGGGUCAAAUUCGGGUCAUGAAUUAUGAAAUCCAAACCAAGCUCAUAAUUCAAUUAAGUUCUUUUUUUUGCACACCCAUUUUAAGAGCUAACCUUAUCUAAACCCUCCCAAAUUCCACGUGAGACUUUGGGCUUUAGUAGAUAGUCUAACAUUUGAAAAAGUCUAAUUUAAAAUGAUUCAUAUUAUUUUCUCAAUUCAUGAAAAUUAUAUUGUAUAUAUUAUAGUUGUUCAAGCAGAAGAAACGUAUAAGUAGAAAAUGGAGGGUCAAGGUUUACAUAUUAUAGUUUAGGGUGUAAUUUGGCAUACUGGAAGAAGCAGGUUAAUAAUGGUAUGAUAAAAGUCAUUGUAGUUGAAUGAAAAAUGAAACCAUAUGAAUAGAAAUGAUAAAAAUGUCACUACUACAUAAUUGGGAGAUCUUUUAAAAUCUAGGGCAACUCUCAUCAAUCAGGCUAAAAAAAGAAGAAAAGAUUGUCUUUGCCUGAGACAUUAAAACCUAGCUGGAUAUUAAUCCUACCUCAUCAUCCUACAUUAAUAUUCAACAACACAUAACACUCCGUACUCUUUGAUGAACGAAAAACAUCAGGGAUUUUAGUCUAGUCAGCCUCCGAGUCUGAUUUUAUAAGAUUAACCUGCUGGCAACGAAAUGUUGAUAUCCGUUGCUGAAUUCCUUGGCUCCUGCAUGGUGGCCGCCCAAUUUUCUCUCCGAAAGGUAGCACCGGUGAGGCUUGGUUUCAGGGCAUUCGAAUUUUGUUGUGGCGAAACAACAUCUAUGCCAUCCUCUUUCUCAGCAUUUGAAGCUGGUGCAGCGACCAUACUCGGGUUUGGUGCAACAGUAGCUGGUAUGGACUCGAUCUUCUGCUUUUUGGGUUUUUGAUCAUGCUGGUUGCCAGGUAAAAAGCUGCCGACAACAACCUGAUAAUUCAACAAAAGAUUAAUCAUCAAUGUGUUUGAGACCAAGAUUUGUCUAGACUCUUAAAUCUUUUCGAAUUGUGAAAGGCAAAGUAUGAAUCAAUUCCAUUCCAGCUCUCUACAAUAUUUUGAAAGAUGUCUCAUGCACUUCUCUCAGGUGUUCAUACAACUCAGACUACGAGCUUGAGAGCCGAUAGACGAGUACUUAGCCAUCACUUGAAGCCCCUCAAAUUAAACAUAUUAUUAAUUCUAAAAGGGGACCGGAAAUUUAGCACUAAGAGGCUUACUUGUACAGGGCUGGCAGCUAUAAGAAGCCCAGCAACUCCUCCUCCUACAACACGGCCAUCAGCACUUGCCAAAGAUACACUCAUUCCACCAGAUCGACUUCUCGUUCCUUGAGUUUCUGUAGGCAUGAAGGAUCCAGACAAGGAAAGUAUCUCAAAGCGACCCUACAAGAAAAUAGGACAGACAAAGUUUUCUAUUAACGAUUAGAAAAUCAAAACAGAGUAAGAAGUUCAUGUUGGCCUUGUUCAGCAUCAUAGUUGGCACAACUUUUGAGGUCAAAAUGGAAAAAAGUUCCAGCUUUUUGAGGUUAAAAUUUUGCUUUGACAACCACCUCCUCUCCCUUCAAACGAUAUGCACUAUCUACUUGGUUUCACGAGUAUUUAUCUUACCUGACAUUUGUAUCUUUAUAAUCAGUGGUUUUCACACACCUAAUAGCAUUAUCCUUCGGAGAAUAAUGCGAACCAUCUUAUAAUCAAUUCCUCCCAAAGCAUUCCAAGUUUUAUGCACUGAUAAUUUCAAAUUAGACCUGAAAAUGUUUUUCCAGGAGGAACUUCAACUUACUCGGCUGCAUUAUAAAGUACAUUCUCAGCAGCAAACGUCUUCCUUAGCGUACGAACAUUUAUAGGCAUAACAUCCUUUAAAAUUAAUGAGUAUAUUUUAAAGAAUGUCUUGUAUCUUAUGAAAUCCUUUGACAAACUUAUAUUAAACAGUACUGCAAACAUUAGAAUCAUGCAACAAAACAUUGAUUCAAUUUCCAUAAUCAAACACAUUACAGAUUAGACUACCCUUUUUGCAUAUAAAUUAGACUAUAUGUUAUUGGAAACUCCUCAUAUUUCAGAAUGUGAUAGUAAUUUCAAAAUUGCCUAACCUCGUACGUAAGAGUGCCCCCAGAAGAAUCGGGUUGACGAAGUGUAACAUUUGAAAUUACUCCAUUGGCAGAUAGGAUGCAAAUAGCUCUCGGUCCUUGUUGAGAAAAUGAUAUCACCUUCAUUGUCACAUCCUUAAACACCACAAAAUCAAAUAUAAGGAAAGAAGUAGAUAAUGAUCACCUUAGAGACCACGAAUAUAGCCUAUCGAAGGUCUAAAGUCUAGAAAAAAAGUUAUGAACAAGGAAAAGAACACUAGCGACCACGAAAAGGAUGGACCCAGAAAGCCUACACAAGUCUUUGGCAAUGAUAGAAAUGAAGCAUAAGAAUGUUCCCCGAUAAAAUGAAUAAACUCCUCUCUGUUUCCUAUAUCAAAACUUACCUCGCCAGCAUUGACUGUGAUAACAUGAGGAGUAAAACUUGACCUGACAGAAGUAGCAGCCCAUUCACCUAUAAAUCAUUUAAGCAACAUCUAUAAGUACAGAAUUUCACUGUUAAACUAAACAAAUAAACAAAUCAUGUGCUGAUAUACCUUUAGCCUGUUUGUCAAACAAACAUAGAUCUACUACAUAUUUUUGCAAAGAAGCCCUUUAAACCAGAUUCCAGAUGGUCAGAGAAAGAAACAUACUUUCAGACCAAACGAUAUUACUAAUCAACCGAUCUUGCUGCUUUAACCAGUUUCAUUUUGUUUAUAUCAGUGGGAGCAUCUUGAAAAAUCCUUCUUGAAAAAUAAAAUCAAAGACAGAAUAUUCCUAGACCUUCUACAGUCACAAAAAAAGGCCACUCAUUCACAGAAACCAGUAACAUCCUCCCAAAUCUGAACAACGGCAUCUCAGAUUAGGUCCCACAAAAAGGUCAACAAGUAUUAUCAACUUCACAUAUAGAAUCUUUCAAAGUGGCAUUCAGAAAAUUCCAAACCAAUCAGGUGUUUUGAAGAAUCUAUAACAUGAUUGAACUCAAACUAAAACAAAACAACAGUAUGCUAAAAUUUGAAUCAAAAGCAAAAACUUUCCACAGAAAAGCUUGGUACCUAAAUUCUCCAAGUCCAUUCCCUUCUGAUGUUUAAUCUGGUACCCGCUACCUCGUCCUCUCCCACGCUUUCCGCCACCACUUGAGAACUCACCUCCGCUGGUCGGGACAGAUGAGGAAAUAGGCAUUGGUGACAAUGCCCUCGCCAUUGUCCCAUCUGGCCCAUAUUUCCUAGGCCUACCUCUCUUUUUCUUUUCUAUACUACCAGUUAACCCUACACUAACUGGUGAAACAUCCUCUGUUGUUGAGCCGACACCAAUCUGGCUAACAUUUUCGGUCCUAGGUGCCAUUUGAUAAGCUGAUGGAGCUUCUGCUCCUAUCACUGUAACACCUGAAUUUGUCUCCAUGCAAAUAUUAAAUUAUACUUAACAGACUCCAAGCCGGUCACCUAUAAAACAGAAAUCUUCAACAAAAAAUCAGAAAGGUAACUAUACGAUACACACAUCCUCCUCCUAUAUUUUGCUCCAUCAUCACUUAUUUCACUUAGAACGGAAGUUGUAAAUUAAUAUUAAAAAAAAAAGAUAUCAAAAUACACCCAAAAAAAUCGGAAAAAAAAAGUACAUUAAAAAAAAAACUCAACUUUCAGUUUAGUUGUGAUGAUCACAAUUUCUUAACACAAACUAAUACUCAACAAAAACCUUACUGUGACAGUAAUAAUUACGUAAUCAACCUAGAGAAUUGCUGAUAGUUGAGCAUAAAAACACUCAUACCUGCAAAGCUUAGCAUUUAAAAAAAACAGAAGAAGAUAAUUUGUAACUCACCAAAUCUUUAAAAAAAAAUUAUUUUCAUCUCAAUCAAAGAAAAAGAAGAAAAAAUCAAAAUCAAAAGAAAGUAUUAUAAAUAAACUUAGAAAUUAAACGAUGUUAAAUGUAGAGAUCAUGACCUGUAACUUCUAAGCACCACACCAGAACAAACUCUUCACUGACACUAUUCUUCUCAGACCUGUUCACAUUUCCCUGUAGCAAAGUACUUCGAAACUUUUUUUUUCUGUCCAACCAACAUAAUUUUCUUUUCCAAAAAAAAUCUAAAAUAUUUAUGUAAAAAAAAACUGUUACUCAAGAUAAAAAAAAAAAGUUCAGAAAACCGCUGCCGGUUCUUUUAUUUUAUUGUCUGAACAGAGACUUUUACUCCGAGAGAACACACAAAACAAAAUGAAAAUACAAAAUAUGAAAAAUAAAAUAUUUUAAUAAAAGUUAAAAUAAGUAUUAAUUAGUAGGUAAAUUGAUAACCCCGAUAUAUAAAAUUUGGUUAAGAAGAAUUUCACGUCCGGUAAUCGAAAAUUGAAUUUGAAACUUGAAUUAAAAUGGGGUAAAAUAGUAAUUUGGUGAAAAAGAUAUGGGAAAUAAAAUAAGGGAGAAAAAGUAAAGUUAAUAGCUUUCCUAAAAUAUUUAUUUGUGUCUUCCAUUUCAAGCUGGAAAGUUGGCGUUGGAGGGCCCACCUUUUUCAAAGUUAUGCUAUUUUUUAUUAAAUAAAUCCGUACUAAUUCUUUUAAAGCAAAUAUUUUAAUUUUAAUUAUAAAUAGCUUUUUUUUUAUUUUUUAUAUAAUAUUAAAGUAAUGAUGGGGUUACACUAUAUAAAUUUAUAUCAAAAUUUUAUUUAACAAACAUUUUAACCAUCAUUUUUUAAAUCUAUAUAAUUAUUUUAUAAUUUUAAAAUAUAAAUUAAUUUUGAAACAUAGAUAUUAUUAAAUACAAAAAUAUUUUAAUUAUGUUGAUAGUUAUACUUGAAUUCUAAAAAAAUAAAAAUAAAAAAAAAUUAUAUUUUAAAUUUACCAAAAGUGUAUAGAGUUACCACAUAUUUUAAUCUAACUAUAAAUGUUGUAUUUCUAAAUUUUUGAAAGUUGAUCCUGUAACAUAUCCGAAAUACUAUUAUACUUGGCUGAUAAAUACUACGGGUAUUUUUUCGACAUUAUAUCGCUGCUAGUCUGCUUUUUGUCUUUUGCAGCAAAUAAAGAACGAACAUCUUAGAUUUUGCCCUUGAGUUGUUGUCUUAAUCACGGUUGUGCCACCGUAGACGUAGAGUGUGGACUUUCUUUUUGUUUUUUUGCUCGUUCUUGUUCUUGUUCUUCUGCUUCUUCCUUUUUUUCUAUAUUUCUUUAUUAUAAGCGUUUCUGAUUUUUCCUGAUGAUAAUAAUGAGGCGUUUGGGAGUGAUGAUCGCGUCACCUGUGGGUGAAAGUCAUAUUGUCUCAUGGUCGGAUAUGAUUGGAUAAUCUCUGGCACACCUCUUCCAUACGUCAUGUAAGAUUUUAUGGCCUAUGUCCAAAAAAAAAAACUGUUUUAAUGGUACAAAGCAAGUCAUAUUUAAAGGGCGAAAUCAGAAAAAAAAAGAACUAAUUGAAAUCAAAAUUAAAUUGCAAGUUUUUUAAAAAUAUAUAAAUUUAUUGUAUUAAUUAAUCUUUUUUUUUUAAUUUUACUGAGAUUAAACUUGUAGUGUUUUUUUAAUCUCAAUGCAGAGUGCUGUGAGGGUGGCUGAGUUACAGUCAUAUUGUUGAGAGGUAUAGUUGUGUGAGAGAGAGGCAUGUUGUUAAUGUAAGUUCACAUGGCUGUCAAGUGUGAAGACAAGGGCCCUACUCUUUGAAUCUUUUUCAAAGAUUAUUUAAGAUAAGCUGUCCCCAACUUACCCUGACCGCUAUUUCCUAAUUUUGGAUUUGGUCUUCCUUCCUCCCCACUGCUCAAAUAUUUUAUUAUGUAGGUUGAAAAUGGCUUUUCUUUUUAAGAAAAAAAAUUAUUUGUUUCUUUUUUUUUUCAACUCAAAAAGGGGAAAAAGAUAUGGUUAGGAAGGAAGAAGGUUGACUAUGAGUUGAUUCAGACUUAUUGAAGAGGGGAAAAAAACCCCAGCUUGUUGAAGGUGUUAUCGCCGUAAGGCCAUAAGCAAAGGAGGUGAAGGAAAACUUGUCGGCAUUGGAUUUGGGUGGCAUCGAUAACUAGAGGACUCUUUAGUUUGGACACUUGAUUGUUAAAACUAAAAUUCUUUAUGCUAUCAGUGUGUUUGGUGUUUAAGCAUGUGUUAAGAUCGGACAAUCAAUUCGCACGACAUUUAGCUAGCUCUGCUACAUUAGGGGUGAUAGUGUUUUUAUUGGUGGCAUCAACCACUGAACUAUAUUUGCUUUUGGAUUUGUAUAGAUAAAUGAUAUUAUUAAUGAAUACAAGUGAAGUCCCUUUUUUUUUCUCAUUCUUCAUUUAAAAGAACGGUUUUCCAUCGGAAAAUAAUUAAAGGAAAAAAAGGCAAGUAUCUCUCUCCACCGAGGGAGAGAGUUUCCUAUUACCGGCAGCGGCUAACGAAGGUCUAAAAGGCCUUCUUUCGGUUUCAGCUUAAGAAUGGGCUUGGUCUUGACCCACAAACCUCUUCCUCCUUUACCAGGAAUGUUUAAACAAUCGAAUUCGAUUAAUAUUUAAAUCAAAUUAUUAUUAAUUGAAUUAUUUAAAAUAUAAAAAUAAUUAAUUGUUAAUUGAAUUGAAAUAUUUCAAUUAAUUUAAUCGAUUAACCGAAAUCUAUAUAUUUUUGUCUUUAGAAACACGUCAUAAAUCUUGAAAUUCAAUUAAUUACCCAGUGAAAAUGACAAAUAAGACAUUAGAAACAACUUUAAAUAAUAUAUAUUAUUUAUUUCGAUUAAUUAUUUAAUUUCGUAUUGAAUUAACCGAUAACUAAAAUUUCAAAAAUUAUUAAUUGAUUUUCGACCAAACUAAAUUGAUUAGAUCAAUUAAUUCAAUUUUAACCGAACUGUGUACACUCCUAAUUAUUAUGUUUCCCUAAACUAUCAUUUGGUCAUUGAACGUAAAAAUUCCACAUAAACUCCAUUUUAUUAUAUAUUUUCGGUAAAUUUAAUUUCUUUUACUCUAAUUUAUUUAUUUAUAAUCUUUCUACUUUUUGAAAUAUAUAUUUUUAGUCCUGAUUUCAACUUAAUUUUUCCAUUAAUUGUGAAUAUCAUUUGGUAUGACUAAUGUUUUUACACUACACAAUGAUGAUGUGACGUAUAAAUGUUGAUGGUUUUUUUAAUUAGAUAAAUAUUAUUUUUAUUUUUAUUUAUUAAAUAUGCAAAAAGUUAUCCAAUUGUAAAAAAAAAUUAAAUUGUAUGUAUCACAUCAUCACAUGUUUACGUUAGAUUAUUUGAUAUAAUCAAAAAAAAAGUUAUAGAAAUGAAAAUAUACAAUCUGAAAAAGUAAAGGAACUUAAAAUUAUCAGUUAAUGAUAGAGAAAUUAAAUCCAUAAAAAUGUAUAAUAUGAAUACCUUAUAUAGAAUUUGACCAUACAAAUAAUACAUAAAACUUGUUAUCAUCGAACAAAGAUUGAAGGAAAAAAUAUUUCAACCACAAAGGGUAAUGUUAGGAGAUGAAUACGGGCGUCGUCAAGGAGGGCUAGCAGGGGCUGGCCUCCUCAAUCUUUCAAGACUUUGUAUAAUUUUAUUGACAAUGGUAAAAUUAUAUUUCACUCUUAAAAAUAUUAUCGCAUUGAUAAAAAGAAAUAUGUAGAAUUGUAUUUGGCCUCUCAAAAAACAGUUUUAAUUUAGUAUUACUUUAAAUUAUACAUUAUUUAUUAGUUAUCUCUAAAUUUUUAAUUAGUCAGAUUUAUAUAUAUUGUAUUUUUGUAGAGGCUGCUAAAAGAGCAAAAAGCAUAUGAUGGCAAGGUCCUUGGACUCUGGUGCAACCAGGAAUCUUCUUAAUUUAGAGAGGGACCUUAAAGUGGUGUGGUCCGGGACAAGAAUAUUGGUGAGUGGAUUACUGGGUUUGCAAGGAGUGUGGGCUCUUGUUUUAUCCUGCAGGCGGAGCUUUGAGAUUUGUUUGAUGGUUUUACAUUAGUAUGGGCUAUGGGAUUUAGACAAGUGUCCUUUCCGUAACUUUUAAUUUUUUAUUUUAGUAAAAUAAUAUAUUAAAUAUCAACUAAUUAGGGGAUAGAAGCGAAUGUGAUUGAUGUUGUGUACGAAUGGCAGCAGAGUAAGGCGAAUGUUAUUAUGUUUUAUAAUUGUUUUAUUAUGAUUGUAUAAUUUUAAAAGUAUUUUCAUUGGAUUCGUUUCCCUUUAAUUUAAUUUUUAUUAUCUAUUUUUAAUAUAUUUAAUUUUUUUAAAUUAAAUAAAUAUCCUUCAAAAACAUAAAAUAUAAACUUUUUUAUGAUAUAUGAUUACAUUUUCACGAUUUUGAUCGUGGUAUAUAUAUAACACAAAUAAAUAUAAAAUGGUAAUUUUUUUUAGAAUGAAGCGGGAGAGAAUAAUUAAGUAAUUACCAUAAUUACUUCAUUCGAAAAGAUUCACCUACCUCAUCUCCCAUCCCCACCUCUAUAUCCACUUUUAAAAAGAAAAUUCUACUAAAUUUGAAGCAGUUUGAAAUCUUUUGAACAAUUUGAGUGUCAAGUUUAAUUUAAAAAAAUCGAAUUUGAUUUAAUAUUAUCUAUUGGACAGUUAAAUCCUAGUUUAUUUGGUAUUAAUAUUAUUAUUAAUGUAAGAAAAAAAUUAUUUAAUUUGAAGUCGGGUGGUUUGAAAUCCAUUGAACAGUUUUAGUUUUCUCAUCCCUAUUCAAGUUUAAGUUAAGAAAUUUGAAUUUGAUUUAAUAUUAUCGUUUGAGUUUUAUCUUUAUUAACAUUAACAUUGUUAUCAGUAUAAGAAAAUAAAUAAUUUUAAGUUAAUAUAUUAAAAAGAAAAAAAAUAAUUUGGAUAAGUGCCAAUCUAAUUCAUUUUGCUUAAAUUUAUAAUACAUUUUUGGAUAUAGUUUUAUUUUACUCAUAAAAACAUAAAUAUAUAGAUCUAGCUGCAGCCUAAAAACUUUUCUUUCCAUCUCAACCAUGUUUUGUUUCCCUCCUUCAGUUGAGGCUCAGCCGCGGUUUUCCUUUUUUUCUCCCACCCCUCUGAUCUCUCAGCCGUUGCUUUUUUUCACUCAUUCCUUCUCACAAACUCUGCGCCUCUCCACUACCCACUUCUAUUUUACGGCUCUCUCUCUCUCUCUCUUUAUUUGUUCCUAGUAAUUGGAUUUUGCCUAGUUAUUAGAUUUCUAUCUGUACCCUAGUAAUAAAAAUUUUGCCAUCUUUUUUUUUCUUUUAUAUAGAAGCAUGUUGGUUUGUGAAUAAAGCUUUCCCAGCUUCAGAGUUUCCCAUGUCGAUUUAUUUGUCAUUAACAUAUUUUUAAAAUUUAUUAUUUCAACAGAAAAAACUUAAAAUGAAGGAGUUGAAUUUUAAUUUGAAUCAGAUGUGAAUAUUUGAGUAAGCUGAAAUUGAAUUUCCAAUAGUGUAAUUGGGGUUUUUACAUUAAUAAUACAAAAAAAAUUACAAAAUAAGGUGGAAAGUAAAUUAUUUACAAAAAUAGAUAGUUUUGAACAGAAAAAACAACAACACUACCUAUAAAAAUAAUAUUUUAAUAAAAUAAAAAAUAUUUUCCAAAGAAGGAGGCGACACCCUUUUUUCUCAUGUCAUUUUACUUUUUUAUAUUUUAUAUUUUUUUAGUGUUAUGUUUAUAUUUUAAUUUUAUUAAUAAAAGAUGCUAAAUUACUUUAUUUUAUAAUUAUAAAUUUUUAAUAUUUAAAAUAAUAAUUAAAAUGAUAAAAUUUUGAUAAAUUUGACAUAAAAACAUUAUUGUAAACUUCCUAAAUAAACAUUUUUAGUGAGUUUUUAUUUUGGUCAUCAUUUUUUUUUAAAUUUCAUUACUUUAAGUCAUUUCACCGUUAAAAUGUAUUUGGUUACCAACCAUAAUUUCAAUAUGUCAUUUUUUUAUUGGUAAAAUAAUAAAUUUAACUGCUAAUAUUUUACAUAUUAAAAUGUAUUUGAUCACUAAAUAAAAUGCCAAUGUGGCCUUCUUUUUAUGGGUUUAAUAACAAAUUUAGCCUCUAAUAUUUCACACAUCCUAUCAAAUUAAUUCUAUUUUUAGAAAAUUCAAUACAUUUCACUCUCAAUGUUUACACGUUAUCAACUCAGUUAUUAUUCUAAAUAUUAAAAAAAUUAUAAUUAUAAAAUAUUAAAAAUAUAAAAUAAAAUGAUUCAACCAUUUUUAUAAAUGUUAAAAAUUUCUAUCACCAAAUAAGAACUCAUUAAAAAUCUUGAGUGAUUGUUUAGGUAGUUUAUCUAGUAGCGGAGUUAAGGGGCUGACAGGGUCUGAUCCUUAAAAUAGAAAAUUUUUCAUUUAGGCUAUUUUAUAAUUUAUAAAAAUUUAAAUUAAUAAUAAUAAAAAGAUAAAAAGAUGAUUUAAUAUUUUAAAAAUAUAAACUAUAAAAAUGGUGACAUUGCAUUUCUACUAUCGUAAAAAAUAUAAAAUUUAAUUUCAGCUUCACCCAAAAAAAAUCUGAUGUUUUUAUGUCAAAUUUACCAAAAAAAUUAAAUUGAUCAUUAUUUUAAAUAUUAAAAAAUUAUAAUUAAUAAAUUUUUUUAAAAAAUAUAAAUUUAAAACAAUUUAAGCUUCUUUACUAAAUAAAAUAAAAUUAUAAAAACUAUAAAAUUUAAACAUAAAACUAAAAAAUAAAAUGAAAAGGGUACCGCGUCCUUAUUUGGUGACACCCCUUUUGAAAAUUAAAAUAUUAAUUUAUUAUUAAAAUACAUUUUUAUAGAAUAUCGCCUCACAAUAUUAUUUUUUAUUGUUCACUUAUUUUUGUAAUUAAUAUUUUCCUUAUUAUUAAUAUAAAAAAACCCCGAACCUGGAAUCAAACUUUUUCAUUAUUCGUAGCUCAACUUGGAAUGGAUUACGCAUUAGCCUUUGUGCUUCAAUCUACCAUCCAAUCAAAAAAAUCAGGUCACGCUAAACAAAGAAAAAAAAAUUAUGUAACAGACAAACAUAGCGAAGUUACAUACAGAAAGAAACCAAACAAAGAGAAAAUAAAGUUUUUUCUGUAUAUUUUUAAAAUUAAAGUAAAUUGGAGCUGAAGCAGAGUAAAGGCACGGAUUAGACCCCUUUUUCUUCAAAAAGAAUAAAAAAGAAAAAUUAUAGACAGAGACAGUAGAAGACAAGAAACCCUUUGAGUUCCAAAAAUGUCAGAUAGAAACUGAAUCCCCCUCCCUCCCUCCCUACCCUUCUCUUUCUUGUCAUCUCCAUCUUCUCCAACGCUAAUCCAUGAAUCCCAACAAAACCCAAGACCACAUCUUCCAUCAACACCAUGCUAUGGGCCCAUCUUCCCACAUCAUCCACUCCCAUUCACAGCCCUCCAUUCCUCUUCACGAUGACCCUUCCUUCUCCCUCCCCGAAAUCGUCCUUUUCCGCUCCUCUCCCUCGGCCGACUCCCCCACCCCUUGCGAUUCCGAUAACGACGAUGCCGCCACUGCUCACCCCCCUCUUUCCUCCACCCCUUCAACUGACCUAACAACCCCUUCCCAUCAAAUUACCAAUCAGCCCCUCGGCUACAUUAGCCCCGAGCCUCACAUUUCCUCUCAGUUCUACACCUUCAACGCUGAGUCUCAUUCCCUCAUGAUCCGUUGCAUCCGCGAGCAGCGUUUGGCCACACCAGCUGAGAUCCGAGCCGCCACGCCGCGCUCCGUCCUCAAAUCCUGGCGCGCCGUCUGGAAGGACCGCAACGAAGACACUGCUUACCUAACUGCCUGGAAGCGGAUCCAGGACAAGCUCACGGCUCACGUCGACCCCAAUUCCGGUAACGAAUUCCUUUGCUUCAAAAACAAUUCCAAUCAAUUCGUUUCCCAUGUUAAUCAAUGGCAAGAUAUCGUUAUGAGUUUCCACGGAGACGCCGAUUUGAAGCACUUAGGGCUUAAAGAAACAAUAGAGAGAAUUAAACAAGUUUGGACUGUAGGUGCUAAGUUCUACGGUAUUCCCGAGAGUUACAUUAGGGGUUGUGUUGCGGCGUGCCCUAUAUGCAAUGCUUCCUCGGGCUCUGCUUCCAGGAGCAAACGCCGCCGUUUUGAGUACACGGAGUCUUUUGACGUGCCUGCAAAGGAGGUACCUCAUAGGUUGCAGCAGUUGGCUGCAAAGCACAAGGUUGUGCUCUGUAUAAGACAGAAGUAUAUAAGGUAUAAGCCCUUUAUGGCUGAGGUGAAGGAUUAUGCUUGUCAUCGAGCUGGGGAGCCUGCAGCAAAGAAGUCAAGGAUUUUGAAGAGGGAACCUUAUGCAUCUAAGAGGUGUGGUUGUGGAUUUAGAAUUAGGGCAAUAGUGCCAAUUGCCAAUUAUAACGAGAAGGAGAAGACAUUUGUAUAUCAAGAGGAAGGGAUGGCUGUCUUUAAGUUGUAUGCGGUACACUCCGGGCAUGAGCCAGGGCCACUAGACGGGAAUGCAAGGAUUAUGCAUAGGGUUGUUGGGCAUAAGGGAGGAUUUGUGAUGGACCAAGAUAUGGUUUAUGGGGUAAGUGAGGAUUUGGAUAGCGAGGGGUUUGGGUUGAUGGGAAAGGAACAAGGAGACUUGCAGCUUGCCAUUUUGCAGCAGGUGCGAGAGUUGAGAGCUGAAAUUGUGUUGUUAGAAGGGAGGAUCAGCAAGAUUCCUCAUCAGUUACUGGGUUCAGUAUCUAGGGAGCUGUUUGAGAUUUUAAAUAAAGUUAGAAGUUUUGGAGAAGAGGGUCCAAAGUCAAUUGGAUUGCUGUCUGACAAGCCUCAUCCUGAUGACUUGUUGGUAGAAGAAAAUGAUUUGGCGCACUGGGCUGAUGACCACCAUGAUCGGAUAUAUGGGGAUGGAAAGGAUGCUGAAUUGAUUGAAGAUGAUGAUGACAGUUUUGGAAGGACACUUGGGGAUGUUGUUCCUUGGGACCAAAUGAGGACGGAUAGAAGGAGUCAGAAGGAUUUGAUGAGUGAGCCUUGUAAGAUGGAUAAGUGGUUGAAAUGCAGUGAUUUUGACGAGAAGAGCAUUCUUGACUGCGAGGAUACUAAACUAACCAAGUCCAUGAGACAUGAUGAUUGCAUAGGGACAGAUGUAGGUCUUGUUGGCAUUCAGGUUGAUAGUUUCUACCAAGAUAACCCCAAAUGGUAUGAUUCUCCUUGUGGAUUAGAUUCCAGCACAGACUGUGGUGACAGUGGAUUUAGACAUGGAGAGAUUGUGUAGAAUCCUGAUGAGCUUGGUUAACCCACUCUAACAUAAACAUGAAUUUAUAUUGUCCUCUUCAUCCCUUCUCACAGCUACCACUGGAUUGUACAUUUAUGUAUACUGAUGAUUGGAGCUUCUCACAAGCUUGUAGGUGUCGUGUUUGGUUCUGUAAAGUAUAGCCAAUUGGGCUCAUCUGCACAUACCUUAUUCAUAACUAUUUGUUGACUGUGUUGUGGACAUUCAUGACUCUUAGUUAGCUUCUCAUAUAUUACCUUCCCUACUUGGUGGUAAUAUAACUAUUAAAAUUCAACUAAUGUGCCUCUUUAGAGAGUUGCUGACAUGUUCUCAUAAUAUACUUUUGUAGUUUAUUAUAACAAGAUUAAGGCUUUGCAACUUAUGCCCUGAGCAUGGCAGGGAGUCAGACCAGGAUUUUGGCCUGCAGACUGAGAUUGUAUGUGAGUUUAUAGUUAAAAUUAUGUUUGUGUUUCUUAUGCCAUCUAUUGAAUGAUUUAAUAAUACUUCUCCAGGGCUGACUUUUUAAACUUGAACUGCUAUCUUAAGACAUGAUGCAUGUUUGCUAUGUGAUAUUUUUCAACUGAAACUAUCAAAAUAACAAAAUUAUGACUUACUAGGCAGUUUAUUAUUGGUGGGCUUUCAUUGCAGUUAAUAGAUGCGGGGAACAACCCUAUUUUGACAAACAGUUGGUGCCUUAUCUAUCUUAAUUUACAGGAUCUCUCAUGCAUAGGUACCAAAUAUGUGUGGUCUUACAUUUCUUUCUCUGCAGGUAUACGCCAUUUUGUUGUAAAAUUAUGGUAGGUUGCCUGUUUUUAUAAUGCAGUUAUGCUUCAAUUAUGUUGAGACUUUUGGAAAGGCAUUUUGGUUCAUCGAAGGUGUCCAUAUCUAAUGGUUUUCCUGCAUGGAAACCAUUUCAAAUGUGAUGCUUUCUUAUGUAAUUGUUUUAAAUUGGUUAAUUAUCCAUUAUCGAUACGAUGCCUUAUGUAUAUGUUUCAAAUAAGUUAAUUACAGUGAAAGGAAAUACUGCUUGCUUUGAUAAAAGUUAUUAGAUGAGUCCAGAUGGUAGAUAAACUCAAGGCUGAUUCAUGUCCCCAGUUGCAUGGGAGAGAAAUAGGUUGAAUAUUUGAGGCUUAGACAGUGUUCUUGGUUCUAGUUGUGUUUCUUUGUGUAGAAAGCAUGAGAAGCGACAAGAUGUUUUGAUUAGAUGACUAUAUAGCAUAUAAAGGCUGGUCUUUAGUUUGGUGGUGCAGAUUUCAGAUUGAACUGAAAACUGGUUCAUAUUUUUUUUAUCUAGAAUCUAUUUUAGCUUUGCAGUUAAUUUCAUGAAUCUUUCUCCUUUUUAACUUUUUUCCCCACAUCACAUGCACGCACUCAUAUAUAUAUAUCUCCUUUUGGAUUGUAUUUAUAACUAAAUUGAGCACUGACUGGAUUAAUAUCAUGAAUGCCUUCCAUUUUUGAAGGACUUAAAUAUACUGCUGUAGAAAGAAAGAAGAAAAGAAAAGAAAAAAAAAAGAGUUCGAUUUCAUUAGUUUCCUUCCAGAAUCAGGAGUAGUUAAGCAGGACAAAGCCCACUAAGGGUUAUGGGAGUUUACAACAGAUGAAUCAGAAGUUUUUAAGUGGAAGUAGAAGGGUGGAAUCGGACACCUGGGAGAUAUCUGGAGACGAAUUCCCUGGUUAAAACUUGAAGCUCCUCGUUCUCUGCAACUUGGUCAAAUGAAUUUGGGAAACUUGUAAGCCCAACUGAAGUCUGUUGUGGCGGAUCAAAGUGUGUGGACAUGUUAGAAGAAGACAUCAAUUCGGAUCCUAUUUCCGAUGAGGAUGGAGGAUGACGCUGCAACGUAGAAAGACGGGCCUGGGUGUAGGCUAAUUCCGCCUGUAAAUUCACUACCUACAAAUAUCAUAACGUAGUUGUUCAACAUUACAGAAACUUGAUUUUUCACGGUUCAAUUCAAGGCUGAUGUACGAUGAAACCGUGUAGAAAAUUUAAAACUAAACAAAGGUUUUCGAUUCCAUUUCCGAGCAAGAUUACGAACACUCAAAUUUCAGGUGCAAAAGAAAAGAAAAAAGAUGGGAUCCCAUUCCUCUUUACUCUAUUGCUUUUAAUGUGUAUGGUUUGAUCACCGUUUGAAGUUAAGACUUGUGUAUUUUCCUCAAAAAGAGAAAAGAAAAUGGACUUAAACGGGAUCAAAUGAAAUAUGAAAUUAUCUAUUCAUUUCCUUUGUGGGAGAUUUUGUAAUCAACAUAAAUAUCAGGCCUACCGUGAACAUUACAAUCACCAUACUAUUUGAGGCAAUUAAGAUUUAGUUAGAGGAAUGGCUAAGCCUUCUGUGUAGCCCCAAUAAAUAAAGAAACAACAUAUGCAAAACCAUAUAAAACAGAGAUAACUACUCCAAAAAAAAAAAAUUAUAUAAAAAAUACUUCAAAUAAAACAAAACAGAGAAUGUAACACAAUACAUUUUCAAUAUUUAAUUUUAUACAAACUUUACGUAAAUUUUUUUCAUCUAAUAUCAUUUAAUUGUUUAUAAAAAAAAAUUAUAUAUCUUUCUGGGUAUUAAAAAUUUGAUGUAAUUCAAAUUAAACAACACAUCUAGCUAACUAUUGUUUUAUCUAUCUUCAAGAAAUUUAGAAUAGUCAAUAUUAACAUGAUAAUGGUAUCCUACCUAAUUAAAGCUUCACCUAUACAUUUACUUAAACCAUUUAUUUAAGUCACAUCCUUAACAGGUUGAUAUUACCCCUCAAUUAAAUCUAAAUUUAAUUAAAAAAAUUAUAAUUUUUUUUUAUAAUAAUAAAUAUUAUUUUGUUUUUAUAUUUUUAUAUAGAUACUAAAGAAUAAGUACAUUUCAUAAUAUUUCAACUCAAAAACUCAUUAUCAUUUUUAGUCAGCUUUUACCAUUUCAAUUAAAACCAUAUUUAAUUUUUAUAGAAAUUCUUUAUAAAUUUGUUAAAUAAUUCUUUUUACCAUGAUGUAGUACUAUUUUUCUCCUUUCGUAUAUCUGCCUAACAUAUGAAAGUGGAAAAAAGAAAGAAUAAUAUUCUUAAAAAUAUAUCUUGGAAAUGAUGGUUAAAUACUAAUAAUAAUUCCCUAAAAAGAAAAAAGAAACCCUCAAGUUGUAAAUUAUUAAUUAAAGACCCUAUUUAAUGGAUGUGAUGCAGAAGAAUAGCUAUCCAUAUUUCAUGUGGAGUUUCUCAAAAGGCAUUUCACGAAGAAGAUAAUCCUUACAAGUAAAAUCAAAGGAAGAUUUGAUUUUGUUGAAUGAAGUUCACCAUGAUCGAACCUUCACAUGGUAGGACCCAUGAGCUUCUUUGAAAGCAAGAACAAAGAACACACCCAUCAAUUAACUACAUUUUACUAUCCUCUCUUUUUUUUUAUUAUAAAUAAAAAGGGAAAUGUAAACAAAGUCAAAUCCAAAACUAUUUGAAUAUUUCUCGAGUUGCUAAACUUAUGCUUGCUGGCUCCGGCAAGCAACCACACCCACUUUGCCAUUCACCACUACGUGUGGCAGCCGCCAGCCGGGGGAAACCGCAGUUAGUAUGACUCUUGGGGCGCAAUUUCAAUUAAAAAAGUGUUGUUAGCCAACGAAAAAACACCACCUUUCCAAGUGAACUACGCCCGAGUUUCAUCACCACCGUUAUCGAGCGAUCGAUGUUUUUUGAGGGUAAACAAAGCUGUGGGUGAUUAGGCUUAACUAUUUUAUAAUCACAGAAGCCAAGAGAAGCCUACUACCAGGUAGGGGCUGUCACUAUGAACGUGCUAAUAUUAGGUAUUUAUUACCAACUUUUUUAUUUAAUUUUUGGUGUUCAAGAAAUAUUUAUUGGUUACAAAUGUGAAAACCUUGACUAACUAGAUUGCUUCCCCUGUCCAAUAUAUGUAUAUAAUAUUUGAGUCAGUUGUCAAAAUUUUACCAAAUGGACUGCGCGCUCCAAGGCACACGUUUGCAUGAACAUUGAACCUGUGAAGAACUUUCAGAGUUUUGGCCUUUUUCAAUUAUGGGGUGUUCUGGUUGGACUUGGAGGCCUAUCCUAUGCUACGAAACAGCUGGUUAGUUUAUGCGAAAUCUGGGUAUAAGAAUUUUUUUCAAACUAGCUAAGUAGCCCUGCUGCAUGCAAUUGCUACCAGCUUAUUAGAAGAAUCUGAAAGAAUUAAGAAAUAAAUAUUUAGAAGUUAACUGUAAAAUGUUUAGCUGCAUGCAUGCCAGCAUGUCUGCCAUGGCUUCCUAUGAUUGAACAGAAUUUUGAACUAAGAAAGAAGAGAAAAGAAAGCAAAAACACUAAACCUAAUGCUGACAAUGAAUGUUAAAAUAGUGAUGCGAUGAUGUCUGGAACUGGGAGAGAAAUAAUUAAUACACAAAGAAAAAGGAGAGAAAAUCUAAAAUGAAAGUAAGAGGGGAGGGCAGACCUGUUGUUGCAGGGUGAAGAGGUGGCCGACGCAGCCAUAAACAGGGUCUCGAACCCUAGCCAAAGCCUCAUAACAGAGGGUAACGACGGCAUCGAGGCGCUUGUGUACGGGUAUCCGCUGCAGCAUCUUGGAAGCAUUGCUGGCACCGUAAACCUUGUGGACCGCAGCGAAGUGAGCCAUCCCUUGGUCGGAGUCAAAAUAGGGUGCAAAUAUGCACCCUUUUACGCACUUUCGCCUAAGGAAUUUGCAGGCACCACAAGGCCCUCCUCCAUUAUUUCCACUCAUCUCCCUCCCUUUCUCUUUCUAAAAGAGAUUAUUUCUGCCUUUUACAAGUAGAAAACUGGGUGUCGUUUGUUUAACCAGUUUUAGAUAAGAAAUAUGUUAAAAGCUUCGCUACUCUUGAGGCUGUGGGUCAUUUACCAAAAAGGAAAAAAAAUUACUGGUAGUUCCAUCCUUUUUCUAUUUCUAAAUAGAGGGAUAGUGUUUUCUAAGCAAUGCAGUUAAAAGUCUAAUUUUUUUUAUAUAAGUGAUAGUAGUAAGGGUUGUCAAGAGAGAACUAAGUAUAAUUUAAAAGUCUCAAAUACAAAUCAUGAUUAAGUAUAUAAAUCUAUACACUUAUUAAUAUAUAAAAUUAUUUAUUUUCAUUUUUAAGAAAUUAUAGAAUUUCAUGUUAGAUUCAUUGACACCCUAGAAAUUUAUUUCAAAUGCUCGUAUAUAUAAGCAGCUUAUGUACAUUUGAAUAUUCUACUGCAAUGGACGUUUGUUUGGAUUUUAUUAAAGUUUAAUUAUGUAGAGAUUGUUAAUUAUUAGUAGUAGAUACUGUUUUAAAAAACGAACGUGGUAUUUUGGGAUAGAAACUUUAAAGCCACGGCAAAGCAAAGUAGAAGGUAAGAAGUGGAGCAGCAGCUUUGCUUGCGUGAAGCAAACAUAAAUACAUAUAUGCGGUGAGUGGCUGGCAGUCUCAACUCAACUAUCAAUUUGUCAUUCCAACCCUACCACAGGUGCGAAACCCACGUGUGACAAACAUCCUUUCUCAUUUCUAUCAUUCAUCGUCUCUCAUCUCCUCGGCUCUGACUACUAGAGCUUUUUUUUCACACAAUUUUGGUUGAAAUCAACGCCGUUUUAUAACAGAUAUAGAUAGAUAGAUUAGUGCUGCUGAUUUUUCACCUUUGUCUUUGAUACAAGGUCAUAGCCUGCAAUGAGUUUAAUAUUUUAAUACCAGGUUGUUGUUUUCACCAGUUUUAUAUGGCGAAAUGAUUAAAACAACGUUAAACCAUAAUAUGUUAUAAGGCUAAUUAUUGUUUCCAGAGAAUCACGUGCUAGUUAUGGAGUUGAUUGAGGUGAUUCUUUUGGGGUACAUGAAAUGAAAAUAGUAUAAAGGUGGUUCGUAAGUCAUUAAUUUGAUUGAACUAAUAUUUGAGUUGAAUUGGCGCAUCAAGGUCCCACUCUGUAACAUGGACUUGGAGGCCAUCCCUUUUUACUUUGCUUAUUAUUGUUGAACACAGAAUUCGGGGAAGAUAUCGUGUGAGUAUGUCUAACGUCUCUCGCUGUCUCACUCUCAUACGUACUUUUCACCUUUUUUGUAAUUAUUUUCUUACUUUUAUGGCAAUGAUUUGUCUAGCUUUUACGGUUGAAACAUCACUUGCCCUAUAAUUCAUCAUGUACCGACAUGGUGGUAAAUUUCUCUUAACAUUGCCAUAUGUAUGUGUAUAUAUAUUCAUACGCAUGGCUACCCAGUCAAGCACGUUGAAUGAUUAAUCGUAGAGAAAUAGUGUCGAGAAGCUUUAAUCAUUAACACAACUCCUAUAAUUAGAGUAUAAAAGACAAGGUUAAGAAACUACCAACAAUUACGACCUUAGCAAAAAGUGAUCAAGCCAGUCGAAAAUUAGGGAAUUGAAGCCUCCUCUUAUCCAAGCUCCCCACGGUUUAAUGGCAAGAUUGAGGCUUAUAGAAUUUUGUGAUCUUAGCUUAGAAUUAUAUCUUAUAUAAAUCACAUGUGGAUAUUCUCUAAAUAUAUUUUGAUUUAAGUCUUAAUAUCUAUAGGUCUUAUUUAGAGAUGUUUUAAUUAUUUGUCCAACACAAUACAUUCUAAUUAUGAUUAUUUGAAUAUAUUCUUUAUAAUUACAAUUAUGAUUUCAUUUGUGAUCUAAAAAAUUAAUUAAUCAUACUUCUCACCUAUAUUUUUUAAUUAUUACUCCUUUCACUCUUAAAAGAAAAUCUUCUCUCUUUCUUAAACUUUUUAUACCAAGCCUUCUAGCUAUAUAUGGUUAGAGCAGCAAAUUUAGUGCAGCUUUUGUAGAUAAGAGGGCUACUGAAAAAUUCAUCAAACCACAAACCAAAAGUUUCAAUAAAAUUUGCAGCCCUGGCUGCUGUUAUGAAAGCUGAACUUGAAGCUAAGGUCUGAGUAUUGCUUGGCAGCGUGGUUAUAGAAGAAUUGUGGCGGAAUGUAACAAGUCUACAGCAGUUCACCUACUGGAAAAUUAUGCGGGAACCGAUCAAUUGGAUAGGCAGCUGCUGCAAACACAAUGGGAGAUUCAAAUCUCGUAGACGAGAAUCAUGCGGCAGAUUCAAGUAGACAAGUACAGAAAUACAAAGUUGCAGACAUUAUUGAAAACGCCAUUAGCUGGUAUAUGGAACAUACUCAUUGAGGAUGUAAUGAAUAUUAAGUAUAUGCUAGGUUGUGAUACUUGGGAUCGUGUAGUUCUCCUUUAUUAUGAAAACUAAAAUAAAAUUGUUGCUCUGACUAUUGUUUAAUGGUGAAUAAACCUGUGAUCUAAAAUAGUAGUGCCACCUAAACAAAGAUUCUUCAAGUGGAGCAAGGUCUGCCGCCUAAACAAAGAACAAUGAGACAUGAAAUAAGCAUAGGCAGAACAAACAUCAUUUCUCAGUAUAACUGGAUAUUCAAAAUCAAACAAGUAAAGUCGCUUUAAUGUCACUAAUAUUUAAUUACUUAAAAUCAUUCCAUUUCAGGAUAUGUUAUGAAAAGAGGUGAGACAAACAAUUCCCAUGCAAAAUAACAAAGCGGAUAUUCCUAAACUACAAUAAUUCAUCAAACACAAUUUCGAUUAAUAAUUCAUUUUCCUCAAUAUUAGACUAAUUUAGACCAUUUAUAAUUUAUAAAAUUUUAAAUUGAUAAUAAUAAAACUACAUUAUAACCCCUUAAAAUGAUAAAAACUUAAUUUAAUUUUUUAAAAUUAUUAAAAUUUAAACUAUUAUAAUGAUACAAUUAUAUUUUUACUAUAAUAAAAAUAUACAAUUUAAUUCAGACUCCCUCAAAAUAAUUUCUGACUCCACAUCUGUUAUACCCAAAUAAAGUGGACAUGAGAAAAAUGGGAUGUAAAGCCCAAAGGCUCCAUUAACAUAUGGAUUUGAUGAACAUUCAAAAUGGGAGGUAUUAUUUGUCUUUCAUUUUUUUUAGGUAUUCGGCUUGCUUCUAGGGAAAGACAAAUCCACAAUUUUCCCUUAAAAGCAGUUUAUAUACAAAUUGGGAUUCCUUUAAAGAAAAUUACAAAUUGAGAAAACUUGUGAGUUAAAUAUAAUUUGGGGGUGGGGCGAGGAAUUUAAUUUAAUUAUUUUUUAUUUUUAAGUAAAUAAGAUUUCUUUUUUUAGUUUAGAGUUGGGCGAAGUGGGCUUAUUUUAAAAUUUAAAUUCGAUUCAAAUUUUUUUAAUUUUACUCCAAUCCUUUCACCGAAACUCAAUUUUUCAAAAGAAAAUUUGACCCUGAUAAAUUGGAUCAAAUUAAAAUCUAUGUAUUUUAUUAUUCCUAAUUAAAAACAAUAAAAAUUUAUAAAGAAUUAUUUUAGGUUAGAAAAUAAUAAAAAUGUAAAAACAGAAACAUAUAUAGUCUUAUAAAGAGGUGGUAAGAUUGAAUUCAAAUGAAAAAAAGGAUUGAUUUGUUUUGAUUUUGAUUUACAUUUUUUAGGGUAUUUUGGUGAUAUUAUUGAUCAAUUUGGUAUUAUUUAAUUUGUAACACCAAAUUCAAUCAAAGAAUUUUUUACAAUAUUUUAUUUUUUUUAUUUUCUAAUGUAUUUCGAUAAUUUAAUUAAUUUUGUUAGUGAUAUUUGACUCAUAUCAUCUAUCUAUAAUAUUAUUUAAAUUUUUUAUUGAAUUAAUAUCAUGAGAAUAAUCUUAUCUUUUAUAUUUUAUAAAAUAAUAUUAUGUUCGGACUUAAAUCUAAGACAAAAUAAUUUCAAAAAAUUUUAAUUUAACUAUUUCAAUCAAAAGCUCAGCUACUUUUUAUGCCAAUAUUUUUAAUAAAUAUAAUUUUUUGUAUUUAUUUCACCUACAUCAUAUGUAUGUCAUAAUCUAGUUAAGUUAAAGAUUUAGCACGGCUUAAGCAUUAAGCCACGAAAUCAAUAAUUUUUGACAAUUAGAAUUGAAUUACAAAAUUUUAAAAUAAUAAAAUUAAAUUUACAAGUUUUUAUAUUAUUUAAGUCAUUGAUUAAAUUGAUGUCACGAGUCAAUUAAAUAUUAAUUCGACUAAAGCGAUUACAAAAAUUUUAGUUUUUAGUUAAAAUAAGUUAUAUUAUUUACAUGUGAUAAGAUUUAAACUUGUAGUAUUUACAUCAUUAAAAAGUUAAUUAAAAGAGGAACUUACAUUUAAAAAAGUUAUUCACUAUUUCACUUAAAAAAAUAUCCUUAUGUUUUUAGAUAAAAAUAUUCAAAAGUUAAAUGUUUUUAUAUAUAUAUAUAUAUAUAUUAAAAAUAGAAGUUUUUUAAAAUAACUAGAAGUGGCACAAUUUUCAAUAUUCAUUAUAUUGAUCAACUUCCUUUUAAAAAUAUCAUUAAUUUCUUCUCCUACACGUCUGAUGGAUUAACACAAUUUUUAAUUCAUAAUUUCAGCAUAGACUUUUAAAUGUUGACUUUCUUUUUUUAUUUUAUUUUAAAAAUAACUUUAAAAAAUUUAUAUUGAGUUUAGACACUUGAAUAUGUAGUGUUGAUAAACGCAAAUUUAUGCGAUUACUUUAUACACAAAAUUAUGUGGAAUAUUGAAGAUUAGAUGAGAGAUGCUAGUUCGAAUCUUAAAGUAGAUAUUAUUGAGAUGGAUAGUCUUUAAUUUUAAAACAUGACCAAUAUGUUAAUUUAAGUUUAAACAUGACUAGUAUACUUGAUUUCUCACUUUGGUCCUUAAAUUUUUUUUUGCUCAUCUCAGUCCCUAGCAUUAUCAAAUGUUCUUAGUUCUACCUAUAAUAUUAUCAGACAUUAUCAAUUCAGUUUUUUGGACGUUAAAAAAAAUUGGCCAACCAAUCAUAUGCUGUUUGAUAUUUUUUUUACUCGUUUAGAUGUUUUUAUACUAAUAUUUUUAUAGUAAUUAAUAUUUUUUAAAAAGUAUAAAUUUUGUAAUUAUAUAAUAAAUUUUACAACCAAACGCGAUAUAAGAAAUUACGUAAAAAAAAACGUAAUUACUACUUUAAAAUUAAUUCCUCAACAAAUCUAAAUCCAAAUCAAAUCACACUGCAAUAUAAACAUAAAGACCUUAAAAUUCUCGAUACCUUAUUUUGAUAUUAAGCUAAAGUGUAAUAGAAAAAAGUAAUUUCAAUAUUAACAUUGAAAUUCCGAGCUAAAAUCCUACCACUCGUGAUUUAUUUUGAUAUGUGGGAUUUGUUAACUUAAGUUUAAUUAAUUGUGCAAUAAUUGUGACUUCCGUCAUCAGUCAUUAAAUUAAAUGUUAAGAGCACAUAAAUCGAUCGUGCUUCCCUUAUCCAGAAUUUUAACUACUAAUAUAAAAUAUUUAUCAUAAUAACAUAUCUUUGAGAAAUUACUCACGCUUGUCAUAUAUAAUAUAAAAGUAUUUUUUUUUAAAUUUAUUGGAUUUAAAUCUCAAGCUUUUCUUAAAAAAAGAAUUAACUUUAUUAUAUUAUAAAUAUUGAUUCAAUUUUGCUUUAUAAACCUUUAUUUUUAGUAUAAUUAAACUUGAAAAAGAAAAAGAAAAAGAAAGCAAUGCAAGAGCCCGGCAGCCAGAAAAGAGAAGGAACUUCCUAUUUCGUAACGCCUCGUCACGAUGCCGCAAUUUACUUUUCAAACAAUAGUAACCGUAGCCGAAGCCCACAGCUAAGAGAGGGGCAUUUCAGUCUAUUGGCUCUCAAACUUGGACUGACCAGAAAAGAGAAAAAAAAAAAUCAAAGCCCGAUCUGGAUCUGAAGACUGAAGCAGCCUCUCUGCUUGGCUGCGUGUACCAAAACAAGUCACUGUUCUCCUUGCCUUCUCUGGGCUCCGUACUCUUUGCACUUCGUUUUCCCGUUUCUUGUGCAAUUAGAACAAACGCUAACCCUGUGGACUCACUGAGUCAACUCGUUUCCAGUCCUUACUCAGAUAAUUCAGCCUGCCACGAGUAGAGACAGAUUAAGGAAAAAAAAAAGAACGGACCCUAUCAUUUUGCUAUCCAUUUCCUAGAUCCGAGUUUAUAAGCGAAGUGCAAUAUCCGACUCGGGAAUGGCUUCUGCGGAAGCCGAUUCCCGGAUGAGCCAAGUGGUAGUCCCGGCCCUUGAGAAGAUCAUCAAGAACGCUUCAUGGCGGAAGCACUCCAAACUUGCUCACCAAUGCAAAUCCCUUCUCGAGAAACUUACCACGAAGUUGCCUUUAUUUCCGUCAGAUUCGGAGCCUGAUAACUCGAUCCCUGGUCCACUCCAUGACGGCGGCCCAGUGGAAUAUUCCCUUGCUGAAUCGGAGUCCAUUCUCACCCCUCUGAUCAACGCAUGCGGAACCGCUUACAACAAGAUCGUCGAUCCAGCUGUUGAUUGCAUUCAGAAAUUAAUCGCCUACGGUUACCUACGCGGCGAAGCGGACCCCACUGGAGGUCCCGAGGCUCAGCUCUUGUCAAAAUUGAUAGAAUCCGUCUGCAAAUGCCACGAUUUAGGGGAUGAUGCUGUUGAAUUACUGGUUUUGAAAACGCUCUUAUCGGCGGUAACAUCUAUCUCACUGCGAAUUCAUGGUGAUUGUUUGUUGCAAAUUGUGAGAACUUGUUAUGACAUUUAUUUAGGGAGUAAAAAUGCGGUUAAUCAAACGACAGCAAAAGCUUCCUUGGUUCAAAUGUUAGUGAUUGUUUUUAGGAGAAUGGAGGCUGAUUCAUCAACCGUUCCAAUUCAGCCAAUUGUAGUGGCUGAAUUAAUGGAACCUGUUGAGAAAUCCGAUGCGGAUGGAUCGAUGACUCAGUUUGUUCAAGGGUUUAUAACCAAAAUUAUGCAGGACAUUGAUGGAGUAUUGAAUCCAGUGGCACCGAGUAAGGUUUCUUUAGGUGGCCAUGAUGGCGCAUUUGAAACUACCACUGUUGAGACCACUAAUCCAACUGACUUGCUGGAUUCUACUGAUAAGGAUAUGUUGGAUGCAAAAUAUUGGGAGAUUAGUAUGUAUAAGACAGCAUUAGAAGGGAGGAAAGGGGAGUUGGCAGAUGGCGAUGUGGAGAGAGAUGAUGAUUUGGAGGUUCAGAUUGGGAAUAAGUUGAGAAGGGAUGCCUUUUUGGUGUUUAGAGCGCUUUGCAAGUUGUCAAUGAAGACACCACCGAAAGAGGCUAUGGCGGAUCCUCAGUUGAUGAGAGGGAAGAUUGUGGCGCUUGAGUUGUUGAAGAUUUUGUUAGAGAAUGCUGGAGCUGUAUUUAGAACAAGUGAAAGGUACCUUUAACGUCUUAUCUGAUUUUUUUGAUUAUUUUAAUCUGCCCUUUGAAAAGUUUCUUAUGGUUAGCUGUUUAAUUGUCGAUUUGCUUUGCUGCUAUGUUCUUGGAAAAUGUGAUAUGCAACUCUUGAUACAGUACACCCUCUUAAUAUUAGUUUGCUGCUAGGCAUUUAGUAUGUGCUAGAGGAUAAACAUGUUCCAAGUAUAGGCUAUAUCCAGAGACAACUAUAAGGCAUAGGCUCUUAGGUAUCGAAUCUUGGAGGAUUGGCAAAAGCAUUAGAGCAUUUUAUUGGGUUUGGAAACACCUUAAGUUGCUUUUCAUGUCGAGGAGUAUUAAAAUAAAUCUUGUUAGUGUGGAAAUUUGGUGAAUAUUUUGAUCUUUUCGUGGUAACCACCUGGGCAUGCACCCAUGAAAAAUUUAGCAAAUUUCUCUGGAUGGUUUUUUAAGGAGUCUUCUUUUUGACCAUUUUUGUUUCUUCACCUCUGUUUAUUUUAGAAAGGUAUGUUGCAUUUGCUUGUUAAUUUCAACAAUCCAUUUUGUUUGCCUUCAUAGUGCAGCACAACCUUUACACUCUGUUUGAUAAGAAGGAUGGAAAUGAGAAAGGAAAGUUGAGUUACAAAAUAACAAAUCUGAUUUUGAAUCCCAACUGUAUGAUUAAUAAAUUUUCCUUCCAUAUCUCUUUCCAUCUUCCCUACCAUUAUUUUUUGGUAUUUGUGAGUUUUACUUUAUUCUGAUGCUGAGAUCACUUUAAGAAAAAAAGUUGAAAGUUAACAUGGGGGUAGUACAUAUAAUCUUGUCCAUCUCCUUAAUUAGAAUUGACAUAAUAUUCUAUUGCUUUCCCACAUUUUUUAGUUUUUGUUUGCUCAGAGUACCUGUCCCGAUACUACCUUUUCCUGAAUUUGAAAAUUUUCUUCUGGUGGAUAUACUUGUGCUGGUACAGGUUUUUAGGUGCCAUAAAGCAAUACCUGUGUUUGUCACUGUUGAAGAACAGCGCUUCAUCUCUUAUAAUUGUUUUCCAGCUUUCUUGCUCCAUUUUCAUUAGUCUAGUCUCAAGGUUUCGAGCUGGCCUGAAAGCCGAGAUUGGAGUGUUUUUUCCUAUGAUUGUCCUCAGGGUCUUGGAAAAUGUUGCUCAACCUAAUUUUCAGCAAAAGAUGAUAGUUCUUCGUUUUCUGGACAAGCUUUGUGUUGAUUCACAGAUCUUGGUAGAUAUCUUUAUCAACUAUGAUUGUGAUGUCAAUUCAUCAAACAUAUUUGAGAGGUAUCUUCAGUACUCUUAUAAUAAUGUCACCAAAGUUAACAUCAAAUGUUUGGUAGAUGUUCAUGACUUCUGCAUAUUUCUCAUUCUUUUUCCAUUAUGGUUCUUUAUAGAAUGGUCAAUGGACUUCUAAAAACGGCUCAAGGUGUUCCUCCCAGUACAGCUACAACGCUGUUACCACCUCAGGAAGCAACCAUGAAACUUGAAGCUAUGAAGUGUUUAGUGGCUAUUUUAAAAUCAAUGGGAGACUGGAUGAACAAACAGUUGCGCAUUCCAGAUCCUCAUUCUACUAAGAGAUUUGAAGCUGUUGAGAACAGUUCUGAGCCUGUAAAUGUCCCCCUGGCAAAUGGUAAUGGAGAUGAGCCUGUUGAAGGAUCAGAUUCUCAUUCUGAAACCUCUAGUGAAGCUUCUGAUGCUUUAUCAAUUGAGCAACGUCGAGCUUACAAGCUUGAGCUUCAGGUAUGUAUGUAGAUGAUGUAUGGUAAAGUGGUCUGACUUUAUCUCAUUUUAGCUAGUCAUCAUUCAUGGGAUCUGAUUUAAAAUUUGUGGCAGGAAGGUAUCUCACUUUUUAAUCGGAAGCCUAAGAAAGGAAUUGAAUUUCUAAUUAGAGCAAAUAAGGUUGGUGACUCCCCAGAGGAGAUUGCUGCUUUUCUUAAAAAUGCAUCUGGUCUCAACAAAACGUUGAUUGGUGAUUAUCUUGGAGAAAGGGAAGAUUUAUCACUGAAAGUUAUGCAUGCCUAUGUUGACUCCUUUGACUUUCAAGGCAUGGAGUUUGAUGAUGCAAUCCGAGCCUUUCUGCAAGGCUUUAGAUUGCCUGGUGAGGCACAAAAGAUUGACCGAAUCAUGGAAAAGUUUGCUGAGCGUUACUGCAAAUGUAACCCGAAGGCAUUCAUCAGUGCUGAUACAGCUUAUGUCCUUGCUUACUCUGUCAUAUUGCUCAAUACCGAUGCUCAUAACCCUAUGGUCAAGAACAAGGUGCAUAUACAUUCUCUAUCUGAUCCGAUUGACUUCUAGUGCAAGAAAAUUGAUGAAGUUCUCCCUUUCCUAUUUGAAAUGUGCAGAUGUCAGCUGAUGAUUUCAUAAGAAACAAUCGUGGUAUAGAUGAUGGAAAAGACUUGCCAGAAGAGUACUUAAGAUCAUUAUUUGAACGGAUAUCUAGAAAUGAGAUCAAAAUGAAAGAGGAUGAUCUGUCCGUGCAGCAGAAGCAGUCAGUGAAUUCCUCAAGAAUAUUAGGUUUGGACAGUAUCUUGAAUAUUGUGAUACGCAAGCGUGAUGAAGACCAACAUAUGGAGACCAGUGAUAAUCUUAUCAAGCACAUGCAAGAACAAUUUAAGGAGAAAGCUCGGAAAUCUGAGUAAGAUCAACUGGAUUUUAACUUUUCAUAUUGUGCUCUCUUAUAUGGAGAGAUUCCUGUUUGACCGUGUAUAGUUAAACUCAUUUUAUUUGUGCCUCUUCUUUUUCUAAAAUAUUUUUAUGCAUUUAUUUAUCAUUUGAAAAGGGCGGAAUUUCAAGGAGUACUUUCAUUUAAUUUUUUUACAUGGUUUAAGCUAAAUUAAUACUUUGAGAUUUUGUAAACAUUAUAUUCAAUUUCCUACAUUUUUGCUUUUACCCUGUCACACAUUUAACAGGAUUUUCUCCCAUGACUUAGCACUAAACAUGUUUUGAGAAAUAUGGUUUUUCCUGUUUGGAGAAGAAAGCUUGUUUUUGAUUAUUCCUUGAUUUCUUUUGUACUUGCAAUUUGUAGGUCAGUUUAUUAUGCUGCUACAGAUGUAGUGGUUCUGAGAUUCAUGGUUGAGGUGUGCUGGGCUCCUAUGUUGGCUGCCUUCAGUGUGCCUCUUGACCAAAGUGAUGAUGAAAUAGUGAUAGCAUUGUGUCUUGAAGGCUUCCGCUAUGCAAUCCAUGUGACUGCUGUGAUGUCCAUGAAGACUCAUAGAGAUGCUUUUGUGACUUCAUUAGCUAAGUUUACUUCACUGCACUCUCCUGCAGAUAUCAAGCAGAAAAAUAUAGAUGCUAUCAGGGUUAGUAUUUUGGUUCAUCUGCACUGAUAAGUUGUUUGUUAGCUUCAUGGAUUCUUAAUCUGAAAAUUUUAGUAGUGCUUAAUUUAUGUUCUCCACCCCCCCCCCCCUUUAUCUUAUCUCAUUCAAGUGCUUGUAAACUGGCAAGCUAUGUGAUGCCGUGUAUUCUCAUCAGCAACUUAUCAUUAUUAUAGCAAUUGCUGAUAGUCAUUGUAACCUUUGGUAUAGUGGUGACAAUGAUGGUGACUUGCCAAACCUCACAAGAGGAGUGCUAUUAGGGCAAGUUUGCCUUACUUAAUGUGAUCAUCCUGAUGUAUUCAAUGAAUGUAUUCUUUAAAGCAAAGGUUUAAUAAGUACCCUUAGAAAGCUCAUUAGUAUGAUCCAGUUAUUUGAGAGAAAAAUUUCACUUGCUUGUAGAUCUAACAUUGAAUUUUCCAUUUACAUUGUUGAUAGGCAAUAGUUACACUUGCAGAUGAAGAUGGAAAUUAUUUAAGAGAAGCUUGGGAACAUAUUUUGACGUGUGUGUCUCGGUUUGAGCAUUUGCAUCUAUUGGGGGAGGGUGCUCCUCCAGAUGCCACUUUCUUUGCCUUUCCUCAGAAUGAUUCAGAAAAAUCUAAGCAAGCUAAGUCAACUGUACUUCCUGUUUUAAGGAAGAAGGGACCCGGAAGAAUUCAGUAUGCUGCUGCUGCUGUGAUGAGGGGCUCAUAUGAUAGUGCUGGUAUUGGAGGUAAUAUUGCUGGGGCAGUCACAUCUGAACAGAUGAACAAUUUAGUUUCUAAUCUCAACAUGUUAGAACAAGUUGGUGAAAUGAACCGUAUAUUCACACGUAGUCAAAAAUUGAAUAGUGAGGCUAUCGUAGACUUUGUUAAGGCUCUCUGCAAGGUGUCCAUGGAGGAGUUGCGAUCUACAUCUGACCCUCGGGUUUUUAGCCUUACGAAGAUUGUUGAGAUUGCGUAAGAUUCAUUCCACUUCUCUUCCUAGGGCUUAUUUAAAUGCUGUAUAUUUGUUUAUAUUCUUAACUGUUAGUUUUCUGAUAUACUGACAGGCAUUAUAACAUGAACCGGAUCAGGCUUGUAUGGUCAAGCAUCUGGCUUGUACUCUCUGAUUUCUUUGUGACUAUUGGCUGUUCUGAAAACCUGUCAAUUGCAAUUUUUGCAAUGGACUCUUUACGGCAGCUAUCAAUGAAAUUUUUGGAGCGAGAAGAGUUGGCUAAUUAUAAUUUUCAGAAUGAAUUUAUGAAGCCUUUUGUCAUUGUUAUGCGCAAGAGCAGUGCCGUUGAAAUCCGAGAGUUAAUCAUCAGAUGUGUUUCACAGAUGGUGUUAUCUCGUGUCAAUAAUGUCAAAUCAGGAUGGAAGAGCAUGUUCAUGGUAUUGAAUUUUUAAUAACUUAAACUUUUGUCUUUAUCAAUUUAUUACCGAACUGAUAAAUCUUUUCUCAGGUUUUCACUACUGCAGCUUAUGAUGACCACAAAAACAUCGUACUGUUAGCCUUUGAAAUAAUAGAAAAGAUUAUUCGAGACUAUUUCCCAUUCAUCACUGAAACUGAAACAACCACCUUCACUGAUUGUGUGAAUUGCCUAAUUGCAUUCACCAAUAGUAGAUUCAACAAAGACAUUAGUCUCAAUGCAAUUGCUUUUCUACGUUUCUGUGCCACAAAGCUUGCAGAAGGGGAUCUUGGCUCCUCGUCAAAAAAUAAGGACAACGAAUUUGGGAAGAUUUCUCCAUCUUCAUCUAACAAGGGAAAAGAUGGAACACAAGAUAAUGGAGUGCUAGUGGAUAAGGAUGACCAUCGCUAUUUCUGGUUCCCAUUGUUGGCUGGUACGGAAUAAUGAACUAGUUGUUUUUAUAUCACAAUGCAUUUGAAAUUGCUUGAGUUUUCAAAGUUGUUUAUCCUAAUACUUUACAAAUGCACUCUGUUCUAAAAUUGCAUCACAUUUUGAUCCGCAGGUUUAUCAGAACUCAGCUUUGAUCCAAGGCCAGAAAUUAGGAAGAGUGCUUUACAAGUGUUGUUUGAAACUUUACGGAACCAUGGUCACCUCUUCUCACUACCUUUGUGGGAAAGGGUGUUUGAGUCUGUGCUUUUUCCAAUAUUUGACUAUGUGCGUCAUGCUAUUGAUCCAUCAGGUGGUGACUCACCUGGGCAGGGAAUUGUUAAUGACAUUGAUGAACAUGAUCAAGAUGCAUGGCUCUAUGAGACGUGUACUUUGGCACUCCAAUUAGUUGUAGAUCUUUUUGUGAACUUCUAUAAUACUGUCAAUCCUCUCUUGAGGAAGGUUCUUUCAUUACUUGUAAGUUUUAUCAAGCGUCCCCACCAAAGUCUAGCUGGUAUUGGAAUUGCUGCAUUUGUACGUUUGAUGAGCAAUGCAGGCGAUCUUUUUUCAGAGGAGAAGUGGCUGGAAGUAGUUUCUUCAUUAAAAGAAGCUGCUAAUGCUACACUUCCCAAUUUUUCUUUCAUUGUUAGUGGGGAUAUCAUGGUUGGAAGCAAUGGUCAUGCUUUGAACAGCCAAAGCAAUGAGGCUUCUGCUGGUUCUGACACAUCUCAUGGAGAUUCAGAGAGCUCGAGAGCACAAUGUGUUUAUGAUCUUUUAUCUGAUGCCAAGUGCCGAGCUGCUGUUCAGCUUCUAUUGAUUCAGGUAAGAUCUCUCUUCUAAAUAUUGAAAAACUGAUUGAAACCUUUCCUCAUAUCAUAAAAUAAGUAAAGAAAUGGAAUGGAGUUAAUCUUCCAUCUCUCUCUCUCCCUCUCUUUCAAAAAAAUAUUUUUUUUAUAAAUUUAGAGUUAGUUGAGGGAGGAUUCAAACUUUUGAAAGGUGUCAUACCCCUCCCCAUCUAAUGCUUAAGACAUUUGUAGCAUAAGCAUGCACCUUUGACUUCAUGUCUCUUCUAAUGCACUUUGACACCUUUAAGUUUUAGAUGAUGGCCUUGGAUUUUUAGGGUUCAUCCAACUAUAAUCUUUUGGAAUUAGUCCCCCUACUAAGUGCAUCAAGUUUUAGAAAUGUUGAUAACUAACAAGCUGUUUAGCUUAACCACAUUGUCAAAGUUAUGGAACAAAGGCUUGAAUUUUGUGAAGAUAAUAAUUUUUUUGGAUUGAAAGUUUCUAAAACGAGCAAGCGUCACUGUUAAUUGACCUUAGAAAUGAACAGCUGCUAUCUUUUCUGAUUUUUUAAUGUUUGUACUGAGAUCUAACUAAAUAAUAGGCUUAUUCUAUGUUUGAAGUGGACUAACUUCAACCCUUGGGUGUUAUUCUGCAAACAGGCGGUGAUGGAAAUUUACAACAUGUAUCGAACUCACCUUUCGGCUAAGAGCAUCAUAAUCCUCUAUGAGGCAAUGCAUGAUGUGGCAUCCCAUGCUCACAGGAUCAACAACAAUACUAUACUACGUUCCAAGCUUCAAGAGUUUGGUCCCAUGACUCAACUACAAGAUCCUCCAUUAUUGCGCCUUGAGAAUGAGUCGUAUCAAUUUUGCCUUACAUUCCUGCAGAACCUGAUCUUGGAUAGGCCUCCAAGGUAUGAGGAGGCUGAAGUGGAGUCCCAUCUUGUGGAUCUUUGCCAGGAGGUAUUGCUGUUUUAUAUUGAAAGUGCGCGCUCUGGACAGGCUUCUGAAACAUCUGCCAAUGGACAAACUCAAUGGUUGAUUCCUCUUGGUUCUGGGAAACGAAGAGAAUUGGCUGCCCGUGCACCUCUCAUUGUGGCGACUCUCCAGGCCAUUUGUUGUUUGGGAGAAACCUUGUUUGAGAAGAACUUACCUCAAUUCUUCCCUCUUAUUUCGAACUUGGUAAGUACUGAGCAUGGUUCAACUGAGGUCCAGGUAGCUCUCAGUGAUAUGCUUAGUUCCUCGGUUGGUCCCGUUCUGCUGCGAUCAUGUUUGUCCUGGUGAGAUUUGAUUGUAUUUUGGAUGUGUACGAUAAACAUGUGUCCCCCCCCCCUUUUCUUAUCUAGCUCCAUAGUUUUAUUUCCUCCUAUAGGUAAUAACUAUUAACGAAUACAGUGUUAGUGUAUGAAAAGAGUGUUUAGAGUUAGUUUUGAAUCGGUUAAUACUUCCCAUCUUGCUGUGUAGUUAUUACGUGGGAGAAUAGCCACUCUAUUCAGAUUAUAUAGAUAUGAUAUUUUUUUUUCUAUUGUUGUAUCUCUCUUUUCUUUUUUUGCCUUUAACAAAGUUUCAGAUCAUUAAUUUUCAUGUAAAAAGGGACAUUAUUAAUUACUAGAAAUUAAAGACAUCUUAUUGUAUAUACACACUUCCUUUAUGAAGUUGGUGCCUCAUAAUGUCCAUCAUUAUUGUGUCCAACCUGUUGCAAAUUAUAUUUUAUUGUAAUAGUUUGAAGGCAUGCACUAAACCGUACCUUCACCUUUUUCCCCCCAAGUGUUUUUGCAAUGAGCAUUUUGAAGUAAAACGCAAUCAUGCUGUUUCCUGUUAAAAUAUUCAGUUCUUCUAAAACUGACGUUGUUUAUCAUCCAGGUCAAACACCCACACAAUGAAAAUAAGAUAAUUUAUAGAUAACAGAAAAGUAACUUCUCAAAGUUAUCAUCAUAUUGUUCAUUACACAAUUUCUUAGUGCGAGACUGAAAAUCACACCAUUCUUUACUUAAAUAUUAAAAAUUACAAUUUUCCAAAAAAAUUGUUUCAGUUGAACUCAAAAUAUUAUUACAGAAGAUUCCUAACAAAAGUAAUCAGCACUCCCGUAUAUGUGGGAGUGAAUUUUAUACAGGGCAAUCAAUUGCCCUUAAUUGCCUUAUAAAAGAGUUAAUUUACAGUACUAUUUUGAUGAUUAAAAGGCAAAUCUAGUGCUUUGUUAUUUAAAUGGAACUUACACCUCGCUCUCUCAGAAAUUAUUAAAGACCACCAAGUUUCUGGGUUAUGCUAACUCAUACUUAACUGGUUGCAAAUGGUUGAACUGAAACCGUUAUACAUAUAUAUGAAAUAUUGUUGUUUCUGAAAGUCUAACCUAAUUUUUUUAUACGAAAUUUUUUAAAUGAGUCGCUUCAUUUAUUUAACAAAAACUUCAUAAAUGACAACGACUGCUCAAAUAGAAAAAAAGAAAAUAUGGGAAAGAAACUGUGUUGACAAUUAAGAUUAGUGAUUGAAAUGAAAGAAGUCAUACAAGCAGGUGAGGAGAUGACAACAAUGAUUCCAAAAAGAAAUCGCUAUCAAUCACAUGGCAAGCUCAGUUUGGUCGGCUGUUUUAGUCUUAAAAAAUUCCCACUGCUCGAUGUGUUUGGAUUUAAUUAAGUAAAGAAAAUGCAAGCUUUCAGUUGGCCCCUUCCAUGCAGGACAGAGAAAAAUGGGUGCAACAAUCUCGACUCACUUUGGCUAUAAAAGCGGCUUCUUAGACACCAAGAACAUGGAUGCAAAACACAAUGUUAGAUUCGAAGCACCCUCACAUGGUGCAACUGAAACCACAUUUCUUUUUGCUAUUAGUCCUUGUACGUUGUAGAUUUAGUCCCUAUACUUUAAUCUUUAUACUUUUUCAAGUUUUAAAAUUUUAAAUCAUUACCAUACAAUAACUAUUAAUUUCAUUAAAUUUUGGUAUUUUCAAGAUCUGAUGCUGUAUUAUUUUCCACAUAUUACUUAUUAAAAAUCUAAUUAAUAGAUUGAUGAUUAACAUUUGUGUAGAGAUUGAAAUUUCAAAAAUUCGACUAAGUACUAGGACUUAAAAUGAUCCAAUUGAGAAUAUGGAUUAAACCUAUAACAUUAGGUACAAUACAAAGUUAACAAUUGAAUUUAACCAAAUAUAUUAAAAAGUCAAGACUAAAAUUUUAAAAUUAAAAAAAAGUAGAGAAUUAAAUCCACAACUUUAUAAAGUAGGGAGACUAAUAUCAAAAUUUAACUUUCUUUUUCU